UGAUAAGCCAGUGAUUGUAAUCGCAACCCUCGAACAGAAUCGUGUCGGGUGUGAUCUCGUCGCCGUCCUUAUACAAGUGGUACGUCUUGUUACCCGACGGCGUAGACGAGAGGGAGAUCGUCGGGGACGAUCUGAACGGCCGAGAUUGGACGAUGAUGGAGGAGCACGGGAUUAGCGAUGACGACGCCGAUGAAAUGGAAGGGUUUACGAGAGUAGAUGCGGAGAGUGCAGGGACGGCCAGAGAGAGAGAGCGUCGGAGAGCGGCGACGGCCGGUAGUGACCGGCGGAGGCGGAGGAUGGCGGUGUGGGCCAUUGCUUGCGCGUCAGUGAGUGUCUCGAGUGAGAGAGUGAAGGGUUUUGUUUAGGGUUUUGGGAAAUAUGAAAAAUGUAAAUGUUGGAUUUUGUUGCCAGAAACUUCUUCUGCCGCUGCUUUUUAUUUUCGCUAUAAAAAUAAUAAUUAUCAAAUAUUUUCUUAAAAAAGAUAAAUUUCUAGAUCAAAAUUUAUAUUAAAUCAAAUUGUAAAAAUGUGGAAUAGGGUUAAUUUCUCCUUGAUAUAUUUCAGAGUUGUAUUAUAGAUGUAUAUGUAUCUAGAUUGUAAUUAUAUUUUUAAAAAAUUAAAUUUUUAAUUAUUGCACAAUAAAUGUAGAAAGUAUCUAUAAAAUAAUAUUAUUAGGAUUACGAAAAGAUAUUAUUUUGGACAAGUUAUUUGUUUAUUAUUGAAUGAAUAAUUUAUUGAAUUAUUGAUAAAUAAAUAUUUAUUAAUUUAAAGAUUUUUUUUUUAGUUUUAAUAAAAGUUUUGUUGGGAAAUUUAUAAAAAUGGCCAUAAAACUUUUGUGUUUUUCAACUUUAAUCCUCUAAAGUUUUUUCUAUCAUAACUAGCCAAACACCCUAUGUUUGGACUGUAUUACCCUCAUCACUUUCAUCAAAUUUACAAAGUCAUGCCACUUUUUCAAUUCCAGUACAAGUAAAUACGGAUCUUCCUCAACAACUUAACAAACCUUCAUCACUCUCAACAAAUUUCAUCAUUCUCGAUAAAUCAAUUGCAUAAUUGAAUAUAUAAUCAUCAAUGGGAGAGCUUCUUAAAAUUAGUUUAUACUCUUACAUAAUGUAAACCUUUAAUCUAUUAAUUUUAUCAACUAAGUUCGAAAUUAAAGUGGGUUUUGUUGCAAAUAUUGUCAUUUUCCAUUCAUAAAACAAUGUGAUUUGUUAAAGUACUUAGUUUGAAUUGAGAAAUGAAGUAAAAUCAUUGAAAACACAGAAAAAUCGGGCAAAAAACGAAGUUCAGAACAAGUGAGACAUGCAAGUGGGACAGGUGCAUGUCUCACAUAAACGCACUGCAUUUAUGUGAGACAGGCACCUGUCCCACUGCCUGUCGCACAUAAACCCACGGAUUUUAUGGAGUACAUAAUUUUGGAUUUGAUUUGUCUCGUCGUAAGCUUCGAAACGGUAUAUUAUAUGCCUAAAACGGACAUAUAUAGCUCAAGUUAUGGCUUUCGAAACAUAUAUGAAAUUUAGUGAGACAGGCAAGUGGGACAGGUGCCUGUCGCACAUAAACGCACUGCGUUUAUGUGCGACAGGCACCUGUCCCACUGCUUUUCGCACAUAAACCCACGGAUUUUAUGGAGUACAUGAUUUUGGAUUUUAUUUGUCUCGUCGUAAGCUUCGAAACGGUAUAUUAUACGCCUAAAACGGACAUAUAUAGCUCAAGUUAUGGCUUUCGAAACAUAUAUGAAAUUUAGUGAGACAGACACCUGUCCCACUGCUUUUCGCACAUAAACCCACGGAUUUUAUGGAGUACAUGAUUUUGGAUUUUAUUUUUCUCGUCGUAAGCUUCGAAACGGUAUAUUAUACGCCUAAAACGGACAUAUAUAGCUCAAGUUAUGGCUUUCGAAACAUAUAUGAAAUUUAGUGAGACAGGCAAGUGGGACAGGUGCCUGUCGCACAUAAACGCACUGAUUUUAUGGAGUACAUGAUUUUGGAUUUUAUUUGUCUCAUCGUAAGCUUCGAAACGGUAUAUUAUACGCCUAAAACGGACAUAUAUAGCUCAAGUUAUGGCUUUCGAAACAUAUAUGAAAUUUAGUGAGACAGGCAAGUGGGACAAGUGCCUAUCUCACUAAAUUUCAUAUAUGUUUCGAAAGCCAUAACUUGAGCUAUAUAUGCCCGUUUUAGGCAUAUAAUAUACCGUUUCGAAGCUUACGACGAGACAAAUAAAAUCCAAAAUCAUGUACUCCAUAAAAUCCGUGAGUUUAUGUGUGAUAGGCAGUGGGACAGGUGCCUGUCGCACAUAAAUGCAGUGCGUUUAUGUGAGACAGACACCUGUCCCACUUGCAUGUCUCACUUGUUCUGAACUUCGUUUUUUGCCCGAUUUUUCUGUGUUUUCAAUGAUUUUUCUUGAUUUCUCAACUCAAACUAAGUACUUUAACAAAUCACAUUGUUUUAUGAAUGAAAAAUGACAAUAUUUGCAACAAAACCCACUUUAAUUUCGGACUUAGUUGAUAAAAUCAAUAGAUUAAAGGUUUACAUUGUGUAAGAGCAUAAACUAAUUUUAAGAAGCUCUCCCAUUGAUGAUUAUAUAUUCAAUUAUACAAUUAAUUGAAGGUUUGUUGAGAGUGAUGAAGGUUUGUUAAGUUGUUGAGGAAGAUCCGCAUUUACUUGUACUGGAAUUGAAAAAGUGGCAUGGCUUUGUAAAUUUGAUGAAAGUGAUGAGGGUAAUGUAGUCCAAACAUAGGGUGUUUGGCUAGUUAUGAUAGAAAAAACUUUGGGGGGUUAAAGUUGAAAAACGCAAAAGUUUUAUGGCCAUUUUUGUAAAUUUCCCAGUUUUGUUGGUAGACGCACAAACUCAUAAGGAAAUACAAAAAGUGCUUCCUCAAAUCAAUAAUAUUUACUUUAAUUCAUAAUAAUAUAACUUAAUUAGGAAACUUGUAAUUAUACUGUUUAUUUUUUUCUUUGUUCAGUUUGGUGGGACAAUGUGAUAAAUCAUUAGAUUAAAAUGCAUUUCUAAAUGCACUAAUUUUCUAGAUGAAUUUUUUCCUACAUGCUUGUUCUCAUAUGACCCAAAAUCCUGCUACAUCAGUUGUAUUAGAAAUUAAUCACGUGGGCUACAAUUCUGCAUCCCCACCAAUAUUUAAGCAAUCUACAGAAACAUUUCUUGAGGAAAGAAACUCACAUCGGCACUAGGCUUUCAAUGAGGCUCAUUUUUAUGAAUCUGGAUAGCAUUAGAUAUCUCUCCGAAUACUGGUGGGAGUAGAUCGCAGAUCUCUGGGCUAUACUACAAAGUGUACGUACGUUGACUCUCAAUAAAUACAAACGAUUCUCUGAUAUGAUUCAAAACAUCAGUGCAUGCAUCAUUUUAACGAGAGAGAAUAUUCUAAGAACGAAAUUGAAGGUGCAAUCAGCAGCUAAAAUGAAGCCAGAAAUGUACACGCAUGAGGAACGUUUCCUAGAAGAUUGAUAUUUCUUUGACUAGCAAACCAUACACGUCAAAGCUAGCCAAACCAUACUUGCAAGUCGGGGGUUUAAAUGGAGUACUUCUAAGCAUAAAACAUUGAUUAAAACAGAAUACACACAUACAUACCAGCAAAUUCAAUAUAGCAAAAGGAGUGCAAAAGUUCAUGUUUGUAGACAACAUUGCAACCAUGGCAUGUUUAUAGCAAAUCCUCGAAAUCUGCUAAAUAAAACAAUGCCUUGUCUCAUGAAUCAAUGCUGAAUUAAAAUUGAAACUGAAAGUCCGGCUGGCGUUGUUUCCCUCUCCAAUUUUGCCUACAUAAGUGAAAAUAAGAAUAAUAAAUGAAAAUCUGCUUUUACAGUUCUUAUUAGAUAGAUAAAAGGGGGAUCUUUCUUUGUUUCUCUGCUGCAAUGUGUGGCUAUCCCACUCUGUUUUGCCACCCAAGCUGAGUCUAUGUUGAGACAUAAUUUUGACAUCAGAAGCAAUCUCAAUUAGUUUGGCACUUUUAUGACCUCCUUGAAGGUUUUACGAUAAACAUAAAUCUACUGAGAAAGUGGGAAAAAAAAGAAAAUGCAUAUAAAAAUAUGAGUUAUCAGAUAAGAUUAAAACUCACCCAAUUCAAUCCAUCAGAUUCCGUAAGGAUAUAACUGGAUGUCAUACCGCCACUCCAUAUCCUUGAAAGUCCGUAGUGUUUGUCUCAACUCUGUCUGAGGCCAAUGUAAAUUCAAUUUGCGCAAGCUCUUUAUGCACCACAGCUCUUCUGGAAGCUUUCUCAAGUAAGCACAUGGGUUGACAAUUAAGCUUUCAAGUUUCGGCAUUGCUCCAGCCCCCAUCGUCCACUCAUCUAGCCAAUACAUUGAUUUCAGGUGCAAAACCUUAAGUUCGGGAAAGCUACUCAAGCCAACACAAGCAAGCUUUCUUCCUAAAUACGAGUUCUGCUUCAGUUUCAGCACUCGAAGGCGUGGAAGAUUUUCCAGAAUUGGCAUGGGAUCCUCCAUUAGCUUAGUAUUUGAUAAGCUCAGUUGGAUCAGACUUGGGGGAAAUUGGUAUUCAGACAGGACCAUCCGUGAGGGCUUGCUCUCAUUCACCAGCUUCAAGCAUUCAAGUUUGUGGAGUUCGCAAAGGCUUUUGGAAACCCCAGACUGAUAGUAACUCAAAUCUCCAGAUAUCCGAAGAGUCUGAACACUAGGUAGUCUGCCCAAUAUAUCAGGAGUACAACUACUAGGGUUUAAAGCUGAUAUGAAAAUGAGAUUUUUCAGAGAGCUAGAAUAAUUUUUUGGAGGUGCGGGCAGAGUGAUAGAACCAAAGUUUAGAUGCAUGAGUUUUUGCAUCAUCCAAAUAUCCUCUGGUGAAUGAUCUAUGUCGCUAGAUGGCAUUUCUAGUGUUUGAAGGUUUAAAAGGGUGCAUAGCAUUGAAGGAAGGCAUUUGAGCGAAGGGAUAUUCAAUUUCAAAUACUUCAAAAGGAAUAAAUUUUCUAAUCCGGGUGGAUAUUGGUCCAGGACUGCAGAACCCAUGUUCAGUACCCGAAGGUAUUUGAACAUUUUACAAAAGUUCUCGCAAUCUAUCAGAGCGAGACGAUCGCUUUCUGAACUGUGAUUCAGAAAAGAUUGGAGAUACAUGUCAGAAUGUUCUAGAGAAAGGAACUCAAUCAGACGUUCCACAAUGAAGCACCGUUUAACAUUUGCCGUUGAUUCCUCUUCCAUGUCAGGCGUCCAGACAAAUCCCGCCUUCUUUGCCAACAAUAACAAUGAAGUAAAUACAAAACUUGGAACAUAACACGCUUUAAUUGUGCCGCCGGCGCUUCUCUUACUCACUUGAAUGAAGCCGCGAUGGAUUAGUUCUUUCAAGUAAUGUUCGGCAGUUUCUUCACCGUUGUAUGGUAUGAAACCUUCAGCUACCCACAAAUGAUAUAAUUGCCUCGUGGAUAUCUCAAUGCCUGGAAGGAAGACACACAAAUAGAUGCAGCAGAUUUUCAAGUGAAAAGGUAACUCCAACACAGAAAAAAUUUGUCUCCAAACUGUCGGAAUCGCUUCGCCUUGAACAUAAUUUUCCAAUGGCAUACUUCCAUAGUGUAGGAUGAAAAAUUGCCAGGCUUCAUGCUUUAAUCUGAUCAAUGGUCCUCCAAUGAGCACUGAAUCAAGCCGAAUCUUCUCUCCGUUUUCCAUUUCCAGCGACGCAAGGAGGUCUGGAUCAGUGACCAAUAUCAAUACUCUGCUUCCAUUCUGAUCAUCUGGAAGAAGUUCUAAAACAUCACUCCAUAUCUCACUGUCAUCGAAGACAUCAUCAAGCACAAUAAAGUACUUCUUGUUUGUUAGGUAAUCUCGAAGAAUAGAUUUCUUCAAUUGAUGCUCUUCACCGAUAAUUACACUAACCCGAGCUGGAGGCAUCACAGACUUGAUUAUGCCAUCCAAUAUCUUGCCGUAAUCAUAGCUUAGAGAAACCCUGACCCAAGAAAGACAGUCAAAAUAGAACUUGACAUGGUUAUUAUUAUAAGUAUCUGCAGCAAAAGCAGUCUUAUCGAAGCCACUGCUGUCGAGAAUUGCAACCACUGAAAGCCCAGAUGGUCCCUCAAUCAAUAGAUCAAAAAACUUCUCUCUGCCCCUUUCAAAUUCACUGAUAUCGAGCCGAGGUUGUCCCUCAUUCAAUAGGCGAAUGAUUUCGUUACUUUUUUCACUGAUAUCAAAACCAUUGUCGCCGGGUGGAAGUUGUUGCAUCCGAUUUCUAAUAUCAAUGAUUUUAGUGUGGAGUCCAACAAGAAGAGCCAUAUCAGUACUGCUUUCACUUUCGUUUUCACUGUUUUGCUGCUGCAUUAUGUUGAUGAAGAAUCUGUCAAUGGCUUCCUCAGAUUCAUGGACAACGGGAUUGAUGUCCUCCAGAAUUUCCAAAAUAUCUGCUGUUUCAACGUCUUCUUCAUCGCUUUCUUCUAAGUCCAACAGUUGCAAAAAAGGCAAUGAUAUUUUAGAGUCAUCCAAAUCUUCUGUAAGGAGUUGAAACAAAUGCCGAGCCAUGUCAGCUUCAUAUUUUCCCAGCAGAGUACUAGCAAUAAUUUCGGACUCCGUAAGAAGGUUUUGACAAAGUGGAGUUAAAUUUGUUGAAUCUGGCAGCGGCAACGUGCCUUCUUCACCUGCUAACACCCUCUCCAACCUCUCACAAAACAGUCGGAGGUGGACGUCCAGCAUAUCUCCUUCUCUCCGCAGCACUCAGAGGUAUAGUUGAAAGAUUAAACACCAUGGAAGAAUUUGAAAGGAAAAUGCCAAGAAACUGUGUAAGUGGCUAAAUUCCACAAAUGCGGCAUUAUUGCUCAUUUUUUAACUCAAAAAAUUGAUACGCGUUCAUUUAGAGAAAAGUCCAAGACGCGUGCCUUUUGAAAAGAACAGGUAUCCCAAUCGGUAUACAACCUUUAUCUUAUUUAAUUACUACCAUGACAUAAUUGAUGGUGCUUAAAUCAAUUGUUUCUUUUUUAAUUUAAAGAAUUUUUCAUUAAAAAAAUAUUUUAAUAUCAAAUUGCCUUCAGUGGCGUAACUGCCUCAAGCCCAGUAACAGGACUAAUUAAAAAUUUUACAAUUUUUGGGCAUGGAAAUAAUAGUAUUAAACGUUAGAAAGGUGAGGUUGUUCUGUUAAAGAAUUGAUAUUGACAUAAUUUUAUUUUGGUUUUCGUGGAAAACAAAAAUUUGUUGACAAGCAAGAAAGUAUUUUUAUAUUUUAAAAUUUAUUAUGCAUAUUUUAUCAUAUUAAAGUAGUUUUAAUAAUAAAUAGAAACAUAAUAUUACGAUAAAUAAAUUAAAAUUUAACUUAUUUUGAAUAUUAUAAAAAAUAAUUUUAAUAUUAUUAAUAGGAAGACAUUUUGUUAAUUUUAAAAUUUUUUAACCCAAUGGUUUAUUUAAAAUCUUUAUUAUAAAUACAAAUAUAAAAUUAAAUAUCAUAAUUUAAAAUUUUUAAUAUUAUUUUAAGUAUUAAAAAUAUUUUAAUGUUAUUAGUCUACUACAUAGAUCAUAUUACUUAUAUAAUAUUUGUAUUAUUAAAAAUUCUUAAAAUCAAAUUUUUAGUUAGUAUAUUCAUGAGGUAUUAUGGUUAAAAAAAAAAGACCUUAUUGUUACUUUUUAAAAAAUUGAGGGCCUGCGUGAUAAUUUUUUCAAAAAGAAAAUGUAUCUAGGAGGGGGAUCCAGGUAGGGUACCACUGUGGUACCGUACCACGGGUUUUGUCUUUUGUGCCAGUAAUGUUGUAAAAUUUCAUUGAACCCCUUUCAUUUAUUUUUAUUUAAACUUUACCUCAUAAAUAUUAAAUUAAUUUCUAUUGCAUCCAUAUAAACAUUAUAAUAAGCACCUUAUACUAUUUGUUAUUUAUACAUUUUUCUUCUAUAUUGCACCUUUAUCACAAUACCCCCUCUUUAUCAAAAUACCGGCGAACCCGACCCGAAUUUCGUUUCCAUUUCCGUCCAUGCCACCGGCCAAGGUUGGUACCGAUCGGAAGAUCGUGCGACGCCGGUCAUCUCCACGCCAUCAUUGUCGCAAAAAUAACAAGGUCAACCCGACCCUCGAACCAGACCCGGAUUUUGUUUCCGUUUCCGGCUACUCCACCGGCCAAGGUUGGUACCAAUCGGAAGCUCGUGCGACGCCGGUCAUCUUCAUGCCAUCCUUGUCACAGUAAAGCAUUCGGAAAGCUGCCGAUCGAAGCCGUGAAAAGUCAUAGAAUUCCCGCUUCAAUUCACCACGGUUUCUCUGGUUUCCGGUGACGCCACCACUUGAGUUUUGUUCUCCACAGUUCCCUCUGUCUUUUCUGACCGACCACAGCCACCGGAGGAGCCGAUUUGUCGUUGAUCGGCCGUUGAAGGAUUCACGGGUUUGGGAGAAAUGAACUUAAUAUUUGUGAAGCAAAGUUCAAAUAUGAAUAAGUGAAAGGGCUUCAUGAAAUUUUAUACAGAAAAGACAAAAGCGGUGGCAUGGUGCCACUGUUGCACGAUAGGCGAGUCCCUAGGAGGGAUAGAGAAACAUGACUCCCAAAAUCUCUCACCCUUUUUUAAUUAAAAAAAUUAAAAUAUUAAUAAAAAUAAUAAAGAAAAUAGAAUUUUAUCUGCUCCUUACUCCAUUUUUGCAACUCUCUCACCAUCUCUGUCGAGCAGCCCUCUCUCUCACUGUCUCUCACUAUUUCACGAUCUCUCUCUCACUCACACAGGCAAUGACCAUCUCAUCGUCGGCGGUCGUGUCGUCAUUGUCACUGUUCUUGCUCGACCGAGAGACAGUGAGAGAGAGGUUUGUUAGAUGGAGUUAGUGAGAGAGAGUUGUAAAGAUGGAAUGAUGAUAAAGGAUUUUAAUUUUUUAUUGUUUUUUAUUAAUAUUUUAAUUUUUAAAAUUAAAAUGUGCUGCCGUUUCUCUCGCCUUUUUAACUGCUUAACUUAACAUUUUUUAAUUGUAAAAUCUUUUUAAUACAAAAAUUCAUUUAAAAUCUUUAUAAUAAAUACAAAUAUAAAAUUAAAAAAUAUCAUAAUUUAAAUUUUUUAAUAUUAUUUAAAUAUUAAAAAUACUUUAAUAUUAUUAGUCUACUACAUAAAAUAUAUUAUUUAUAUUAUAUUCGUAUUGAUUAAAACGUUUUAAAGUCAAAUUUUUAAUUAGUGUAUUCAAAGAUACAAAAGAUUUUAGUAUUAUUUUUUAAAAAUUUCAGGAUAUGAAUGAUAAUUUUUUUCAAAUUUUAACGAUGUAAGAAUCUUUUUUUCUGAUAAUUUAUUUCACUUUUGAGAGAAUCCGAAAACGUUAAUUUAACAUUCUUUACCUUUGUGAAAAAAGUGAAAAUCAAGAACUAUUCAAUUUUGUUUUUAUUUGUAAUUCAAAAUUUUAUUCAUUUUCGAUGCUUUUCAAAAGAGAUUCCUUUAAAUCCUUUUGGUGUCUGCAGCUCCUGCUAUUCUCAUAAAUCUCCAUCCCACAUCUACACUAUCAAACUAGUUGAUGGAAAUUCUUAUAAAAAAAAAAAAAAAAAAAAAAAAAAAGGUUGAUGGAAAUUGAUCAAUUACUUUUUGAAGUGGACCCAUUGAGUCAUGUUCAUUUCUGGUCAUUGUCUACUCUUUCUAUCAGCCAUUUAUUUUGACUAUUUGCGAUCUUAUCUGGACCAACUCCAAUUAUUUAUGUAACGAACUCCAAAGGUUGCAUCUACAGUUGAAUGUAAGAUAGCGAAAGCUCUUCUUUGAGAAAAUAGAGGAACCUUUCUCUGUUUCUCCGUUGCAACGUGCGCAUAUAAAUUUCUUUACCUUACAGUUUAUACGGUCUUGCUGUUAAUGAAUUCGCUGAGGCAUUAUUGAUCCAAUCUGAGUGAAGUAAUUGUGGGUGAAAAAUAAAUAAAAGGAUAUGAGAACGUAGCUGAAGUGCUGAAGGGGCUAUUAAAGAAGAGUGUCACUUGAUCACAAUCACAUUGAUGCACAACUCACUCGUGGCAAAUUUCGACUAUACGUUCUGCAAAUUCAGCCAAACCAUACAUGCAUGAACAAAACUAAAAUUAGAAAAAUGAGGGGUGAAUUGUUAACUCAGUAAAAAAAAAAAAAAAAACUCAUGCAUAAGAUUACUAAUAAUAUAAAUUAUAUAUUAAUCAUUGUAAAGAAUCAUAAAUUAGAAAAAUUAAUCAUUUUAUAAUUUAUUACACAAGUAAGAUAAAUCUUAUAAUAAGUUAUAACAUAAAAAACGUUAUCAAUAUAUAAUCAUUUAAGAAGUCAUUUAACAAUAAAAUCGUUCUUUGAUCAGUUGGUCAUGUCACAUAGUAUCAUCUAUAUUUAUGGUGAUAAUAUUAUUACUUAGUAUUAUCAAAAAACAUGAUUUAACAUUUAGAGGAAAUUCUUGCCUUUUAAAAAAAACAUCUAUGCAACAGCUACCCAUGCUUUAUCUUACCAUGAAAAAUAUUUUCUCAAUGAAAGAAAAUUUUUUAAAAUUUGAUUUAAUGCACAAAUAUGAUGAUUUUUGCAAAAAUUAGUUUUGGAAAACAUAGUGAGAGAAAAUAGUGACGAUUAUUGUUUAAAUGUAUAAAUAGCCUAAACAUAAUCCUUAAUACCAAUAUCCUAAUAUCCUAAUGCAUCUUAUCAUCUUUCAUGAUAUUCUUUGAUUUAUGUCCAUUGGUUCAAGAUUUGAAUUUGAUCAUUAAAUCAUGUUCAAUAAUAUUAGAGAUUCUAACAAAUGAGUACCAACUUAAAUCCCAAUGUUAUGUGUCAUUGACCAAUUUUGUGUCAUUUUGUUAUUAACUAGGUGAUGAAUUUCUAGUUGAUAAAAUCACUUAAAAAUAUCUUAAAAAUCAGACAAUAGUUUGCUUAAUUUUUCCAAGUUAACUGCUCAAGAUGCUCUAUUAUAAAUGAUAACCUAAUUAUAUUCAUAAAAAAAUGAUAUAUUUUUUGUGGUGUUGAUAAUGAGAUUAUCAUUCAACAUUUUAAAAUGUGAAAACAUAUGGAAGAUGGUUGUAAAUUGAUUGAAUGAAAAUAUUUCAGUGAAGUCUCAAAAAUUUGGUACUUGUUGUCUUAUCGAAAGUUUUCUAAAUUAUAUUCGUGGCACAGCCACUAUCCAAACCAUACAAGUCCAAAGCUAUCCAAACCAUACCUGCAAGUCCGGGGCUUAAAUGGAGUACUUCUAAGCAAAAAAACAUUGACUAAAAUAGAAUAUAUACAUACAGACACACAUACAUACCAGCAUAUUCAAAAUAGCAAAAGGAGUGCAAAAGUUCAAGUUUGUAGACAACAUUGCAACCAUAGCAUGUUUAUAGCAAACCUCAAAAUCUGCUAAAUAAAACAAUGCCCCGUCUCAUGAAUCAAUGCUGAAUUAAAAUUGAAACUGAAAGUCUGGAUGGUGUUGUUUGUUGAGAAUGUCAAAUAAAACGGCAUUGAAUGAAGUUUUCAAAGGCAGAAUCCGCACUUGUCAAAGACACGAUCCGCGCCGAACGGAUCGACACAGAAACCAAAUUCGUCCCACAACCAUUUUUUCCACCAUUUUCUUCCUUAAAACCAUUCUUACAGAAAUCCAUGCCGAUCAAAAAACAUGAAAGACAAAUUACACAUGUGCAGUAACCAAUGAUCAUAUUUCGUUACUGUCAAACACAAUGCAUCUGAGCAAAACAUUGGAAGCCAACACCAGAAUACAUAUGAAUAAACAAUUAAAGAUAGAGAAAAAAGGCUUAAACCUUGGGGGGAAAAAGUGAAAAAACAUGAAAGACAAAUUACACAUGUGCAGUAACCAUCGAACUUAUCAGUGACAGCUGCAUCCAUUACAUUGCUCCAACAACACAAUGGCAAACCACCAGUUUCAAAUUGAGGAUAGCUAUCGAGAAUGAGAAAGCGUCCAAAACGUCAUAAAUAGACAUGUUCCUAUUGUGCAUAAUUUACAUUAUAGGCAAAUAUUCUUAUACCGUCAAAGGCAAAACAUGACACUAACAAUUGAAUCCCCCCCCCCCCCCCCCCAAAACCAAAAAAAAAAAGGAAAAAACAAUACAGAAAAGAUCGAAACAGAUAAGGCUACACUGAGCACAGGAUGCCAUGAAACAUAAUCCAGGAACCAAAUUAAUAAAAAAGGAAGCCAAACCAUUAUUUAACAAUCUGUUUUGUAUCUGGGAAAGUCUGAUAAAAUCUACUUAGGGAUAAUUAGAGAACCUCAACUAUUAAUCACACCUCAUAAAUGAACUAACAUUAACCAUCUACCAUCCCCACGUCACACAAACAUUCUCUAUACUUCUGAACCUAAUACUUCCAUCUUCAAUCGGGGUUUUUUUUUUGGGGGGGGGGGGGGGGAGCUAUCAAUUUUCUAAGCUUGCUUAGCUUCUGUGUGGGAUUGAAAUGCUGAUUUCGAAUCACUAACAGUAAAAUUGGAAGCUCAUGAAAUAAUCAUGCAAUAGCUUAUUAUAUUGUUUUAGGUCAUUUUUUUCAACUAUUUUCUUGUUAAUAAAUGUCUUGAAAAGCUACAAGAUAAUAUUUCUCUUGCUGGUCGUGUGAAUAUGGAAGAGAUGGCCGAGAGCUAGGCAGCUAGCUAAUAGAAAUUUUUAUGCCUCAUACAUACUAAAUACAAGUCCAAAAGCAUUUCCCAUCUAGUCAAAAUAGAUAAAAAUUAAAGGCAUACGUAUGCUUUCUUAAUCAUCACACGCACUAAUUAAAUAUUAAUUGAAAAUCCUAGUUAAUCAGUAAAAUUAGCAACGGUGGCACCAGGCUUACAAGCCUUAGCCAUAGGGCUUGGGUGAACAAAAGGGCUGGGCCUCACGGGCUUCCCCAUAAGCUCUCCCGGCAGAUCCUUAAUGCCCUUCAAAUAAAAAGUAUAGAACAGCUUAAAUGGAAACACAAGUUGCUUCAGCUUAACCUGCCCACUCACUCCUUCAAAGAUCCCUGACCCUCCAGUCACAGCAAGACAAGUGUCCUUGUAUGUCAAAUAAGACCCCUGCACCGAUAUGUGACCGUAGUCUCCGAAGUAGAAGCUGUAUACGGCUUCGUAUCUGUCACCUUUCAUUGGCUUGUGCUGGAUCAAAAUGCAAAUUCCUGCUGUAAUUCCCACUCGCUUUUGCAAGUCUCCGCUAUAUAACUGCAAUACAUUAAAAAGAUUAUAUAUUAACAAUUCUAUGUAUACUAGUAACAAUAGAAUAAGCGAUAUUGGUGAUCAUGUUGCGGUAUAUCAUAUUGUCACCCAAUUUUUUUUUUUUUCAUAAUUGACGACUUCAACAAGAUUCACAUACGAUAAAUUACUAAUUUUAUAUCACAUCAGGUUAUAAUUUGUAUGAAGUAAUCUGAAUAUAGAACUUUUGUGCGUAUUAAUAUAAUUGAAACACGAAGGAUGAUUAACUUGCAAAACAAAUGGGUACUAUGAAAAAUUAAUUUACUUUGUUGCUAAAAGGGACAAGAUCACCGAGUGAAUUGAUGAAACAUUUCUUGCUCAACCGGAGAUAGGCUGGGCUCCCACGAUCUAGCUCGUUGAUCUCAUAAACAUACAAUUCUUGAACUUUGGCUACAAUUAAUCAAAGAUAAAACGGUAAAGAGAAUGAUUAACAAGAUACGUCAAAUUAAAAACAGAGGAAUGUUAAGAAAAAAAAAAAAAGAUACUAAUCAAAUUGUUUUAGCAAUUUGAUUGAAAGUGCGGCUGCACUAAUUUUCUAGAUGAAUUUUUCCUACAUGCUUGUUCUCGUAUGACCCAAAAUCCUGCUACAUCAGUUGUAUUAGAAAUUAAUCAACUGGGUUACAAUUAUGCAUCCCCACCAAUAUUUAAGCAAUUUAAUUACAGAAACAUUUCUUGGGGAAAGAAACUCAUAUCGCCACUAGGCUUUUAAUGAGGCUCAUUUUUAUGAAUCUGGAUGGCAUUAGAUAUCUCUACGAAUAUUGGUGGGAGUAGAUCGCAGAUCUCUGGGCUAUACUACAAAGUGUAUGUACGUUGACUCGCAAUAAAUACAAACGACUCUCUGAUAUGAUUCAAAACAUCAGUGCAUGCAUCAUUUUAACGAGAGAGAAUAUUCUAAGAACGAAAUUGAAGGUGCAAUCAGCAGCUAAAAUGAAGCCAGAAAUGUACACGCAUGAGGAAUUUUUCCUAGAAGAUUGAUAUUUCUUUGACUAGCAAACCAUACAAGUCCAAAGCUAGCCAAACCAUACCUGCAAGUCGGGGGUUUAAAUGGAGUACUUCUAAGCAUAAAACAUUAAUCAAAACACAGUACAGACACACACACACACCCCUACAUACAUACCAGCAAAAAUCCACUGAGAAAGUGGGAAAAAAAGAAAAUGCAUAUAAAAGUAUGAGUUAUCAGAUAAGAUUAAAACUCACCCAAUUCAAUCCAUCAGAUUCCAUAAGGAUAUAACUGGAUGUCAUACCGCCACUCCAUAUCCUUGAAAGUCCGUAGUGUUUGUCUCAACUCUGUCUGAGGCCAAUGUAAAUUCAAUUUGCGCAAGCUCUUUAUGCACCACAGCUCUUCUGGAAGCUUUCUCAAGUAAGCACAUGGGUUGACAAUUAAGCUUUCAAGUUUCGGCAUUGCUCCAGCCCCCAUCGUCCACUCAUCUAGCCAAUACAUUGAUUUCAGGUGCAAAACCUUAAGUUCGGGAAAGCUACUCAAGCCAACACAAGCAAGCUUUCUUCCUAAAUACGAGUUCUGCUUCAGUUUCAGCAGUCGAAGGCGUGGAAGAUUUUCCAGAAUUGGCAUGGGAUCCUCCUUUAGCUCAGUAUUUGAUAAGCUCAGUUGGAUCAGACUUGGGGGAAAUUGGUAUUCAGAUAGGACCAUCCGUGAGGGCUUGCUCUCAUUCACCAGCUUCAAGCAUUCAAGUUUGUGGAGUUCGCAAAGGCUUUUGGAAACCCCAGACUGAUAGUAACUCAAAUCUCCAGAUAUCCGAAGAGUCUGAACACUAGGUAGUCUGCCCAAUAUAUCAGGAGUACAACUACUAGGGUUUAAAGCUGAUAUGAAAAUGAGAUUUUUCAGAGAGCUAGAAUAAUUUUUUGGAGGUGCGGGCAGAGUGAUAGAACCAAAGUUUAGAUGCAUGAGUUUUUGCAUCAUCCAAAUAUCCUCUGGUGAAUGAUCUAUGUCGCUAGAUGGCAUUUCUAGUGUUUGAAGGUUUAAAAGGGUGCAUAGCAUUGAAGGAAGGCAUUUGAGCGAAGGGAUAUUCAAUUUCAAAUACUUCAAAAGGAAUAAAUUUUCUAAUCCGGGUGGAUAUUGGUCCAGGACUGCAGAACCCAUGUUCAGUACCCGAAGGUAUUUGAACAUUUUACAAAAGUUCUCGCAAUCUAUCAGAGCGAGACGAUCGCUUUCUGAACUGUGAUUCAGAAAAGAUUGGAGAUACAUGUCAGAAUGUUCUAGAGAAAGGAACUCAAUCAGACGUUCCACAAUGAAGCACCGUUUAACAUUUGCCGUUGAUUCCUCUUCCAUGUCAGGCGUCCAGACAAAUCCCGCCUUCUUUGCCACAAAAUACAAUGAAGUAUAUACAAAACUUGGAACAUAACACGCUUUAAUUGUGCCGCCGGCGCUUCUCUUACUCACUUGAAUGAAGCCGCGAUGGAUUAGUUCUUUCAAGAAAUGGUCGGCAGUUUCUUCACCGUUGUAUGGUACGAAACCUUCAGCUACCCACAACUGAUGUAAUUGCCUCCUGGAUAUCUCAAUACUUGGAGGGAAGACACACAAAUAGAUGAAGCAGACUUUCAAAUGAAAAGGUAACUCCAUCACAGAAAAAAUUUGUCUCCAAACUGUCGGAAUCGCUUCGCCUUGAAGAUAAUUUUCUAAUGGCAUACUUCCAUAGUGUAGGAUGAAAAAUUGCCAGGCUUCAUGCUUUAAUCUGAUCAAUGGUCCUCCAAAGAGCACUGAAUCACGCCGAAUCUUCUCUCCGUUUUCCAUUUCCAACGACGCAAGGAGGUCUGGAUCAGUGACCAAUAUCAAUACUCUGCUUCCAUUCUGAUUACCAGGAAGAACUUCUUCAAGAUCAUCCCAUAUCUCACGUUCAUUGAAGACAUCAUCAAGCACAAUAAAGUACUUCUUGUUGGUUAGGUAAUCUCGAAGAACAGAUUUCUUCGAUUGAUAAUCUUCACCGAUAAUUACACUAACCCGAGAUGGAGGCAUCACAGACUUGAUUAUGUCAUCCAAUAUCUUGCCAAAAUCGUAGGCUAAGGAAACCCUGACCCAAGCAAGACAGUCAAAAUAGAACUUGACGUGAUCAUUAUUGUAAGUAUCUGCAGCAAAAACAGUCUUGUCGAAGCCACUGCUGUCGAGAAUUGCAACCGCUGCAAGCCCAGAUGGUCCCUCAAUCAAUAGAUCAAACAACUCCUCUCUGCCCCUUUCAAAUUCAUUGAUAUCAAGCCGAGGUUGUCCCUCACUCAAUAGGCGAAUGAUUUCGUUACUUUUUUCACUGAUAUCAAAACCAUUGUCGCCGGGUGGAAGUUGUUGCAUCCGAUUUCUAAUAUCAAUGAUUUGACUGUGGAGUCCAUCAAGAAGAGCCAUAUUAGUGCUGCUUUCACUUUCGUUUUCACUGUUUUGCUGCUGCAUGAUGUUGAUGAAGAAUGUGUCAAUGGCUUCCUCAGAGUCACGGACAAAGUUAUUGAUGUCCUCCAGAAUUUCAAAAAUAUCUGCUGUUUCAACGUCUUCUUCAUCGCUUUCCUCUAAGUCCAACAGUUGCAAAAAAGGCAAAGAUAUUUUGGAGUCAUCGAAUUCUUCUCUAAUGAGUUGAAACAAAUGCCGAGCCAUGCCAGCUUCAUAUUUUCCCAGCAGAGUAGUAGCAAUAAUUUCGGACUCCGUAAGAAGGUUUUGAAAAAGUGGAGUUAAAUUUGUUGAAUCUGGCAGCGGCAACGUGCCUUCUUCACCUGCUAACACCCUCUCCAACCUCUCACAAAACAGUCGGAGGUGGACGUCCAGCAUAUCUCCUCCUCUCUGUAGCACCCAGAGGUAUUGUUUUUUUGCUCCAAGAAAUAUUAAAAGGAUUGGUUCUAUCUCAAAGUGGUUACUGGUGUAAAAUUAAACGACAUGGGAGAAUUUGAAAGGAAGAUGCCAAGGAACUGGCGAAGUGGCUAAAUUCCACAAAUACGGCAUUAUUGCUCAAUUUUAAGUCAAAAAAUUGAUACGCGUUCAUUUAGAAGAGGUAUCCAACCUUUAUCUUAUUUUAAUUACUACCACGACAUGAUUGAUGGUGUUUAAAUCAAUUGUUUCUUUUUUAAUUUAAAGAAUUUUUCAUUAAAAAUAUUUUAAUAUCAAAUUGCCUUCAAUAGCGUAACUGCCGCAAGCCCAGUAACAGGAUUAAUUAAAAUUUUUUGAAUUUUCGGGCACGGAAAGAGUAGUAUUAGACUUCAGAAAGCUAAGGUUGUUAUGUUAAAGAAUUGAUAUUGACAUAAUUUUAUUUUGGCUUUCGGGUAAAAAAAUAUUUGUUGACAAGCAAGAAAAUAUUUUUGUAUUUUACAAUUUAUUAUACAUAUUUGAUCAUAUUAAAGUAAUUUUAAUAAUAAAUAGACACAUAAUAUUACAAUAAAUAAAGUAAAGUUUAAAUUAUUUUGAAUAUUAUAAAAAAAUAAUUUUAAUAUUAUUAAUAGGAAGACAUUUUGUUAAUUUUAAAAUCUUUUUAACCUAAAGGUUUAUUUAAAAUCUUUAGAAAUCUCCAUCCCACAUCUACCCUAUUAAACAAGUUGAUGGAAAUUGAACAGUUGCUUUUUGAAGUGGACCCAUUGAGUUAUGUUCAUUACUGGUCAUUGUCUAUUCUUUCUAAGAGCCACUUGUUUUGAGCAUUAGCAAUCCUAUCUGGACUACUCCAAUUAUUGAUGUAACUCCAAUGGUUGCAUCGACAGUUGAAUGUAAGAUAGUGUUAGUUCUUUUUUGAGAAUUUCUUUAUUUGUUUCUCCGUUGCAGCGUAUUAGUAUAAAUUUCUUUACCUUACAGUUCCUACAGUCUUCCUGUUAAUGAAUUCGCUGAGGCAUUAUUGAUCCAAUCUCAGUGAAGUAAUUGUGGGUGAAAAAAAAAAUAAAGGAUAAGAGAACGUAGCUGAAUUGACUAUUAAAGAAGAGCGUCACCUGAUCACAAUCACAUUGAUGCACAACUCACUCAGAUCAUUACAACGUCCUUUUCGCUAAUUAAUUAUGAUUAUAUACAUUUUCAUAUGGCAAGUGGCAUUGUAGAUCUAAACUACGUUGCUAUUUCAUUACGUUAAUUAAGUGAUUCUCCUGAUUGUCAUCAGCGCUAUACCCUCUAGGAAAAUAGCUCAAUUGUUUUCCUGCAUUGAUUUUCAUUGGUAUGUGAUUUCUUAUGAAAUUCUUUUGAGCUUUCCUUAAUUAGACUUUUGAAAAUAGAAUUAAACAUUAGAUUAAAAUAAAAUAGAAUUAAACAUUGGUAUGUGAUUUCUUAUGGAAAGAGUAGUAUUAAACAUUAGAAAGCUAAGGUUGUUCUGUCAAAGAAUUGAUAUUGGCAUAAUUUUAUUUUUGCUUUCGAGUAAAAAAAAAAAAAAUUGUUGACAAGCAAGAUACUGUUUUUAUAUUUUACAGUCAGUUAUACAUAUUUUAUCAUAUUAAAGUAAUUUUAAUAAUAAAUGGAAACAUAACAUUACAAUAAAUCAAUUAAAGUUUAAAUUAUUUUGAAUAUUAUAAAAAAUAAUUUUAAUAUUAUUAAUAGGAAGAUAUUUUGUUUAUUGUAAAAUCUUUUUAACCCAAAGGUUUAUUUAAAAUCGUUAUAAUAAAUAAAAAUAUAAAAACAAAAUAAAUAUCAUAAUUUAAAAUUUUAAUAUUAUUUUAAAUAUUAAAAAUACUUUAAUGCUAUUAGUCUACUACACAGGUUAUAUUACUUAUAUUAUAUUUGUAUAAAUUAAAACUUUUAAAGUUAAAUUUUUAAUUACUAUAUUGAAAAGGUAUUAUGGUUAAAAAAAGUUUUGGCAUUUCUUUUUGAAAAUUUGAGGGUCUGCAGGACAAUUUGUCCAAAUCCUAGAGGUAUAGGUGUCUUUUUUUUUUCGAUAAUUCAUUUUACUUUUGAGGGAAUCUGAUGAGAAAUAAGAUAAGAGAAACGUCAAUUUAACGUUCUCUACGGAAAACCAAGAACUAUUCAAUUUUGUAUUUUUUGUUUGUAAAACGAAAAACAGUUUGCCAAAAAAGGUACCAAACAUAUCCUUAAUGUCUCACAUGAUUUCUUAUUAAGUCCAUACUCGAUAUAUUUAUACAUUUUAGGUAUUUUAGUUAUAAAAGAAGUUGGUCCUCCCUCUGUUUAUAAAAGGUAACUUUAUUUCGAGAUUACCACUAAAGUCUUACAAUGAAUUAGUGUAAUGUUAAGAGAGAGUAACACAAUUUUUCAUUACCAUUUUGAAAAUAGAAAGAUAUGGAUGUGUGCAUUUAAUGGUGCGUUUACUUGUCGGAUUGGGGAAUCGGAAUGAUUGAUGGUGUUUACUUCGCAAAUAUGGAGCAGGAAUCGAAAUUGAAAUGGUGGGGCCCACUACUAUUUGGGAAUGGGAGAUUGAUUCCCAUGGGGGAAGGUGUGAAUAGGGAUGGCAAAUUUUUCCGGAUCUGGCUCGGACCCGGAUAAACCCGGAUGAUCCGGUCCGGGUUGAACCCGGACGGGAUGUAUAAAAAUGCGGAAUCCGGAACCCAUUUUACAAACCCGCACAUGUCCGGGUCCAGUUCCGGUUUUAGGCGAACCCGUAUGUCCGGAAUCCGGACCCGGAUAUUUAUUAAUUUUAAUAUUAAUUUUUAAAAAAAUAUUUUUAAUAUAAAUAGAAAAAAAAAAGAACCCAGAGGUGCCCUAGGGCUUCAUUCAUUCACAGCCGCAGCAACACAUUUCCUCUCCCUCUUCAACUUGUCUUCAUCAAAUCAAAUCGUCGUCACACUCACUUGCCCACCUUCGCAGCUCAUCAUCAUCCUCAUCAGCUUGUCUUGGCGUCUUGCCCACCUUUGCGUUGCAGCUGUUCAUUAUCAUCAUCAUCAGCUUGUCUUGGCGUCUGACUCUUGCCCACCUUCGCGUCGCGGCUGUUCAUCAUCAUCAUCAACUCGUCUUGCCAACUUUUGCGGUUGUUCAUCAUCAAAUCAUCGCCGUCGUCACUUGUAUCAGCCGCCGUCACGAACAAUAACUAGCUUCGAUACAAUCAGAAGUAGCGAGCUUGCCUUCACCGGAUGCCAAUCCUUAAAGUUCGUGAAUGCCAAAUCGGUUCGAACCAAGCUUAUUUGUAUUUGGUUAGUUUAGGCCAUGGAUUUGUAUUUAAUUUGCUGAAAUCCUAGAUUUGUAUUUCCAUUUGUCAGUUGAAUUUAGUUUUUUUUUUUAAAUUAGAUUCAUCAAUCCGGGUUGGAAACCCGCAAUCCGGAAACCCGGUUUUUCCGGGUUGAAUCCGGACCGGACCCGGAGUGAAAAAAUGCGGGUUAUGUCCGGGUCCGGUAUAGAAAAAUAAUCGUCCGGGUCCGGAUCCGGAAAGGCUGAACCUGGACCCGGACCCGGACCCGGAUUUUGCCAUCCCUAGGUGUGAAUGAGUCUCCCAUUCCUGGAUUGACCAUUUUGCCCUCCCUCAAAAUUAAAAAUGCCUACUUUGUCCUCUUUUAUAAUUAAUUAAUAUAAUAUUAUAAUUAAUUAAUAUAUAAAUAUUUUAUUAACUAUAAUUAUUAAAAAUUAUAGUUCUUGAAUAAAUAAUCACAAUAAUUAAUUUAUUAUUAUUAUUGUUAUUUUAAUUAAUUAAUUAAUAUACUAUUAUAAUAAUUAUUAAUAUAAUUAAUUUAUAUAUUAUUAUUAUUAAUGAAUUAAUAUAAUUAUUACUAUUAAUUAAUAUAUUAAUAUAUUAUUAACAAUAAUAUAUUAAUAAUUAUUGUUCGUGAAUAAAUAAUCACAAUAAUUAAUAUAUUAUUAUUGUAAUUAAUUAAUUAAUAUACUAUUAUAAUAAUUAUUAAUAUAAUUAUUAUAAUUAAUUCAUAUAUUAUAAUUAAUUAAUUAAUAAAAUUAAUAUUAUUAAUUAAAUAAAUAAUAUAAUUAUUACUACUAAUUAAUAUAUUAUUAAAAAUAAUUAUUAAUAAUUAUAAUUUUUGAAUAAAUAAUCACAAUAAUUAAUAUAUUAUUUUAAUGAAGUAAUUAAUAUUAAUAUUAUUAGUUAAUAUAUUUUGAUAAUAAUUUUUAAUAUAGUUAUUAUAAUUAAUUAAAUUUUUUUACAAUUAAUUAAUAUAUUAGUUAAUAAUAAUUAUGACAAUAAUCUAUUAAGUACUUUUUAGUAAUUUAUUACAAUAUAAUUCAUUCCGAUUCCGAUUUCAAGACAAAGUAUACACAUUAAUGGCAAUCUAGCUCAUUCCGAUUUUGAUUCCUACAGUUCAAGUAAACAACUUAUUUUAAUUCCCAUUACUUAUUUCCAUUCCAGCCCAUUCUCAUUUCUGUCCAUUCCGAUUCCAGCUAAUUCCGAUUCCAGUUUAGUAAACGCAGCAUAAGAGUUAUCAUGAAAAUCAUACAAUUCAAUUUCCUGAAAUAUAUAUUUUAUUCACAUGUGCCAAAAGAAUAAAUAGAUAGAAAGUAAAUUUACAAUCCUCACUCCCUCACAAUUGUUAAAGUGAAUAUGCAUUACAACUGUGAACUGUCACUACUUUAGCCCUUUUUAAAAAAAAAAAAAAAUUAUAGUGUGAUCGAGACAGUGAACAUCAAGGAUAAAGUGCUCUGCUGGAAGCCAAACUUCCUUUGGCUUUCGGGGAAAAAAAUAUUUGUUGACAAGCAAGAAAAUAUUUUUGUAUUUUACAAUUUAUUAUACAUAUUUGAUCAUAUUAAAGUAAUUUUAAUAAUAAAUAGACACAUAAUAUUACAAUAAAUAAAGUAAAGUUUAAAUUAUUUUGAAUAUUAUAAAAAAUAAUUUUAAUAUUAUUAAUAGGAAGACAUUUUGUUAAUUUUAAAAUCUUUUUAACCUAAAGGUUUAUUUAAAAUCUUUAGAAAUCUCCAUCCCACAUCUACCCUAUUAAACAAGUUGAUGGAAAUUGAACAAUUGCUUUUUGAAGUGGACCCAUUGAGUUAUGUUCAUUACUGGUCAUUGUCUAUUCUUUCUAAGAGCCACUUGUUUUGAGCAUUAGCAAUCCUAUCUGGACUACUCCAAUUAUUGAUGUAACUCUAAUGGCUGCAUCCACAGUUGAAUAUAUGAUAGUGUUAGCUCUUAUUUGAGAAUUCAGAGGGAUAUUUCUAUGUUUCUCAAUUGCAAUGUGCUAGUAUAAAUUUCUUUACCUUACAGUUUAUAUAGUCUUGCUGUUAAAGAACUCACUGAGGCAUUAUUGAUUCAAUUUCAGUGGAGCAAUCGCGGGUAGAGGAUAAAUAAAGGAUAACAGAACAGAGCUGAAGUGCUAAAUUGGCUAUUGAAGAAGGGUGUCACAUGAUCACAAUCACAUUGAUGCACAACUCUCUGGAGGCAAAUUUUGUCUAUAUGUACUCUAAAUUCAUCUAAACCAUACAUGCAUGAACAAAAAUUAAACCGUAGUUCUCAUCACAACAGUAAUUGAAGCUACAAAAGCCAGCAAAUCUGAACAAAAACUUAAAAGGAAGAUCUUAUUCAAAUUUGUCCCCAAAAGAGAGCUGAGAUGAAAAAUAUUGACUAAUGAAUGGGUCAAUGCUGGAUACAUUUCAAAUGGAAAGCUUGGCAGCAGUUACAAUGUUUCCCCCUCAGCUUUUCCUCCAAAACAAAUUCAGUUGUAAACAAUAACCGAAGUAGAGAUAAUUCAUUCAUCAAAGAAAAUACCCAAGUUUUCAACUAACAAAUCCUCUUGUCUAAACUAAAAAAACUCGUAUCUCUAAAAUUUAUUUGCAAAAUGUUGGAAAUGAGGAGUGAUCCGUUAACUCCAUAAAUAAACUCAUGCAUAAUGUUAACAAUAAUGAUAAAUUACAUAAUAAUUAUUGUAAAGAAUUAUAAAUUGGAAACGCUAAUCAUUCUACAAUCUAAUAAAUAAGUAAGAUAAAUCUUGUAAUAAGUUAAGUUAUAAUGUAUAAAUAUUUUCAAUAUAUAAUUAUUUAAGAAGUCAUUUAAUAAUAAAAUAUUUAUUCUAUUCAGUUGAUCAUAUAGCGUUAUCUAAACUCUUGACGAUAUUAUUAUUACACUUUUCUCAAAAAAACAUGAUUAACAUUUAGAGAAAAGUCAUGCCUUUUAGAUAGAAUAUGUACAUAAGCUAUCCAUACUUUAUCUUACCAUGAAAAAAUUGAUGGUGAUUAAAUCUACUUUUAAAAUAGAUUUAAUGCACAAAUAUGAUGAUUUUUGGCAAAAAUUAGUUUCGGAAGAUACAAUGGUAGAAAAUAGUGAUGAUUAUUGUUUAAAUGUGUAAAUAGCCUAGGCAUAGCCCGUAAUACCAAUAUCCAUUUACCUUCAUUUAGAUUAUCACAUCUCAUAAUAUUUUUUCAUUCACGACCAUUGUUCGAGAUUUGAACUUGAUCAUAAAUUAAGCUGCAACGGAGUCUACUUAUGUUUCUAAGCUUUUCAAUCGCGAUUCCUCCAUGCCUUUCUUGGAUACCAUUUUACUGACCUUGUAAUUGGUGUGUAUAAGGAAUCAUGCCCUUUCAGGAUUGUUUUCUUUUUCUUUUUUUUUUCCUUAUUGUAGUGUCAAAUAAAUAAAGAACGAACAAUUGAACUUAGUCUAUUUCGAGGAAAACCAAGGCCUGCAAUAUUAGAUGAACUUUGAACAAAAUUAAUCUACUGCUUUUAGGCAAUGAUAACGUAGUUAUUUAUAUACAGUAUAAAUGAUAUUUUUUUGUCGAACGAGACUGUCAUUCAACAUUUAAAAUAUAAAACAUGUGGAAGAUGUUGUAAAUUGAUUGAAUGAAAAUAUCCCAAUGAAGUUUAGAAAAUUUGGUACUUGUUAUCUUAUCGAAAGUUUUCUAAAUUAUACGACUGUUUAAACUUAGCCCCUCCAGGUACUGCCACUUCUUCUACAUGAAAGUCAUAUAAGUUUGUGUUAGCUGCCUAUAGAUUGCAUAACAAUUUUCCUCAGGAAUUGUUGUCCAUUAUGGCAAUUUGAUUGAAAGUGCGGCUGCACUAAUUUUCUAGAUGAACUUCCCUGCAUGUUUGUUCUCAUAUGACCCAGAAUACUGCUAUAACAAUUGUGUUGGAAAUUAUUCAACUGGGUUACUAACUUACUAUUCUACAUCCCCACCAAAAUUUAAACAGUCGACAUUGUGGAAAGAAACACAUUUCGCCACUAGGCUUUUAGUGAGGCUAAUUUCUCUGAAUUUGGACAGAGUAGGUCCUCCAACGAGAACUGAAUCAGGACGAAUCGGCUCUCCAUUUUCUAAUUCGAACGAGCAAAGGAAGCCUGAAUCUGUGACCGUUAUCAAUAUUCUGCUUCCAUUCUGAUUCUCAGGAAGUACUUCUUCAAGAUCAUCCAAUACAUCGUCACCCUCUUUGUAGUAAUCAUCAAGCACAACAAAGUACUUCUUGUUUGUUAGGUAAUCUCGAAGAAUAGAUUUCUUCAAUUGAUAAUCUUCACCGAUAAUUAAUCUUCAAUUGAUCAUAAAUUAAGCUGCAACGGAGUUUACUUAUGUUUCUAAGCUUUUCAAUCGUCAUUCCUCCAUGCCUUUCUUGGAUACCAUUUUACUGACCUUGUAAUUGGUGUGUAUAAGGAAUCAUGCCCUUUAAGGAUCUUUUUUAUUUUUUUUUUUCCUUAUUGUAGUGUCAAAUAAAUAAAGAACGAACAAUUGAACUUGGUCUAUUUCGAGGAAAACCAAGGCCUGCAAUAUUAGAUGAACUUUGAACAAAAUUAAUCUACUGCUUUUAUUCAUCUUUGGACUAUGAAUUUAUACAAAGACUUUAACAGAAAAUAACAAAGACACAGCUACAUGAUACCAAUAAGUGCUGACUUAGUGGACUACUUCUACAACUAAAUAAAAACUAAUUAUUUAUUUUGAUUGUAAUAGCAACUACCCUGAUGAAUAGGACUCCACAACAACCACGUGACAAUUAAUUUCUCCUUAAUAUUAUUAUUAGUAGAAGUAGAUUUUCAAACUAGUCUUGAUAUAUGACAAAGUUGUAUUAUCAAUGUAUAUGCAUUUAGAUUGUAACUAUAUUUUUUUUAAAACAAAUUUAAUUAUUGCACAGUAAAUGUGGAAAAAUAUCUAUAAAAUAAUAUUAUUUACUAUGAAAAAAUAUUAUUUUAGAUAAGUUAUUUAUUUAUUUAUUAUUGAAUGAAUAAUUUAUUAAUUUAUUGAUAAAUGAAUAUUUAUUAAUUUAAAGAGAGAUUAUUUUUCUUUUAAGAAGAGUUUGUUUGGUACAUGUAUACACUUAUUAAUUUAUUGAAGAUGUCCAGCAAUUAAAGAUCUCUGUCUCAAUACUUUUCCCAAUCAAAAUCAAGAAACAAAAAAAAACUUGCCAUUUUUCUACUUGAUAAUUAAUUGAAAUUUAAGAAAAUACAAUGGCAUUUCAAUUAGAAUUGGUAAUUGUUUAUCUUUUUUUCAUUGAUCAAAUUCAAAUCUUUAUCCAAUAGUUAUAAAUGAAAGAAAUAUUAUGAGAGGAGAUAGGCCAAUUGAAGCCGUACCAGCAAAUAAAAAAUAGAAAAGGAGUGCAACUAUUCAACUUCGUAGACAAUAUUGCAACCAUCCAAAGGUGAAGAUCUAUGCUUAUUAUCUAUUUAACAGCUAUAUAUAUAUAUAUUUAAAUAUCAAGAGCUAUGCUUGUAAAUAAGUUCAAAUGUGAUGAGAACAACCUUAUAUUUAUUUAUUUAAAUAUGACCCAGGCUAAUUUCUCUGAAUUGGGACAGAGUAGAUUUCUAAGCUAAUGCUUGGCAGAUCUCUGGACGAUACUACAAAGUGCAUGUACAUUGAGUCUUAAUAAAUAUAAACGAUUCUCUGAUAUGAUUCAAAACAUCACUACAUGCAUAAAUUAAUAAGAAAUGUAUAGUUGUACAUAAUUUUAUGCAUGAGGCAGUUUUUAUAGUUGUACCCUCUCUAAUGAAAUUGAAGGUGCAGCCAGCAACUAAAAUGAAGCAGAAAUGUACACGCAUGAGGCAGUUUUUUUAGAAGAUUGAUAUUUCUUUAACUAGAAAGCCAUACAAGUCCACAGCUAGCCAAACCGUACCUGCAUGUGUCUAGGGCUUAAAUGGAGCACUUCUAAGCAUAAAACAGUAACUAAAACACAUACACAAACAUACAUACCAAAAAAUUCAAAAAAUAGAGAAAGGAACACAACUAUUCAUGUUUGUAGACAAUAUUGCAACCAUGGCAUCAGUUAUAGCAAAUAUUGAAUUACAAUAUUUCCCUUGACGAUUUUGUCUACACAAGUAAAGGGAAAUAAGAAUCAUAGAUGAAAAUCAACUUUUACGGUUCUAAUUAUUAGAUAGAUACAGAAUGAUCUAUCUUUGUUACUUUGUUUCUCUGCUGCAAUGUGCGAUCCCACUCUGUUUUGAUACUCAAAUUGACUCUAUGUGGAGACAUAAUUUUGACAUUGGAAGCAAUCCCAAUUAGUUUGGCAUUUGUAUCACCCUUUGAAGGUUUUACAAUAGAUGCAAAUCUACUGAGAAAAUGGUAAAAAAGUUGCAUAUAAAAUGAGGCAAUUAACAGAAGUAUGAGUUAUCAGAUUAGAUUAAAAGUCACCCAAUUCAAUCUAUCAGAUUCCGUACGGAUAUAACUGGAUGUCAUACCUCCACUCCAUAUCCUCGAAAGUCCGUAGUCUUUGUCUCAACUCUGUUUGAGGCCAAUGUAAAUCCAAUUUGCACAAGCUCUUUAUGCACCAUAGCUCUUCUGGAAGCUUUCUCAAGUAAGCACACGGGUUGACAAUUAAGCUUUCAAGUUUUGGCAUAGCUCCUGCCCCCAUCGUCCACUCGUCUAGCCAAUACAUUGACUUCAGGUGCAAAGUCUUAAGUUCCGGAAAGCCACCAGAGCUAACGCAGGCCAGCUUUCUUCCUAAAUACGAGUUCUGCUUUAGUUUCAGCACUUGAAGGCGUGGAAGCUUUUCCAGCAUUGGCAUGGGAUCCUCCAUUAGCUCAGUAUUUGAUAAGCUCAGUUGCAUCAGACUUGGAGGAAAUUGGUAUUCAGACAGGACCAUCCGUGAGAGCUUGCUCUCAUUCACCAACUUCAAGCAUUCAAUUUUGUGGAGUUCGCAUACGCUUUUGGAAACCCCAGAGUGAUAGCAACUCAAAUCUCCAGACACUCUAAGAGUUUGAAGAUUAGGUAGUCUGCACAAUAUAUCUGGCGUGCAACUACUAGGGUGUAAGGCUGAUAUGAAAAUAAGAUUUUUCAGAUUGAUAGAAUAAUUUUUUGGAGGUGCAGGCAGAGUGAUGGAACCAAAGUUCAGAUGCAUGAGUUUUUGCAUCUUCCAAAUAUCCUCUGGUGUUUGAUCUACGUAGCUAGAUGGCAUGUCUAGUGUUUGAAGGUUUGAAAGGGUGCAUAGCGGUGAAGGAAGACAUUUGAGCGAAGGGAUAUUCAAUUUCAAAUACUUCAAAUGGAAUAAAUUUUCUAAUCCGGGUGGAUAUUGGUCCAGGACUGCAGAACCCAUGUUCAAUACCCGAAGGUGUUUGAACAUUUUACAAAAAUUCUCGCAAUCUAUCGGAUUAAGAUGAUCGCUUUCUGAACUGUGAUUCAGAAAAGAUUGGAGAUACAUGUCCGAAUGUUUCAAAGAAAAGAAUUCAAUCGGAUCAUCGAAAAUGAUGUACCGUUUGGCAUUUGCCAAUGAUUCCUCUUCGAAGUCAGGCGUCCGGACAAAUCCCAUCAUUGCUGCCGUCCCAAGUAACGCAGCAUAUGCAAAAGUUGGAACAUAACUGAUGGGUGUCGAAGCCAACAAAAAUAAAUUCCUACUCUAAAUAAAUUGUGUAUAGUGAUUGAGCAGGGUCGUGUCCACAGAGAUCGGUAAUUAUUUAAAUCCUUUUGAAACGUAAAACGUAAAAUGGGGGAAUUGUAGACAAUAAUAAAAAUCAAAUUAAAUAACAAGAAUGCAAAUUAAAGUUGUAAUUCAAAUUGGAGAAAGCUCUGGUUGAAGGAAUUAACUAAGCUUGAUUCGACUACUGAUCAUUGAUUCAAAUAUAGAUUAUUAUUACUCAUGAAUAGACCGGUUAUAGCUAUUGAGACCCUCUAAUAGCCAAUCUCUCCUUAACUAGUCGAUAACCAAGGUACGACCGUUGGAUAUUUCCCUAAUCAAUAGACAACCCUAGAUACGAUCAUAUGAUUUAAUCAAUUGACAGCCUGAAAAAUCAGAGAGACCCAAAUCCUAAUUAACACAUAUGAUGAUUCAUUUAAAUUAGAUUGUUUAUUCUCACAACACAACUCUCUGCUAUGUUAUUUGUCACAAACAUCAAAUUCUUCAUACGAUGAAUCCUUUAAUUGACAAUAGAUUAAGUUGAUAAUUAAAUAGUGGCCAAUUACCUAAUUAACAAACAUAAUCAUAAAAAUAAUUCAGAGAAUAAACAAAUACCCAAAAAGUAAUAAAACAAUUAAAGCACAAGAAAGAUCUCACAGUAGUGAUGAAUCAAAGCUUCAUUAACCUUCAACCAGAAAAAUGGGUUUAGUUCCUCAUAGAGAGAAUAGAAAAAUUAGAUCUAGGGUUCUUUUUCUCCAAUCCAAAAAUCCCCCUUUUUCACAAUAGAUUCUUCCCUUAAAUACUCUCUCUCUCUUCUCUUUUAGAAUUCUAUUUAAAAUAAAAUACUAAUAUCUGAAAUAUUAAAUUCGUAAUUACAAAAAUAACCAAAAAUACAAAACACGUUAAACUAAAAACUGCAGGUCCGCAGUUGACAGCACGCGCCCACGCCUUAUCAACAAAGUUCUUCUGACGCUCAUAAUUUCUCCAAGAGAACAAUCCUCCUUAAACAUCAUCUUUUAGCUCAAUUUUAUCACCAAUCAAUAGAAUUGCACCUACAAAAGUAAAACACAAGUAAAACAUUAUUAUUAAAUGCAAAACAUCGAUAUUAAGGGAAGUAAAUAAUGCAAAACUAGUGCAUAAAUUGCACUCUAACAAUAACACGCCUUACUUGUGCCUCCGGCUCUUCUCUUAUUCACUUGAAUGAAGCCGCAAUCGAUUAGUUCGUUCAAGUAAUGCUCGGCAGUUUCCUCACUGUUGUAUGGUGUGAAACCUUCAGCUACCCACAACUGAUAUAAUUGCCUGGUAGAUAUCUCAAUGCCUGGAUGGAACACACACAAAUAGAGGCAGCAGAUUUUCAAGUGAGCAGAUAGCUCCAACACAUAAUAAAUUCGACUCCAAGUUGUCAGAAACGCUUUUUCUCCCAUGUAAAUUCUUAAUGUCGUUUUUCCAUAGUAUAGGAUGAAAAAUUGCCAGGAUUCAUGCUUUAAUCUGAUCAAUGGUCCUCCAACGAGAACUGAAUCAGGACGAAUCGGCUCUCCAUUUUCUAAUUCGAACGAGCAAAGGAAGCCUGAAUCCGUGACCGUUAUCAAUACUCUGCUUCCAUUCUGAUUCUCAGGAAGUACUUCUUCAAGAUCAUCCAAUACAUCGUCACCCUCUUUGUAGUAAUCAUCAAGCACAAUAAAGUACUUCUUGUUUGUUAGAUAAUCUUGAAGAAUAGUUUUCUUCAAUUGAUAAUCUUCACCGAUAACUACACUAACCCGAGAUGGAGGCAUUACAGACUUGAUUAUGUCAUCCAAUAUCAUGCGAAAAUCGUAGGAUAUAGAAACCCUGACCCAAGCAUGACAGUCAAAAUAGAACUUGACAUGAUUAUUAUUGUAAGUAUCAGCCGCAAAAGCAGUCUUAUCAAAGCCACUGCUGUCGAGAAUUGCAACCACUGAAAGCUGAGGUUGUCCCUCGAUCAGUAAAUCAAACAACUCCUCUCUGCCGCUUUCAAAUUCAUUCUUAUUAAGCUGAAAUAAUAUCAACUUCGCUCUUUGAAAUCAAAACCAUUGUCUCUAGGUGGAAGUUGUUUCAACUGAUUUCUAAUAUCAAUGAUUUUACUGUGGAAUCCAACAAGAAGAGCAAUGCAAGUAGUGCUUUCACUUUCACUGCUUUGUUGCUGCGUGUUGUUGAUGAAGAAUGUGUCAAUAGCUUUCUCAGAUUCAUCGACAAAGUAAUUGAUGUCUUUCAGAAGUUCCCUAAUGUCUGUUCUUUUAACAUUUUCUAAGUGCAAGAGCUGCCGAUAACGCGAAGGUAUUUCGUCUUCAUCGAAUUGUUCUCUAAUGAGUUGAAUUAAAACCCGAGCCAUGUCAGCUUCAUAGUUUCCCGGCAGACUAGUAGCAAUAAUUUCGGACUCCGUAAGAAGGUUUUGAAAAAGUGGAGUUAAAUUUGUUGAAUCAGGCAAAGUUAACGUGCCUUCUUCACCUGCUAACACCCUCUGCAACCUCACACCAAAUAGGGUGAGGUUAAUUUCCAUAUCUUUCCCUCUCUCAGUAGUACUCAGAGGUGAAUAACAACCUCACCCUUUGUUAGUAUUGAUGACGAAAGCUGAAUAACAAAACAACAGUGUACACAAUCAACAGAAGGCAAAGUAUGUUAAUUUGAGAUCAAAGGAUAUAAAUAUAGGAAAAGUUUUUGUAGAUUGAAAAUGGAUGGAUGCAAAGAAUGACUGAUAUUAAAUGAUUCUAUAAAUGAGAUAUGCCAAGAAUGAAUGAUAUUAAGUGAACAUCAAGGAUGGGAACAAAAUUUAAAGGUAACCUUUUUUUUUUUUUAAGUACUCUGUUGAAAGCCAAAGUUCCUUUGGCCAAUUAAUUUAGAAGUGAAGGAAAGAAUAAAGUUAGUCCUUGAUGUCUUUUGAAAUUAGAAAUACAUUUUGAAUGCCUUAAUAGAUGCAGAGCAAACUGGCUCGAUAUCUAACUAUUUUAAGAGCUAAAAUCAUUUAUUAGAAGUUGUAGCAUUAAAAAAAAUGGGCUUGAUAUCCAAUUUUGUUAUUGAAUAUGUCUCACGUGAGAGUAUAUAACUGUUGUGUUACUGGCAGAUGGCUAUGCUAGGUUUUAUUGCUCCUUGAAUUUGAUUGAAAAAUUAUUGAGACGGACAAGUUUGGACCAUUGUUCGAGACUGAAACUACACAUCAGUCUUAGAAAAUUGUAAUUUUAUUGGCUUAUCAUGAUUUUCAUCGCCCCAUAUUGAUUUUCCUAUGAUGUCUCUGUAGAGUGGCUAUGCUUACAUUUUUAGGUAUUUACUUCUAAAGGUUAACUUAUUAGAUGGAGGGACCAAUUCUACCCAUAAAUCCAAGUGGCUUCCCUUUACUAACUCAUAUGAGACACAACAAUAAUUUUCUUUGGACAAAACCACUGUUGGAGGGUUAUUUUCAUUCAAGAUACAUGAGUUGUUCCACCACCAUAUUUUGAGGGUUUGCUUUGGAUAUGACUUGGGGGAGCUAAGGCUAAGAUUUCUGAGUAGCAACAUAAAAACCUUGCCUAUUGGAUGGAAGGACCAAUCCUACUUUAAAGUCUAAAUGACUAAUUCUUGAGGACACAACUCAACAGACCAAUAUAAACUUUUGACGUCCCAUUUUAUUACUUUCCAGUGCUUUUACUUUUGCUGUCUAGAUAAAAACUAGUAUCAGUUUUUUUAUUUUUCCAUGUUAAAAAUGAUAAUUCUACAAUACAAACCGUUUCAAACAAAGAAGUAGACGAUAUUGAUAUUGAAUAAUAUCUUAUCCCAGAACGACAAUACUAAUUAUAAUUUCUUUUCGCACUGCAAAAAGUAAAAAAUGAGAUCCAAAUUGAAAUUAAUUCGACAAAGAAGCAAACAUUUCUAAGAACAUAUUUUAUACAAGUUUAUAGACAUAUCAUAUGGAUUUUGUUUUAUGCUAGAUAAUUAUUAAUUUAUAUAGCAAGUGGGUCCAUAACAAAAUAUGAAUUUAAGAAGAAGAAAAACUAUGUUUUACAAAAUUUCUGAAAUUAUUAACUUUUCACUUCGUCCAUCACAAAAAUUAUUAUUUAAUUCAGAUUAUCAAUUUAUUAAGAAUUAAUUCAAUGAGAUUUUAACAUAAAUAGUUACUUAUUAUCAUGUUUACGUUUCUCAACCAUUAAUUGCUUCAACUAAUUUUUGUUUCCACACACAAAUUUAUUGUAAAAAUAGUUCAACGUGUGUCUUUCUUCAAAUAACAAUUUUCUUGCCAAAAACAGUUUUCUUGUCACAAACAGAAAGUUUGUGUUAGCUGAAUGUCAUAUAAAAAACUGCCACUUCUUCUACAUGAAUGUCAUAUAAAUUUGUGUUAGCUGCCUAUAGAUUGCAUAAUAAUUUUCCUCAGGAAUUGUUGUCCAUUAUGGCAAUUUGAUUGAAAGUGAGGCUAAUUUCUCUGAAUUUGGACAGAGUAGGUCCUCCAGCGAGAACUGAAUCAGGACGAAUCGGCUCUCCAUUUUCUAAUUCGAACGAGCAAAGGAAGCCUGAAUCUGUGACCGUUAUCAAUACUCUGCUUCUAUUCUGAUUCUCAGGAAGUACUUCUUCAAGAUCAUCCAAUACAUCGUCACCCUCUUUGUACUAAUCAUCAAGCACAAUAAAGUACUUCUUGUUUGUUAGGUAAUCUCGAAGAAUAGAUUUCUUCAAUUGAUAAUCUUCGCCGAUAAUUACACUAACCCGAGAUGGAGGCAUCACAGACUUGAUUAUGUCAUCCAAUACCAUGCGAAAAUCGUAGGAUAUAGAAACCCUGACCCAAGCAUGACAGUCAAAAUAGAACUUGACAUGAUUAUUGUUGUAAGUAUCAGCAGUAAAAUCAGUCUUAUCGAAGCUACUGCUGUCGAGAAUUGGCUUGCAACCACUGAAAGCUGAGGUUGUCCCUCAAUCAAUAAAUCAAACAACUCCUCUCUGCCGCUGUCAAAUUCACUCUUAUCGAGCUGUGAUUGUGCCUCAAUCAAUAAGUGAGUGAAUUCGUUCCUUCGUUCUCUGAAAUCAAAACCAUUGUCUUCAGGUGGAAUUUGUUGCAACCGAUUUCUAAUAUCAAUGAUUUCACUGCUUUGCUGCUGCGUGAUGUUGAUGAAGAAUGUGUCAAUAGCUUUCUCAGAUUCACGGACAAAGUAAUUGAUGUCUUUCAGAAGUUCCCAAAUGUCUGUUCUUUUAGCAUUUUCUAAGUGAGCUGCCGAUAACGCGAAGGUAUUUCGUCUUCAGCGAAAUGUUCUCUAAUGAGUUGAAUCAAAACCCGAGCCACGUCAGCUUCAUAGUUUACCAGCAGAGUAUUAGCAAUAAUUUCGGUCUCCGUAAGAAGGUUUUGAAAAAGUGGAGUUAAAUUUGUUGAAUCUGGCAGCGGCAACGUGCCUUCUUCACCUGCUAACACCCUUUUCAACCUCACACCAUAUAGUGUGAGGUUAAUUUCCAUAUCUUUCCCUCUCUCAGUAGUACUCAGAGGUACGUAUUGUUAUUUGUUAGUGUUGAUGACGAAAGCUGAAUAUCAAAGGAUAUAAAUAAAACAAAAGUUUUUGUAGAUUGAGAAUGGAUGGAUGCAAAGAAUGGCUGAUAUUAAAAUAUUCUAUAAAUGAGAUAUGCAAAGAAUGAAUGAUAUUAAGUGAACAUCAAGGAUGGGAACAAAAUUUAAAGGUAACUUUUUUUUUUUUUUAAAGUAGUCUGUUGAAAGCCGAAGUUCCUUUGGCCAGUUAAAGUUAGUCCUCGACGUCUUUUGAAAUUAGAAAUACAUUUUGAAUGCUUUAAUAGAUGCAGAGCAAACUGGCUCGAUAUCUACCUAUUUUAAGAGCUAAAAUCAUUUAAUAGAAGUUGUAGCAUUAAAAAAGAAAAAAAAAACUGGCUUGAUAUCCAAUUUUGUUAUUGAAUAUGUCUCAUGUGAGAGUAAAAAAAACUGGCUUGAUAUCCAAAAUUUAAAGGUAACUCCUUGAAUUUGAUUGAAAAAUUAUUGAGACGGACAAGUUUGGACCAUUGUUCGAGACUGAAACUACACAUCAGUCUUAGAAAAUUGUAAUUUUGUUGGCUUAUCAUGAUUUUCAUCGUCUCACAUUGAUUUUCCUAUGGCGUCUCUGUAGAGUGGCUAUGCUUACAUUUUUAGGUAUUUAAUUCUAAAAAUUAACUUAUUAGAUGGAAGGACCAAUUCUACCUGUAAAUCCAAGUGGCUUCCCUUUACCAACUCAUACAAGACACAACAAUAAUCUUCUUCGGAAAAAACCACCGUCGGAGGGUUAUUUUCGUUCAACAUAAAUGAGUUGUUCCGCCACCAUAUUUUAAAGGUUUGCUUCUAAUACAACUUGGGGGAGCUAGGGCUAAGAUUUCUAAGAAUCAACAUAAAACCCUCGCCUAUUAGACAGAAGGACCAAUCCUACUUAUGAGUCUAAAUGACUAAUUUUUGAGGACACAACUCAACAGACCAAUAUAAACUUUUGACGUCCCAUUUUAUUACUUUCCUGUGUUUUUACUUUUGAUGCUGUCUAUAGCCCUACUAUUCUAUUAAGCAGAAAAUAUUUCAAGGCACUCUCGGUCCAGUAGAUAACUUUGGUAUUUAUUAUCUAUUUUCUUUCCAUUUUAUGUAUACCCCGAUCUUUACCUCUGAUUGGUUGUAGAUUCUUUUGUUGCUUUGGGGUUAGGGGAUGGUUUUCAUAACUAUUCAGUUGAUCAAUGCAGAAAAUCACCAUCAAGAAAUGAUAAAGGAUUGUUAGUUCUAUCUCUGACAAACAACAUUAAUAUGAAGGAUGAUGAUUGUUCUGUUCAAGAGUUUAUAAUGACAUAAUUCUACUUUGGUCUUUUAAAAAAAGUAAUUUAGAAACGAGGAGUAUGUGAGUGAUGAUUUUUACAAAAUAAAUUACAUGCGUAGUGAUGAUUUUGGCACAUGAAAAUGAAAAAAGAAAUAUAAAUUGUGAAUAAUAAUUGAAGAACCUGCUAUUGGUAUAUUGAGUAAUCAAGGACUUCAAUAUUCGGACGAUAUAAGCAACACAAUCAAAUAUUAGUUGGAAGGCAUAGCAAAAUUAGAAUGUAGAACAAACUGGGUAUUGAUAAAUGGAUGGUUUUGGAAGAAUUGAAAAUGAUGGCAUAAGUAAACCAAAGUUUAGAGAAAAGAGAAAGAGCAUUUGAACUUUACUUGUAAGAAAAGGCAAAUAUCUUGGUUCAAGAAAAGAUAAGAGAUAUCAAACUAGCAAUAGGAAAAAGGAGGAAGGUUAAGACAGCAUCUUAACAAAAGCUAAAGAAAAGAAAAACUUAGUUCAAGCAAAGAACAAUGUGCUAAUGUCGUGUAAUUUUGUUUAAUUUCUUUUUCUUCUCACAUUUUCCAGGGCUUAAAUAAUACAAUAUACAUUUUCAAGCAAAGAACAAUAUGCAAUUGCAGUACUUCUGAGCACACAACAACAAAUAAAUAAUACAAUAUACAUAGCCAGUAAAUUAAAAAUAUAUAUAUUAUUCAAGUUUGUGGACAAUACUGUAGCCAUGGCGUCGUCGAAAUCUACUGACAGCUGAAACAAAGAAAGAAUGGAUGAAUGCUGGAUCACAGUUGAAAUUGAAGGUCUGGUAGGUGAUGUUUCCCUCUCUUUUUUUACCUAAACAAAUACAAGAAAAUCAGAAUCACAAAUGAAAAUCUGCUAUUACACUGUUCUUACCUAUUAAAAUACAGAGGUUUCUUUGUUUCUCAGCAGCAAUGUCCAUGGCUAUUAGAAACAAGAACAAUUAGACCAGCAUUUGCAAGAAUCCUGUAAGGUAUUACUGCAGAUAUAAAUCGACUGAGGAAAUGGAAAAAUUGAAUACCAAAUUAGGCAAGUUAAAUGAAGAUUGAGUUAUCAUAGAAGAAUAAAACUCAUCCAAUUCAAUCCAUCAAAUUCCAUAAGGAUACAACUGGAUGUCAUACUGCUGCUCCAUAUCCUCAAGAGCCCGUAGAUUUUGCCUCAACUCUGGCUGAGGCCAAUGUAAGUCCAAUUUGCAAAAGCUCUUUAUGCACCAUAGCUCUUCAGGAAGCUUUCUCAAGUAAGCACAAGGGUUGACAAUUAUGCUUCCAAGUUUUGGCAUUGCUCCAGCCCCUAUCGUCCACUCCUCUAGCCAAUACAUUGAUUUCAGGUGCAAUACCUUGAGCUCCGGGAAACCACAAGAGCAAACACAAGCCAGUUUUCUUCCUGAAUAUGAGUUCUGCUUCAAUUUCAGCACUUGAAGGUGUGGAAGCUUGUCUAGUGUUAGCAUGGUAUCCUCCAAUAACUCAGUAUUUGAUAAGCUUAGAUGGAUCAGACUUGGAGAAGCUGGUAUUUAGACAGGGCCAUCCGAGAGAGCUACCACCUCUUGGUUUCGUUCACCAGCUUCAAGCAUUCAAGUUUAAUAAUGAUUAGUUUUAGAUUAGUUAAAAUGUAAUCAUGAUUAAGAUAAAUAUAUAUAUAUAUAUAGCUGCUGUACUGAUAUCAUGGAUUAAGUGUUGAGAAAUAAAAUUCAUUAAGCAUUUCCAGAACUCUUGAUUUUCUUUCUCAGUAACCAAGCAACUUCAAUCACAUUUUUUUUUUCCAACAAUGAGUUCUCAAACCACUCAGGUAUCAUUUUCAGACAUUCUUGGCCUUGUACUCACCAUCAAAAUGGAUUGGUUGAGAGAAAACAUAGGCAUAUUGAUGGUUGUCGAAGCCAGCAAAAAUAAACACCUACUCUAAAUAAAUUGUGUAUAGUAAUUGAGCAGGGUCGUGUCCACGAAAAUCGGUAAUUAUUUAAAUCUUUUUAAAAUGUAAAAUACAAAAUGGGGGAAUUGUUGACGAUAAUAAAAAUCAAAUUAAAAUAACAAGAAUGCAAAUUAAAGUUGUAAUCCAAAUUGGAGAAAGCUCUGGUUGAAGGAAUUAACUCAGCUUGAUUCGACUACUGAUCAUUGAUUCAAAUAAAUAUUAUUACUACUUAUGAAUAGACCGGUUAUAGCUACUGAGACCCUCUAAUAGCCAGUCUCUCCUUAACUAGCCGAUAACCAAGGUACGACCUUUGGUUAUUUCCCUAAUCAAUAGACAACCCUAGAUACGAUCAUAAGAUUUAAUCAAUUGACAGUCUGAAAAACCAGAGAGACCCAAAUCCUAAUCAACAAACACAUACGAUGGUUCAUUUAAAUUAGAUUGUUUAUUCUCACAACACAACUCUCUGCUAUGUUAUUUGUCACAAACAUUAAAAUUUUCAUACGAUGAAUCCUUUAAUUGACAUUAGAUUAAGUUGAUAAUUAAAUAGUGGCCAAUUAUCUAAUUAACAAAAAUAAUCAUGAUAAUAAUUCAGAGAAUAAACAAAUACCCAAAAAGUAAUAAAACAAUUAAAGCAUAAGAAAGAUCUCACAGUAGUGAUGAAUCAAAGCUUCAUUAACCUUCAACCAGAAUAAUAAGUUUAGUUCUUCAUAGAGAGAAGAGAAAAAUUUAGAUCUAGGGUUUUCUCUUUUCCCCAAUAAGUCCCUUUUUUCACAAUAGAUUCCUCCCUUAAAUACUCUCUCUCUCUUCUCCUCUAGAAUUCUAUUUAAAAUAAAUACUAAUAUCUGAAAUAUUAAAUUCGUAAUUACAAAAAUAACCAAAAAUACAAAACACGUUAAACUAAAAACUGCAGGUCCGUAGUUGACAGCACAAGCCCACGCCUUAUCAACAAAGUUCUUCUGACGCUCAUAAUUUCUCCAAGAGAACAAUAAUCCUUAAACAUCAUCUUGUAGCUCAAUUUUAUCACCAAUCAAUAGAAUUGCACCUACAAAAGUAAAACACAAGUAAAUCACUAUUAUUAAGUGCAAAACAUCGAUAUUAAGGGAAGUAAACAAUGCAAAACUAGUGCAUAAAUUGCACUCUAACAAUUAAGUUUGACUCUGUUGGCUCAAGCUCAACUUCCUUUUAAAUUCUGGUGGGAUGCAUUCCAUACUGCUCUAUAUCACAUCAAUAGAUUACCAUCUUCUGUUUUCAAACUUUCGACCCCAUAUGAGAAGAUAUUUAAGCACAAACCUGAUUAUGAUUUUCUCAAAUGUUUUGGUUGUAUUUGUUAUCCUUACUUGAGAGACUAUAACAAACAUAAGUUUGCCUACCAUUCCAGUAAGUGUAUAUUCAUUGGUUAUAGUCCUUCACAAAAGGGUUAUAAAUGCUUACAUUCUUCAGGUCAUGUCUAUGUGGCAUGACAUGUUAUCUUUGAUGAGUCAACCUUUCCUUAUGCUACUGAAUCUGUUUUUCAUAGUCACACAAAUUCUGAUUCUCAUUCUUCAAACUUAUUUACUCCACAGCAUGUCUAUUAUCUUUCUACUUUACCUGUCAUACCAGUAUUUCUAAAUAACAACACUGAUAAUCUAAACUCUACAAAACUAAAAUGCCAGCUUUUUGGUGUUAGCGAUAGGAAACAACUUACCACAACCAUUAAUUAUCCAUAAUUUCAUUGUUUAUCCUCAGUUUUCUUCAUAAAUGUUACAGCAUUCUUCAUGAGAAAGUGCAAGGGCAUCUCAAAAGUUCUGAAAUAAUACCUCAAUUCUAUUGCAAAAAUAAAUAAUCUCAAACAAGAACCAAUAAUCAUAUUUCGUUACUGUCAAACACAAUGCAUCUGAGCAAAACAUUGGAAGCCAACACCAGAAUACAUAUGAAUAAACAAUUAAAGAUAGAGAAAAAAGGCUUAAACCUUGGGGGAAAAAAGUGAAAAAACAUGAAAGACAAAUUACACAUGUGCAGUAACCAUCGAACUUAUCAGUGACAGCUGCAUCCAUUACAUUGCUCCAACAACACAAUGGCAAACCACCAGUUUCAAAUUGAGGAUAGCUCUCGAGAAUGAGAAAGUGUCCAAAACGUCAUAAAUAGACAUGUUCCUAUUGUGCAUAAUUUACAUUAUAGGCAAAUAUUCUUAUACCAUCAAAGGCAAAACAUGACACUAACAAUUGGGAAUCCACUCCCCCCUUUUCCUUUUUUACCCUCAUAAUUAAAAUAAAUAAAUAAUAUUUAAUAAAAUAAAUAAUAUCAUAUUUAUUAAAAAUAAUAAUUAUAAACAUAUUUAUUUUAUUAAAUUUAAUAAAAUAAAAAUAAAUAAAUAUUAUAUUUAAAUUAAUAAUAUUAAACAUUAUUUUAAUAAAUAUUAAUUAAUUAUUUAAUUAAUAAUAAUAAAUAUUUUAUUCUAAGAAAAUAUUAAUUUUGUACUAUAUUAUCAAUAAUAAUGUUUCAUUUGUGUUGCUAUUAUUAAUAAUUUUUAUUCACAUAAUUUAAAUUAAAAUUAAUAAAAAAUUAUGAUUUACAUAAUUAAGAAUAUUAUUAAUUAUUAUUAAUUUAUAAAUAUAAUAAAAUAUUUAUUUUAUUUUUCAAAUAUAUUUUUUAUUAAUUUUGUAAUUACAAAUUAUAAUUCUUUAAAUAAGGGUAAAAUUGUAAUUUAAAACUAUUUACUUCCAAUCCAAGACAAUGUAAACACAUAAAUUGGAUUCUGGUUUCAAUUCCAUUCUCUCAUUCCAUUGUAAGUAAACAACCUACUCCAACUCCCACUCCAAACUCCCAAUCUUAGGAUUCCCACUCCUCAGGAUUCCCACUCCAAUCCAAAAUGUAAACGCAUAUAAAAGUAUUUUGAGCAUUACUGGUCAUUGUCUUUCUAUGAGCCACUUAUUUUGAGCAUUAGCGACCUUAUAAGGAAUCAUGCCUUUUCAGGAUCGUUUUCUUUCAUUUCCCUAUUGUCGUAGUUAAUUAAAUAAAGAACGAACAGCUGAACUUGGUCUAUUUCGAGGAAGACCAAGGCUUCCAAUACUAGAGGAACUUUGAAGAAAAUUAAUUGGAAGCCUUCAUUCAUCUUUGAAGAAAAUUACGUGCCAACGUAACCAAGGCUUUUAUUCAUCUUCGGACUAUGAAUUUAUACAAAGACAUUAACAGAAAAUAACAAAGACACAGCUAAAUGAUAGCAGCAAGUGCUGAUUUAGUGAACCACUUUUACAAGUAAAUAAAAAGUAAAUAUUUAUUUUGACUAUAACAACAACUACCCUCUUGAAUAGGACUCUACAGCAGCCACGUGACAACUAAUUUUUCCAUAAUAUUAUUAUUAGUAGAAGUAGAUUUUCAAACUAGUCUUGAUAGAUUUCAAAGUUGUAUUAUCAAUGUAUAAGUAUCUAGAUUGUAACUAUAUUUUUAAAAAUAAAAUAUUUUAAUUAUUGCACAGUAAAUGUAGAAGAAUAUCUGUAAAAUAAUAUUAUUAGGACUAAGAAAAAAUAUUAUUUCAGAUACGUUAUUUAUUUAUUAUUGAAUUAAUAAUUUAUUAAUUUAUUGAUAAAUGAAUAUUUAUUAAUUUAAAGAAAGACUUUUUUGGUUUUAUGAAGAGUUUGUUUGGUACAUGCACACACUUAUAAAGAAACAUAAAAAGUGCUUCCUCAAGUCAAUGGUAUUUGCUCUAAUCGCUACGAUUCAUAAUAAUAUAGCUUAGUUAGGAAAUUUGUAAUUAUAAUAUGAUUCUUUUAAUACAACUUUUCAAGUAGAGCUUAUUUAAGUAGAGAUUUUGUUAAUAGAGGUAUUAUAAAUAAAGAUUCCACUAAAAAAAAUUUAGUUGUUUGAUUAUAAUGUCCAAAUUGAUGAACUUUUAUUCUUUUGUUAACAUCUGUUUGUUUUACUUAAUAAUAAAAGUUUAGUUUACAAUUACACCGGUAUCAAAUCAGCAGAGCAUUGUUGUUUUACUUUAUAAAAGCAUCGGCAAGAGUUUUCGAUUGUUGCAACUUGCAAUGCACGCGGUGAGAGAAAAUGAGAAUCUUGUUUAAUUGUCAAUAAUGACAAACCUAAUCCUUUCAUUAGGAGUAAUUUAAUAAUCGUUUGUUAUAAUUGAAUAGGUAUAAAGAAAGGACAAUUCUAUUCAUAGAUUCGACUUAUUUUUUUGUUUAAAGUAAGUAAUCAUUCAACCAUCUUCAUUUGCCUCUGGCCAAUGCCCUAGUAGAUUAGUUGAAGCGUUAAUUACUUAAUUCAGAUAAUUACAACGUCCUUUUCGCUAAUUAAUUAUGAUUAUGUACAUUUUCAUAUAGCAAGUGGCAUUGUAGAUAUAAACUAAGUUGCUAUUUCAAUACGUUAAUCAAGUGAUUCUCCUCAUUGUCAUCAGCGUCAUACCCUCUAGGAAAAUAGCUCAAUUGUUUCCAUGCAUUGAUUUUCAUUGGUAUGUGAUUUCAGAUUUCUUAUGAAAUUCUUUUGAGCUUUCCUUAUUAAUUGAUUUUCAAUUAACUUGUGAACGAUUUUAUACCCUCUCUUUUUUUUUUUUUUAAGUACUCUAUUGAAAGCCAAAGUUCCUUUGGCCAGUUAAUUUAGAAGUGAAGGAAAGAAUAAAGUUAGUCCUCGACGUCUUUUGAAAUUAGAAAUACAUUUUGAAUGCUUUAAUAGAUGCAGAGCAAACUGGCUCGAUAUCUAACUAUUUUAAGAGCUAAAAUCAUUUAAUAGAAGUUGUAGCAUUAAAAAAAAAAAAAACUGGCUUGAUAUCCAAUUUUGUUAUUGAAUAUGUCUCAUGUGAGAGUAAAAAAAAACUGGCUUGAUAUCCAAAAUUUAAAGGUAACUCCUUGAAUUUGAUUGAAAAAUUAUUGAGACGGACAAGUUUGGACCAUUGUUCGAGACUGAAACUACACAUCAGUCUUAGAAAAUUGUAAUUUUGUUGGCUUAUCAUGAUUUUGAUCGCCUCACAUUGAUUUUCCUAUGGCGUCUCUGUAGAGUGGCUAUGCUUACAUUUUUAGGUAUUUAAUUCUAAAAAUUAACUUAUUAGAUGGAAGGAACAAUUCUACCUGUAAAUCCAAGUGGCUUCCCUUUACCAACUCAUACAAGACACAACAAUAAUCUUCUUCGGAAAAAACCACCGUCGGAGGGCUAUUUUCGUUCAACAUAUAUGAGUUGUUCCGCCACCAUAUUUUAAGGGUUUGCUUCUAAUACAACUUGGGGGAGCUAGGGCUAAGAUUUCUAAGUAUCAACAUAAAAACCUCACCUAUUGGAUAGAAGGACCAAUCCUACUUAUAAGUCUAAAUGACUAAUUUUUGAGAACACAACUCAACAGACCAAUAUAAACUUUUGACGUCCCAUUUUAUUACUUUCCAGUGCUUUUACUUUUGCUGUCUAUAGCCCUACUAUUCUAUUAAGCAGAAAAUAUUUCAAGGCACUCUCGGUCCAGUAGAUAACUUUGGUAUUUAUUAUCUAUUUUCUUUCCAUUUUAUGUAUACCCCGAUCUUUACCUCUGAUUGGUUGUAGAUUCUUUUGUUGCUUUGGGGUUAGGGGAUGGUUUUCAUAACUAUUCAGUUGAUCAAUGCAGAAAAUCACCUUCAAGAAAUGAUAAAGGAUUGUUAGUUCUAUCUGGCAAACAACAUUAAUAUGAAGGAUGGUGGUUGUUCUGUUCAAGAGUUUAUAAUGACAUAAUUCUACUUUGGUCUUUUAAAAAAAGUAAUUUAGAAACGAGGAGUAUGUGAGUGAUGAUUUUUACAAAAUAAAUUACAUGCGUAGUGAUGAUUUUGGCACAUGAAAAUGAAAAAAGAAAUAUAAAUUGUGAAUAAUAAUUGAAGAACCUGCUAUUGGUAUAUUGAGUAAUCAAGGACUUCAAUAUUCGGACGAUAUAAGCAACACAAUCAAAUAUUAGUUGGAAGGCAUAGCAAAAUUAGAAUGUAGAACAAACUGGGUAUUGAUAAAUGGAUGGUUUUGGAAGAAUUGAAAAUGAUGGCAUAAGUAAACCAAAGUUUAGAGAAAAGAGAAAGAGCAUUUGAACUUUACUUGUAAGAAAAGGCAAAUAUCUUGGUUCAAGAAAAGAUAAGAGAUAUCAAACUAGCAAUAGGAAAAAGGAGGAAGGUUAAGACAGCAUCUUAACAAAAGCUAAAGAAAAGAAAAACUUAGUUCAAGCAAAGAACAAUGUGCUAAUGUCGUGUAAUUUUGUUUAAUUUCUUUUUCUUCUCACAUUUUCCAGGGCUUAAAUAAUACAAUAUACAUUUUCAAGCAAAGAACAAUAUGCAAUUGCAGUACUUCUGAGCACACAACAACAAAUAAAUAAUACAAUAUACAUAGCCAGUAAAUUAAAAAUAUAUAUAUUAUUCAAGUUUGUGGACAAUACUGUAGCCAUGGCGUCGUCGAAAUCUACUGACAGCUGAAACAAAGAAAGAAUGGAUGAAUGCUGGAUCACAGUUGAAAUUGAAGGUCUGGUAGGUGAUGUUUCCCUCUCUUUUUUUACCUAAACAAAUACAAGAAAAUCAGAAUCACAAAUGAAAAUCUGCUAUUACACUGUUCUUACUUAUUAAAAUACAGAGGUUUCUUUGUUUCUCUGCAGCAAUGUCCAUGGCUAUUAGAAACAAGAACAAUUAGACCAGCAUUUGCAAGAAUCCUUUAAGGUAUUACUGCAGAUAUAAAUCGACUGAGGAAAUGGAAAAAUUGAAUACCGAAUUAGGCAAGUUAACUGAAGAUUGAGUUAUCAUAGAAGAAUAAAACUCAUCCAAUUCAAUCCAUCAAAUUCCACAAGGAUACAACUGGAUGUCAUACUGCUGCUCCAUAUCCUCAAGAGCCCGUAGAUUUUGCCUCAACUCUGGCUGAGGCCAAUGUAAGUCCAAUUUGCAAAAGCUCUUUAUGCACCAUAGCUCUUCAGGAAGCUUUCUCAAGUAAGCACAAGGGUUGACAAUUAUGCUCCCAAGUUUUGGCAUUGCUCCAGCCCCUAUCGUCCACUCCUCUAGCAAAUAAAUUGAUUUCAGGUGCAAUACCUUGAGCUCCGGGAAACCACAAGAGCAAACACAAGCCAGUUUUCUUCCUGAAUAUGAGUUCUGCUUCAAUUUCAGCACUUGAAGGUGUGGAAGCUUGUCUAGUGUUAGCAUGGUAUCCUCCAAUAACUCAGUAUUUGAUAAGCUUAGAUGGAUCAGACUUGGAGAAGCUGGUAUUUAGACAGGGCCGUCCGAGAGAGCUACCACCUCUUGGUUUCGUUCACCAGCUUCAAGCAUUCAAGUUUGUGUAGUUCGCAUAGGCUUUUGGAAACCCCAGAACGAUAAUAACUCAAACCUCCAGAUACUAAGAGUUUGAAAAUGAGGUAGUCUGCCUGUUAAAGUAGCUCACUAUGCUGAACGAAAGAAGGAGAAAGCUAAGCUGAAGAAAAUACAGGGCAAGAGUAUUAGCUGUGCCAGCUCAACUGACAGCUCAGCAAAAUCAGUUAAAUUUUGUUACAAGCUCCCUGUGCAUUGUGCUGAAGAUUAGUUAGUUUAAUAAUGAUUAGUUUUAGAUUAGUUAAAAUGUAAUCAUGAUUAAGAUAAAUAAAUAAAUAUAUAUAUAGCUGCUGUACUGAUAGGGCAUCUCAAAAGUUCUGAAAUAAUACCUCAAUUCUAUGGCAAAAAUAAAUAAUCUCAAACAAGAACCAAUAAUCAUAUUUCGUUACUGUCAAACACAAUGCAUCUAAGCAAAACAUUGGAAGCCAACACCAGAAUACAUAUGAAUAAACAAUUAAAGAUAGAGAAAAAAGGCUUAAACCUUGGGGGAAAAAAGUGAAAAAACAUGAAAGACAAAUUACACAUGUGCAGUAACCAUCGAACUUAUCAGUGACAGCUGCAUCCAUUACAUUGCUCCAACAACACAAUGGCAAACCACCAGUUUCAAAUUGAGGAUAGCUAUCGAGAAUGAGAAAGUGUCCAAAACGUCAUAAAUAGACAUGUUCCUAUUGUGCAUAAUUUACAUUAUAGGCAAAUAUUCUUACACCAUCAAAGGCAAAACAUGACACUAACAAUUGAUCCCCCCCCAAAACCAAAAAAAAGGAAAAAACAAUACAGAAAAGAUUGAAACAGAUAAGGCUACACUGAGCACAGGAUGCCAUGAAACAUAAUCCAGGAACCAAAUUAAUAAAAAAGGAAGCCAAACCAUUAUUUAACAAUCUGUUUUGUAUUUGGGAAAGUCUGAUAAAAUCUACUUAGGGAUAAUUAGAGAACCUCAACUAUUAAUCACACCUCAUAAAUGAACUAACAUUAACCAUCUACCAUCCCCACGUCACACAAACAUUCUCUAUACUUCUGAACCUAAUCCAUCUUCAAUUGGGGUUUUUUUUUUUUUUUUUGGGUGGCGGGGGGGGGGAGCUAUCAAUUUUCUAAGCUUGCUUAGCUUCUGUGUGGGAUUGAAAUGCUGAUUUCAAAUCACUAACAGUAAAAUUGGAAGCUCAUGAAAAAACAGUUUUAUCUCAAAAUUACAUCUCGAUAUAAAUUCUCUUUUCAUUUCCUUCAACUUUCUAAUUAAGCUUAAAAAAUGUACCUUCAACCACAAAGGGGUUUAAAAUUUAAAAUAUAAAAAAUAAAUUCAGAUAACAAUAAUUAAUUUAAUUAAAAAUAUAAAUAGAGUUACAGAGAAAGAGAAAUUAGAGAAAGACCUAAUGUUGAGUCCUUUGGCGCAUGUCUCUUCAUAGGUCCGAACCAUUUCUUCGGGCGUGGGUUACGGCCGAGAUUGGAUAAUGAUGGAGGAGGAGAAGAUUAGCGAUGACGACGCCGAUGAAAUGGAAGGGUUUACCAGAGGAGUGGAUGCGAAGAGUGCAGGGACGGCCGCAGAGAGAGAGCAGCGGAGUGCGGCGACGGACGGUAGUGACCAGCGGAGGCGGAAGAUGGCGGUAUGGGCCAUUGCUUGCGCGUCGGUGAGUGUCUCGAGUGAGAGAGUGAAACCUCUACUUAAAUAAGUUCUACUUGAAAAACCGUACCAAACGGAGCUUAAAGUUAAUAGUCUCGUAUCUCCCGCAUUUGAUAUCUUAUUGGCAUCAGCGUGUUACCUAAGAUUGGGAUUCAUUAAAAUCCUCAAUGUAAUCGGUGGAACGAAUGGAUUUCUUCUGUUCACCUAUCCACCAAAAUUUCUGUAAUUAAAUUCAAAAGUCAAGAUCUAUGCUUAUUAUCUAUUCAACAGCUAAUAUUCUAAUUUAUAUUUACUUAAAUAUGAAGAGCUAUGCUUGUAAUUAACUUCAAAUGUGAUCGAAGCAGCCUUACAUCUGUAUAUUACUUAUUCCCAACCUUUUUUUUGACUUCAUAUACUUUCUUUUCAUGUUAUUUACUCUUUUUUUUCCCCUCUCUGACAAUUGAGGUAGGGGGUCAAACUUGAAAGUAUCUUAAAAUCAGACAUUUUUUUUUAAUAAUAACCUAGUUGUUUGCAUUAGAAAUGAUAUUUUUUGUGGUGCUGAUAAAGAGGUUAAUUAUGAUUCAACAAUUUAAAAUAUGAAAACAUGUGGAAGACGGCCGCAAUUAAAUUGAUUGUAUGAAAAUAUUUCAAUGAAAGUUUAAAAAUUUAGUACUUGUUAUCUUAUCGAGAGUUUUUUAAAUUAUAUUACUACUUGAACUUGACUGCUUUUGUAUUGAAUUCCUAGCGUUGACAUUGCUUCUACUCAAAAGCCAUUUAAGUUUGUGUAAGCUACCUGUAGUUUGAACAACAAUUUACUCAUGAAUUCUUGUUCAUAAUAGCAAUUUGAUUGAAAGUGCGGCUGCACUAAUUUUCUAGAUGAAUUUUUUCCUACAUGCUUGUUCUCGUAUGACCCAAAAUCCUGCUACAUCAGUUGUAUUAGAAAUUAAUCAACUGGGUUACAAUUAUGCAUCCCCACCAAUAUUUAAGCAAUUUAAUUACAGAAACAUUUCUUGAGGAAAGAAACUCAUAUCGGCACUAGGCUUUCAAUGAGGCUCAUUUUUAUGAAUCUGGAUAGCAUUAGAUAUCUCUCCGAAUAAUGGUGGGAGUAGAUCGCAGAUCUGGCUAUACUACAAAGUGUAUGUACGUUGACUCUCAAUAAAUACAAAUGAUUCUCUGAUAUUUUUUUUUUUGAUAUUAAUCACGAGAUAUCCUGAGGAGGGCCCCAACUGUGGGAGGCACCUUUAAGCCCGUACCACAACUCAGACUAGAAGUCCCCGCUCGAACCGGGAGGCACAGGUUCUCCCAACAAAGGCGACUUCCCUGCGACUCGAACUGAGGAGCAAACUCAGUCAAUGAUUCUCUGAUAUGAUUCAAAACAUCAGUGCAUGCAUCAUUUUAACUAGAGAGAAUAUUCUAAGAAUGAAAUUGAACGUGCAAUCAGCAACUAAAAUGAAGCCAGAAAUGUACACGCAUGAGGAAUUUUUCCUAGAAGAUUGAUAUUUCUUUAACUAGCAAACCAUACAAGUCCAAAGCUAACCAAACCAUACCUGCAAGUCCGGGGCUUAAAUGGAGUACUUGUAAGCAUAAAACAUUAAUCAAAACACAGUAUAGACACACACACACACCCCUCCCUACAUACAUACCAGCAAAUUCGAAAUAGAAAAAGGAGUGCAACUCACAAAACAGUCGGAGGUGGAAUUCCAGCAUAUCUCCUUCUCUCCGUAGCACUCAGAGGUAUAGUUGAAAGAUUAAACACCAUGGAAUAAUUUGAAAGGAAAAUGCCAAGAAACUGUGUAAGUGGCUAAAUUCCACAAAUAUUACAUUAUUGCUCAUUUUUAUCUCAAAAAAAUGGUACGCGUUCAUUUAGAGAAGAGUCCAAGCCCAGUAACAGGAAUAUUUUAAUUACUACCAUGACAUAAUUGAUGGUGCUUAAAUCAAUUGUUUCUUUUUUAAUUUAAAGAUUUUUUCAUUAAAAAAUAUUUUAAUAUCAAAAUGCCUUCAAUGGCAUUACUGCCGCAAGCCCAGCAACAGGAUUAAUUAAAAAGUUCAGAAUUUUUGGGCAUGGAAACUGGAAAGAGUAUUAAACAUCAGAAAGCUAAGGUUUGUUCUGUUAAAGAAUUGAUAUUGACAUAGUUUUUUUUUUGAGGAAAAAAAAAACAUAUUUGUUGACAAGUAAGGAAAUGUUUUUGUAUUUUACAAUCUGUUAUUACAUAUUUUAUCAUAUUAAAGUAAUUUUAAUAACAAAUAGAAACAUAAUAUUACAAUAAAUAAAUUAAAGUUUAAAUUAUUUUGAAUAUUAUAAAAAAUAAUGUUAAUAUUAUUAAUAGGAAGACAUUUUGUUAAUUUUAAAAUCUUUUUAAUCCAAAGGUUUAUUUAAAAUCUCUAUAAUAAAUACAAAUAUAAGAUUAAAAUAAAAAUCAUAAUUUGAAAAUUUUAAUAUUAUUUUAAAUGUUAAAUAUACUUUAAUGUUAUUAGCCUACUACGUAGAUUUUAUUAUUUAUAUUAUAUUCGUAUUGAUUAAAAUUUUUUAAAAUCAAUUUUUUAGUUAGUACAUUCAAGAGGUAUCAUAGUUAAAGAAAAGAUUUUGGUGCAACUGUUUUAAAAUUUCAGGGACUAAAUGAUAAUUUUUUUAAAUUUUAAGGAAGUUGGUAUUAUUUUUCCGACAAUUUAUUUUAUUUUGAGGGAAAUCCGAUGAGAAAUAUCAUCAGAGAACAUUAAUUUAACAUUCUUUACCUUUAUGAAAAAAGUGAAAAUCAAGAACUAUUCAAUUUUGUAUUUUUUGUUUGUAAUUCAAAAAAUGCAUCCACCAAAUCAAGAACUAUUCAAUCUUGAUUUUCCCAUUUUAUUCAUUUUCGAUGCAUCCCCCACUAUUUUUACAAAUCUCCAUCCCACAUCUACACUAUCAAACAAGUUGAUGGAAAUUGAACCCAGUAAGUUAUGUUCAUUACUGGUCAUUGUCUUUCUAUGAGCCACUUAUUUUGAGCAUUAGCGAUCUUAUAAGGAAUCAUGCCUUUUCAGGAUCGUUUUCUUUCAUUUCCUUCUUGUAGUAGUUAAUUAAAUAAAGAACGAACAGCUGAACUUGGUCUAUUUCGAGGAAGAACAAGGUUUCCAAUACUAGAGGAACUUUGAAAAAAAUUAAUUGGAAGCCUUUAUUCAUCUUUGAAGAAAAUUACCACACUUUAAAUCCUGGAUAAAAAAAAUUUUAUUCAUCUUCGGACUAUGAAUUUAUAAAAAAACAUUGUUAGGACUAAGAAAAAAAUAUUAUUUUAGAUAAGUUAUUUGUUUAUUAUUGAAUGAAAAAUUUAUCAUGAUAAAUAAAUAUUUAUUAUUUUAAAGAGAGAUUUUUUUUUUGGUUUUAAGAAGAGUUUUUUUUUGGUACAUGCACACACUAAUAAAGAAACACAAAAAGUGCUUCCUCAAGUCAAUAGUAUUUGCUUUAAUGGCUAAGGUGCAUAAUAAUGUAGCUUAGUUAGGAAAUUUGUAAUUACAUUAUGGCUCCGUUUGGUAUAACUUUUUAAUUAGAAGUAUUGUUCUUUUUAUUAACAUGUGUUUGUUUUACUUAAUAAUAAAAGUUUAGUUUACAAUUACACCGGUGUCAAAUCAGCAGAGCAUCGGCAAGAGUUUUCGAUUGUUGCAAUUUGCAAUGCACGCGGUGAGAGAAAAUGAGAAUCUUGUUUAAUUGUGAAUAAUGACAAACCUAAUCCUUUCAUUAGGAGUAAAUUAAUAAUCGUUUGUUAUAAUUGAAUAUGUAUAAAGAAAGGAAAAUUAUAUUCAUAGAUUUGACUUAUUUUUUGUUUAACGUAACUAAUCAUUCAACCAUCUUCAUUUGCCUCUGGCCAAUGCCCUUGUAGAUUAGUUGAAGCGUUGAUUUCUUAAUUCAGAUAAUUACAACGUCCUUUUCGCUAAUUAAGUAUGAUUAUGUACAUUUUCAUAUAGCAAGUGGCAUUGUAGAUCUAAACUAAGUUGCUAUUUCAAUCCGUUAAUUAAGUGAUUCUCCUCAUUGUCAUCAGUGUUAUACCCUCUGGGAAAAUAGCUCAAUUGUUUCCCUGCAUUGAUUUUCAUUGGUAAGUGAUUUCUUAUGAAAUUCUUUUGAGCUUUCCUUAUUAAAAAAGCUUGAGCUUUUAUCACCUAAUACGGAUAUCAAUUAACUUGUGAACGAUUUUGUAAUGAAACUAGGAGUUAAAUAAGAUUUUUACAUGAUGAUCAACUUGUUAAUUUUGUAUAUUUCAUAUUUAACAGGAUUUGGGCACGGAACGUUUGGAUUCUAAUAUUUAUAUAUUUAGUUUUAAUCAGUUUGACUUUCGUAAUCUUUCUCGCCUCAUCAUUAAGGGAUUAAGAAUUAGAGAAACAUUAGAAACAGGAAGAAAAUAACUUCAGAAAUAAGUAAGAGGGAAAAAAAUUUAUGAUAUUUGGUGUUGAAAUGAACUAAAAACUCGUCAGUACAACGUGUCGUUUGCAGGUUGUGAAGAUGAGUGCCAUGUCGUUUCAUUUAAGCAAUAUACCAGAACUGACAAAUUGCCAAUGUCGUUCAAGACCAUUAUAACUCACGUGCCUUACGCAUGCCUCUCUUAAGCUUAAACGGCAAAGCUAGCAGUCGUUUAAGGAAGGCUUAUUAAUAGCGCGUGAGAAGCUCGUGCCAGGUUGGUUAAAAGGCCGUUAGAUUUAGAGGGAAAUCUGGAUCUGUUACACCUGCAUCAACUGAUAUAUAAACGAGCUGGUUCUGGUGUUAGCAUGUAUGACCAAGGAGAGAGAGAUAAGGCAUCGAUACUGAGAGAAAAGCUUGACUAAGUGGUCUCUGUAUUAUGUGUGAUUUCUCUGUAACCUUGAAAGCUUAAUAAAACUGCUCUCUGUGUUGGUUUUCUCCAGUGGAUGUAGGCACCCUUCAACAGGUGCUGAACCACUUAAGCUCUGUGUGUUCUUUGCCUUUAGGUUGUGAUCUUUGAUCUGUGCAUUGUUCUUUGUUAAGUGUAAGAUUGGUUCUUGAAUCUUUGAGUCAGAGUUGGGUCUUGGGGUGAGAUUAAUCUAGUAUCUAAAGGGUUAAUCUCUCAACAUUUGGAAUGUAUCAUAAUUUUUUGUUGAGUAAAUAUGUAUGAAUAGUUUUUGGGAGUUUUAGCCAGGAGUCAUUUAUUGAAGAUGUCUAGCAAUUAAAGAUCUCUGUCUCAGUAGUUUUCCCAAUCAAAAUCAAGAAGCAAAAAAAACUUGCCAUUUUUCUACUUGAUAAUUAAUUGAAAUUUAAGAAAAUACAAUGGCAUUUCAAUUAGAAUUGGUAAUUGUUUAUCUUUUUUUCAUUGAUCAAAUUCUAAUCUUUAUGCAAUAGUUAUGAAUGAAAGAAAUAUUAUGAGAGGAGAUAGGUCAAUUGAAGCCGUACCCGCAAAUAAAAAAUAGAAAAGGAGUGCAACUAUUCAACUUUGUAGACAAUAUUGCAACCAUCCAAAGGUGAAGAUCUACGCUUAUUAUCUAUUUAACAGCUAUAUAUAUAUAUAUUUAUAUUUUUAAAUAUCAAGAGCUAUGCUUGUAAAUAAGUUCAAAAGUGAUGAGAACAGCCUUAUAUUUAUUUAUUUAAAUAUUACCCAGAAUACUGCUAUAACAAUUGUAUUUAAAUAAUAAUUGUAUUUAAAUAAAUAACUAUAUAUCUAAAUAUAUAUUUAUUUAUUUAAAUAUCAAGAGCUAUGCUUGUAAAUAAGUUCAAAUGUGAUGAGAACAGACUUAUAUUUAUUUAUUUAUUUAAAUAUGACCCAGGCUAAUUUCUCUGAAUUUUGACAGAGUAGAUUUCUAAGCUAAUGCUUGGCAGAUCUCUGGGCGAUACUACAAAGUGCAUGUACAUUGAGUCUUAAUAAAUAUAAACGAUUCUCUGAUAUGAUUCAAAACAUCACUACAUGCAUAAAUUAAUAAGAAAUGUAUAGUUGUACAUAAUUUUAUGCAUGAGGCAGUUUUUAUAGUUGUACCCUCUCUAAUGAAAUUGAAGGUGCAGCCAGCAACUAAAAUGAAGCAGAAAUGUACACGCAUGAGGCAGUUUUUCUAGAAGAUUGAUAUUUCUUUAACUAGAAAACCAUACAAGUCCACAGCUAGCCAAACCGUACCUGCAUGUGUCUAGGGCUUAAAUGGAGCACUUCUAAGCAUAAAACAGUAACUAAAACACAUACACAAACAUACAUACCAAAAAAUUCAAAAAAUAGAGAAAGGAAUACAACUAUUCAUGUUUGUAGACAAUAUUGCAACCAUGGCAUCAGUUAUAGCAAAUAUUGAAUUACAAUAUUUCCCUUGCCGAUUUUGUCUACACAAGUAAAGGGAAAUAAGAAUCAUAGAUGAAAAUCAACUUUUACAGUUCUAAUUAUUAGAUAGAUACAUAAUGAUCUAUCUUUGUUACUUUGUUUCUCUGCUGCAAUGUGCGAUCCCACUCUGUUUUGAUACUCAAAUUGAGUCUAUGUUGAGACAUAAUUUUGACAUUGGAAGCAAUCCCAAUUAGUUUGGCUUUUGUAUGACCCUUUAAGGUUUUACAAUAGAUGCAAAUCUACUGAGAAAAUGGUAAAAAAAGGUGUAUAUAAAAUGAGGCAAGUAACAGAAGUAUGAGUUAUCAGAUUAGAUUAAAAGUCACCCAAUUCAAUCUAUCAGAUUCCGUAAGGAUAUAACUGGAUGUCAUACCGCCAGUCCAUAUCCUCGAAAGUCUCUAGUCUUUGUCUCAACUCUGUCUGAGGCCAAUGUAAAUCCAAUUUGCACAAGCUCUUUAUGCACCAUAGCUCUUCUGGAAGCUUUCUCAAGUAAGCACAUGGGUUGACAAUUAAGCUUUCAAGUUUUGGCAUUGCUCUGCCCCCAUCGUCCACUCGUCUAGCCAAUACAUCGACUUCAGGUGCAAAAUCUUAAGUUCCGGAAAGCCAGCAGAGCCAACGCAGGCUAGCUUUCUUCCUAAAUACGAGUUCUGCUUCAGUUUCAGCACUUGAAGGCGUGGAAGCUUUUCCAGCAUUGGCAUGGGAUCCUCCAUUCGCUCAGUAUUUGAUAAGCUCAGUUGCAUCAUUCUUGGAGGAAAUUAGUAUUCAGACAGGACCAUCCGUGAGAGCUUGCUCUCAUUCACCAACUUCAAGCAUUCAACUUUGUGGAGUUUGCAUACGCUUUUGGAAACCCCAGAGUGAUAGCAACUCAAAUCUCCAGACACUCUAAGAGUUUGAAGAUUAGAUAGUCUGCACAAUAUAUCUGGCGUGCAACUACUAGGGUGUGAGGCUGAUAUGAAAAUAAGAUUUUUCAGAGAGCUGGAAUAAUUUUUUGGAGGUGCAGGCAGAGAGAUGGAACCAAAGUUCAGAUGCAUGAGUUUUUGCAUCUUCCAAAUAUCCUCUGGUGUUUGAUCUACGUAGCUAGAUGGCAUGUCUAGUGUUUGAAGGUUUGAAAGGGUGCAUAGCGGUGAAGGAAGACAUUUGAGCGAAGGGAUAUUCAAUUUCAAAUACUUCAAAUGGAAUAAAUUUUCUAAUCUGGGUGGAUAUUGGUCCAGGACUGCAGAACCCAUGUUCAAUACCCGAAGGUGUUUGAACAUUUUACAAAAAUUCUCGCAAUCUAUCGGAUUAAGAUGAUCGCUUUCUGAACUGUGAUUCAGAAAAAGAUUGGAGAUACAUGUCCGAAUGUUUCAAAGAAAAGAAUUCAAUCGGAUCAUCGAAAAUGAUGUACCGUUUGGCAUUUGCCAAUGAUUCAUCUUCGAAGUCAGGCGUCCGGACAAAUCCCAUCAUUGCUGCCGUCCCAAGUAACGCAGCAUAUGCAAAAGUUGGAACAUAACACGCCUUAAUUGUGCCUCCAUCUCUUCUCUUAUUUACUUGAAUGAAGCCAUGAUCGAUUAGUUCGUUCAAGUAAUGCUCGGCAGUUUCCUCACUGUUGUAUGGUAUGAAACCUUCAGCUACCCACAGCUGAUAUAAUUGCCUGGUAGAUAUCUCAAUGCCUGGAUGAAAGCUGAGGUUGUCCCUCGAUCAGUAAAUCAAACAAUUCCUCUGCCGCUUUCAAAUUCACUCUUAUCAAGCUGAAAUUGUCCCUCAAUCAAUAAGUGAGUGAAUUCGUUCCUUCGCUCUUUGAAAUCAAAACCAUUGUCUCUAGGCGGAAUUUGUUGCAACUGAUUUCUAAUAUCAAUGAUUUUACUGUGGAUUCCGACAAGAAGAGCAAUGAGUGAGAAAACAACUUGUUUGGUAACCAAAAAAGUAUUGAGAGAAAAUGUAAUGAUUCUGAGAAAUUGCUUUUAUUUCAAUUAAUCGAAUCCAGAGUAAAUGUACAGAGUUUCUUUAUAUACUAACGUAUCUACAUAGCUGAUAUUAGCUAAACUAAUUCAACCAGCUAAUCAUGCUUAACAACUUAUUAUAACUAACUAAAACUAAUAUUCACGUGUACAAGAAAUGAUGUAACCACCAGGUGCUAGCUGGCAUGCCAAGUCAUCAACUUGUAACCGUGAGCUGCAACUGUUACAAUCCUCUGCUUUGCUGACUAUCUGGCUCACAUGAGCUUCCUUAACAUCCCCUCUCAAGCUCAAGGGUCUGUUAACUACAUUGAGCUUGGAACGAAAAUAGCUAAAUUUUGGAAAAGAUAGAGGCUUAGUAAGAACAUCUGCCACUUGUUCUUCAGUAGGAAUAUAUCUAAUCUCUAACUCUUUGUUCAGAACCUUAUCUCUAAUGUAAUGAACAUCCAGCUCUAUAUGUUUGGUCUUGGAGUGGAAUAUUGGAUUUUUAGCUAGAUCACCUGCACUCUGAUUGUCACACCAGAGAAUAGGAGUUGGCAACUUGAUAAUUUUUAGCUCAGAAAACAAAGAUUGCAGCCAUGUAAGUUCAGAACUUGCUGCUGAUAAGGCUCGAUAUUCACUUUCUGUGCUAGACUUUGCCACAAUAGCUUGCUUUUUCGAAGACCAGGAAAUGAGAUUAUUACCAAGGAAAAUGUAGUAAGCUCCAAUGGAUUUCCUGUCAUCAGUGUCACAUGCCCAAUCAGCAUCUGAGUAUCCUGUCAACCCUAUUGUUUCCAAGGUUCCCUCUUGCUGAAUAUAGAGGCCAUAUGUAAUAGUUGCUUGAAGGUAUCUCAACACCUUUUUGCAGGCUAACCAAUGUUGGAGAGUUGGACCACUUAGAUACUGGCUAAGUUUAUGCACUGAGUAAGCAAUGUCUGGUCUAGUUAGAACCAAGUAUUGAAGCCCUCCAACUAUACUUCUGUAAAGAGUUGGAUUUUCAAAUUCUACACCCAAUGAGCCUUUAGCUAUUUUUUCUAAUUUGUAACCAGUGCUGAAAGGAGUUUCAGUUUCUUUACAGUUCUGCAUUGAGGCCUUGGUCAACAAAUCCUUGAUGUAUUUAGUUUGGGAGAGGUGCAUGCCAUGAUCUGUGUAGCUGACUUCUAUACCAAGGAAAUAUGAUACCAGGCCCAAGUCUUUUAAGGCAAAAGCUUUACUCAGCUUUGUGAUGAAUGCCUCCAGCAAGACUGAAUCUGGACCUGUAACUAAUAUAUCAUCUACAUAGAUCAAGACAAGGAUUAUGCCUUUAGUGUCAUGCUUGAUAAACAAUGAAGUGUCAGCCUUAGAAUUUGUGAAAUUCCAAUCUGUAAGACAGCCCUUAAGCUUAUCAUACCAGGCCCUUGGUGCCUGUUUUAAACCAUAAAGAGCUUUGUUUAGCUUACAGAUGUAUCCUCCCUCUGAAACAAAACCCUCUGGUUGUUGCAUGUACACAUCUUCAGUAAGAUCCCCAUUGAGAAAUGCAUUGUUGAUAUCUAUUUGUCUAACAUUCCAGCCUUGCAUAACUGCCAAACUCAAUAUAACUCUGACAGUUGAAGACUUGACUACAGGACUAUAAGUUUAUGAAUAGUCAACCCCAGCUGUCUGAUGGAAUCCUUUAGCAACAAGCCGAGCUUUAUGCUUAGAUACUGAGCCAUCUAAAUUAUACUUUGUUCUGAAGACCCAUUUGCAGCCAACCAGUUUAUGAGUAGGAUCCAUUGAAACUAGAUUCCAGGUUUUGUUUCUGAUAAGUGCAUCAUAUUCCAGUUGCAUUUUAUCUUUCCAUUUAGGAUCAGCUAAAGCUUCACCAACAUUAGAAGGUUCUAAACUGUUGUGUGCUGUCAAAAAUGCCUUAGGUUUGAAUAUACCAGCUUUAGCUCUGGUAGUCAUGGGAUGGACAGAGAUAGUAGGAUUGGAAAGUGAUAAAGAUGGUCUGGAAGGUGAUGUGUGUAAAGAAGCUUGAAAUGGUAUAGGAAGUUCUGGAGAAUUUUGAUGGAUGAUAGGUGAAGAUAUAGUGUUUGAAGUUGCUACUGGAGAUGUUGUGGGAAUGACAGGGGAGGUUAUGGUAUUAGUGGAUAAAAUAGAAUGAGUAGAAGAGGAAGGUAACAAGAUAUUGUGAUGAGAACUAGAAUUGUUAGAAUCAGUAUCUGCAGCAACAGCUUCAAAAGGUUUUAGAUUGCUAUUAGGAACUGAAACAUUAUAAAUAAAAACUUAUUAAAACCUAAUUUAUUUGGGAACCACAUAUUAAAACCUAAUUUAUUUGGGAACCACAUAUUAUUGGUCAGUAGUAUUUCUCAACUUAGCAAGUUAUUUCUAAUUUGUCCCUCUCUAUUAUUGGUUCUCUUAAAGCCAAUAGUGUCGCAUUUGAUAUCUUGCCAUUACCGUUGGCAUUAGCAUGUUACCUGAAAUUGGGAUUCAUUGAAAUCCUCAAUGUAAUCGGUGGAACGAAUGGAUUUCUUCUAUUCAUAAUUUGAUGAUUUUAAUUGAACUAGGAGAUAAAGUAAAAGAUAAAUGGUUGGUUUACUCCAAUUUCUGAAGUGCUUGUAUCUUUUUGGUUGAAUUCGUGCAGUUAAAUAAUCUCUACCAACAUAUGUAUGUAUGUAUGAAAUUGGAGUAACCAGACCUUUUCAAGAGUUAAAUAAUCUCUACCAACAUUGUAGAUUGCCCGAUAAAGUUAACUGUGUUACCCAGCUCCAUGCAUAUACAUUAAAUGCAUGUUUGGGUAGUUUUAUAAAAUGAUAACAGCACGUCAAAACUUGAUGAGUUAUAUUGUCAUAUUCGACAUUUUUAAAUUGAAAAAUUAGCAAGCAAUCUUCAGUGAACAUUACAAUUUUGUUCGCUCUACACCCCAUCAAUAUUUAAGCAAUCUACAGAUCAUUACUUGAGGAAAGAAACUCUUUGCGCCACUAGGCUUUUAACGAGGCUCAUUUCUAUGAAUCGGGAUAGCAUUAGAUAUCUCUCCGAAUACUGGUGGGAGUAGAUUGCAGAUCUCUGGGCUAUACUGCAAAGUGUAUGUACGUUGAUUGUCUGAUAUGAUUCAAAACAUCAGUCCAUGCAUCAUUUUAAUGAGAAAGAAUAUUCUGAGAUUAUUUAUGCAUCACCAUUUGUAGUUGUACUGACUAAUGAAAUUAAAGGUGCAAUCAGCAACUAAAAUGAAGCCAGAAAGACACGCAUGAGGCAGUUUUCCUAGAAGAUUUGAUAUUUCUUUGACUAGCAAACCAUACGAGUCCAAAGCUAGCCAAACCAUCCCUGCAAGUCCAGGGCUUAAAUGGAGUACAUCUAAGCAUAAAACAUUAAUCAAAACACAAUACGCACACACAGACCCCUACAUACAUACCAGCAAAUUCAAAAUAGAAAAAGGAGUGCAACUAUUCAAGUUUGUAGACAAUAUUGCAGCCAUGGCAUAUCAAAGCAAAUCCUUGAAAUGUGCUAAACAGAACAAUGCCCUGUCUCAUGAAUCGACGCUCAAUUACAAUUGAAAUUGAAAGUCCGGCUGGUGUUGUUUCCCUCUCCAGUUUUGCCUACAUAAGUAAAGGGAAAUAAGAAUCAUAAAUGAAAAUAUGCUUUGACAGUUCUUAUUAGAUAUAUAUAAAGGGAUCUUUCUUUGUUUCUCUGCUGCGAUGUGUGGUUAUCCCACUGUUUUUCCACUCAAGCUGAGUCUACGUUGAGACAUAAUUUUGACAUCAGAAGAUACCUCAAUUAGUUUGGCACUUUUACGAUAAACAUAAAUCUACUAAGAAAGUGCGGAAAAAAAGAAAAUGCAUAUAAAAGUAUGAUUUAUCAGAUAAGAUUAAAACUCACCCAAUUAAAUCCGUCAGAUUCCAUAAGGAUAUAACUGGAUGUCAUACCGCCGCUCCAUAUCCUCGAAAGUCCGUAGUCUUUGUCUCAGCUCUGUCUGAGGCCAAUGUAAAUCCAAUUUGCGCAAGCUCUUUAUGCACCACAGCUCUUCUGGAAGCUUUCUCAGGUAAGCACAUGGGUUGACAAUUAAGCUUUCAAGUUUUGGCAUUGCUCCUCUCCCCAUCGUCCACUCAUCUAGCCAAUACAUUGAUUUCAGGUGCAAAACCUUAAGCUUCGGAAAGCCACCAGAGCCGACACAGGCCAGCUUUCUUCCUAAAUACGAGUUCUGCUUCAGUUUCAGCACUUGAAGGUGCGGAAGCUUUUCUAGCGUUGGCAUGGGAUCCUCCAUUAGCUCAGUAUUUGAUAAGCUCAGUUGGGUCAGACUUGGAGGAAAUUGGUAUUCAGACAGGACCAUCCGUGAGAGCUUGCUUUCAUUCACCAGCUUCAAGCAUUCAAGUUUCUGCAGUUCGCAUAGGCUUUUGGAAGCCCCAAAAUGAUAGCAAGUCAAAUCUCCAGAUAUCCUUAGAGUUUGAAUAUUUGGUACUCUGCCCAAUAUAUCUGGAAUGCAACUACUAGGGUGCAAGGCUGAUAUGAAAAUGAGAUUUUUCAGGGAGCUGCAAUAAUUAUUUGGAGGUGCAGGCAGAGUGAUGGAACCGAAGUUUAGAUGCCUGAGUUUUUGCAUCAUCCAAAUAUCCUCUGAUGACUGAUCUAUGUAGCUAGAUGGCAUUUCUAGUGCUUGAAGGUUUAAAAGGGUGCAUAGCAGCGAAGGAAGGCAUUUGAGCGAAGGGAUAUUCAAUUUCAAGUACUUCAAAAAAUAUAAAUUUUCUAAUCCGGGUGGAAAUUGGUCGAGAACUGCGGAACCCAAGUUCAGUACCCGAAGGUGUUUGAACUUUUUACAAAAGUUCUCGCAAUCUAUCAGAGCGAGAUGAUCGCUUCGUGAACUGUGAAGCAGAAAAGAAUGGAUAUACUUGUCAGAAUAUUCUGGAGGAAAGAACUUAAUCAGACGAUCCAAAAUGAGAUACCGUUUGACAUUUGCCAGUGGUUCCUCUUUCAUGUCAGAUAUCCGGACAAAUUCCGUCUUGUCCGCCACCAAAUACAGUGAAAUAAAUUCAAAACUUGGAACAUAACACGCUUUGAUUGUGCCGUUGGCUCUUCUCUUACUCACUUGAAUGAAGUCGCGGUGGAUUAGUUCUUUUAACCCUCAGCUAUCCACAACUGACAUAAUUGCGUGGUAGAUAUCUCAAUGCCGGGGCGGAAGACACACAAAUAGAUGCAGCAGACUUUCAAGUAAAAAGGUAACUCCCCCACAGAACAAGUUCGACUGAAAACUGUCAAAUUUAUUUUUUCAUUCAUAUAAUUUUCUGAUGGCGCACUUCCAUAGUGUAGGACGAAAAAUUGCCAGGCCUCAUGCUCUAAUCUGAUCAAUGGUCCUUCAAUGAGCACUGAAUCAAGCCGAAUCUUCUCUCCGUUUUCCAUUUCCAACGACGUAAGGAGUUCUGGAUCAGUGAAAUAUCAAUACUCUGCUUCCAUUCCGAUUAUCAGGAAGAACUUCUUCAAGAUCAUCCCAUAUCUCAAUGUUAUCGCAGACAUCAUCAAGCACAAUAAAGUACUUCUUGUUUGUUAGGUAAUCUUGAAGAAUAGAUUUCUUCAAUUGAUAAUCUUCACCGAUAAUUACACUAACCCGAGAUGGAGGCAUCACGGACUUGAUUAUGUCAUCCAAUAUCUUGCCAAAAUCGUAGAGUGAAGAAACCCUGACCCAAGCAAAACCGUCAAAAUAGAACUUGACGUGAUUAUUAUUGUAAGUAUCUGCAGCAAAAGCAGUCUUAUCGAUGCCACGGCUGUCGAGAAUUGCAACCACUGCAAGCCGAGGAUGUCCUUCUAUCAAUAAAUCAAACAACUCCUCUCUGCCCCUUGCAAAUUCAUUGAUAUCAAGCCGAGGUUGUCCCUCACUCAAUAGGCGAAUGGUUUUGUUACAUUGUUCAGUGAUAUCAAAAUCAUUGUCGCCGGGUGGAAGUUGUUGCAUCCGAUUUCUAAUAUCAAUGAUUUCACUGUUGAGUCCAUCAAGAAGAGUCGUAUUAGUACUGCUGUCACUUUCGUUUUCACUGUUUUGCUGCUGCAUGAUUUUGAUGAAGAAUGUGUCAAUGGCUUCCUCAGAUUCACGGACAAAGUCAUUGAUGUCGUUCAGAAUUUCCAGAAUGUCUGCCCUUUUAACAUCUUCUUCAUCGCUUUUUUCUAAGUCCAACAGUUGCAAAGAAGGUAAAGAUAUUUCGGUGUCAUCGAAUUCUUCUCUAAUGAGUUGAAACAAAUCCGAGCCAUGUCAGAGUCAUAGUUUCCCAGCAGUGGUAACAAUAAUUUUGGACUCCGUAAGAAGGUUUUGAAAAAGUGGGGUUAAAUUUGUUGAAUCAGGCAGCGUUAACGGGUCUUCUUCACCUGCUAACACCCUUUUCAACCUCUCACAAAAUAGUCGGAGGUGGACGUCCAGCAUAUCUCAUUCUCUCCGUAGCACCCAGACGUAUUGUUAUUUGCUCCAACAAAUGUUAAAAGGAUUGGUUCUAUCUCAAAGUGGUUUGUGGUGUAAAAUUAAACACUAUGGGAGAAUUUGAAAGGAAGAUGCCAAGAAACCGUGUAAGUGGCUAAUUUCCACAAAUAUGACAUUAUUGCUCAUUUUUAACUCAAAAAAAUGAUAUGCGUUCAUUUAGAGAAAAGUCCAAGACGCUUGCCUUUUAAAAAGAACAGGUAUCCCUAUGCAACCUUUAUCUUAUUUAAUUACUACCAUAUGGUACUUAAAUCUAUUGUUUCUUUUUUAAUUUAAAGAAUUUUUCAUUAAAAAACUAUUUUAAUAUCAAAAUGCCUUCAAUGGCAUAGCUGCCGCAAGCCCAGUAUGAAUUAACAGGAUGAAUUAAAAAUUUUAGAAUUUUUGGGCAUGGAAAGAGUAAUAUUAAACAUUAGAAAGCUAAGCUUGUUCUGUUAAAGAAUUGAUAUUGACAUAAUUUUAUUUUGGUUUUCGGGGAAAAAAAUUAUUCGUUGACAAGCAAGAAACAUUUUUAAUUUUUAAAAUUUAUUAUGCAUAUUUUAUCAUAGUAAAGUAAUUUUAAUAAUAAAUAGAAACAUAAUAUUACAGUAAAUAAAUUAAAGUUUAAAUUAUUUUGAAUGUUAUAAAAAAUAAUUUUAAUAUUAUUAAUAGAAGACAUUUUCUUAAUUUUAAAAUCUUUUUAACCCAAAGGUUUAUUUAAAAUCUUUCUAAUAAAUACAAAUAUAAAAUUAAAAUAAAUAUCAAAAUUUGAAAUUUUUAAUAUUAAAAUUACUUUAAUGUUGUUAGUGACUGUUCGGUACAGCUUAUUUAAUGGCUAUAAGUGCUUAUUUAAUGUCAUAAUGUCAUGGGAUGAGUGUUUUGCACAGCAAAUCCAUGCGGUACUUAGACAACUUUGCCGAAUGUUGCUAAGUAAGCCUUGAGCUUCUCGAACUAGCUAAGCCUAGAGGUUUUCGAAGAGCUAGAGAGAAGAGAGCAAUGAAGCCGAAUGAAGAGAAUUGUAUUACUAACAAGAGAGAUUACAAGAGAGCUUACAAGUGUUUGAGUUGCUUGUACUAAGCUUGUUGCUCAAAUGUCUAAUGCCAUCCCAUAUUUAUAGGGGAGGCUUGCCAAGCUCUAGAGAUUCUAGAGAAUUCUACCAUUUAUAUGUGCCGGAAUUCUAUGGAGUAUUCUAGAGUAUUUACAAGCUCAAAUGCCUUUUAAAAAGAAUAUGUAUACAAUGGCAAUCCAUACUUUAUAAAAUUGAUGGUGAUUACAAAGAAAAAUUGUUUAAAAUAGAUUUAAUGCACAAAUAUGAUGACUUUUGGCAAAAAUUAGUUUCGGAAAUGUUGGGAUGAAAACCAUAUUAAUUGAGAAUUAAAAUUACUUAAUAAAAUUACUUAACUACCAUCUAAUAGAUGAAAACCAUAUCAAUUGAGACUUAAAUUAAGAUUUAAAUGUUGAAAUAUCUAGCAUUACUCACAAUAACCAAUUCAAAUUAUGACUAUCAUGUAGAAGCAAAUGUUUAUGCUUGGGUUUUUUACUUCUUGAAUUUGAUUGGAAAAUUUUCUGAGAUAGAGAAGUGUUUUGGAUAAGCUUUACGGGAUUGAAACCACAAAUUGGUAGAGGAAAUUAAUUUUGGACAAAUUUUUCUUAUAUUGUAGGACCUUCUAGUUGGAGUAGUGAUGCCUUUGUCUUCAUUUUUGGUUCCUUUUGUGUCGGCAGCCCCUUACUAUUCUCUUGACCCUGAGUUUGAGAUAGAAAUUUAUCAACCUCCAACCCCACAUCCACAAACAAGUUGAUUGAAACAAUUACUCUUUUAAUUAAGAGGACCCAAAUGAUUUAGGUUUCAGUUCUUAUCAUUUGUCUAUUAUUUCUUUGAAACAUUUAUUUUGAGCGUUACUGAUCUUAAUUAUCUGUAUUUCUCCAAUUAUUGAAGAAUUUCAAGUGGCCACUUUUUCUCCUUUUUAUAUAUGUUUAUUUUUUGGAGUGAUCAAACGGGUGCAAAAUCAAGUAUUCGCUGGUCUGUAGUUUAGCCAACGAUGGCUGAUCCACACAGUUGAUUAUAUGAUACUAUUAGCUCUCAAAAUCUUUCUUAUUUGAGAACAUAAAUUGCCCAUUGAAGUUAAACUAUGUUACCCAGCUCCAUGCACAUACAUUAAAUGUUUAGGUAGUUUUACAAAAUGAUAACAGCAUGCCAAAACUUGAUGUUGUCAUAUUCGACAUUUCAAAUUGAAAUAUAUGCAAGCAAUCUUCAGUGAACAUUACGUGUUUAUUGAAUAAUUUAAAUGGCCAGUAAAUCAACAGUCCGUGAGUUUUAAAUCUAUUAUGACUUAAUGUAUCUUUCUGUAUUUGUACACGUGUUAUAUUAUCAUAGUUUAAAAUUUUAAUAUUAUUUUAAAUGUUAAAAAUACUUUAAUGCUAUUAGUCUACUACACAGGUUAUAUUAUUUAUAUUAUAUUUGUAUUAAUUAAAACUUUUAAUGUCAAUUUUCUAAUUACUAUAUUGAAAAGGUAUUAUGGUUAAGAAAAAGUUUUGGCAUUUCUUCUUGAAAAUUUGAGGGUUUUCCAAAUUCUAAGGGUAUAGGUUUGAAAAUUUAACGAUCUUUAACUUAAUGAAACAAAAGAGGGAAAUCAAGAACUAUUCAAUUUUGUAUUUUUUGUUUGUAAUUCAAAAAAUACAUCCACCAAACAAGUUUUACGCAUUAAUGCUGUCAUAAAACGAAAAACAGUUUGCCAAAAAAUGGUACCAAACAUGUCCUUAAUGUCUCACAUGAUUUCUUAGUAAGUCCAUAUUAGAUAUAUUUAUACAUUUUAGGUAUUUUAGUUAUAAAAGAAGUUGGACCUCCCCCUGUUUAUAAAAAAUAACUUUAUUUCGAGAUUACCACUAAACUCUUACAUAGAAUUAGUGUAAUGUUAAGAGAGAGUAACACAGUUUUCCAUUACCAUCUUUGAAAAUAGAGAGAUAUGGAUGCGUGCAUUUAAGAGUUACCGUGAAAAUCAUACAAUUCAAUUUCCUGACAUAUAUAUUCAUGGACCAGCACCGAUAUUCUCACACCAAUGAGCACCACAGUUAGCACAAAACGGUUCGUUUUGUGCUAACUAUAAAAGAUUUAACUGUAGCUUGAAAACGCAGACUCAUCUUGCUCAAACGCAGACCACACACGCGCUCGAGUUUCUAAAACGCAAACGCAAACGCAAACUACACACACACUCAUCUUACUGGACCACAACACUCUCUCUCACCGUGGGUCUCUCCACAUUUGGCUUGGCUGUCAGUUGUUUCUCUCCCAACCCCGUGGAUUGCAUUCUCACGGCACUUCUGGAAUUUGAGACUUAGCUGCAGCUUCACUCUCUCGGCUGUCGGAAUUGAUUUGUGGAGGUAAUUUAUGCAAACGCAAACCACACACACACUCAUCUCAGUUGACCACAACACUCUCGCUCGCCGUGGGUCUCUCCACAUUUGGCUUGGCUGUCAGUUGUUUCUCUCUCCACCCCGUGGAUUGCAUUCUCACGACACUACUGGAAUUUGACACCUAGCUGCAGCUUCACUCUCUCGUUAUGAAUUUAUGUUAAUUUUGCUGUCUUCAGAACUGCCUGUUGUGGUCGAGUACAAGAUUGCGGAGAUGGGUUAUGUUAGAUUCUACUUGACACCAAGAUAGAAGAAGAUGAGGAUGAGACCAAGCCUCUAGCUUAAGUGUCAUUUGGUACAUAUGCUAUGGCAUUUUGUUGAAUCGAGUUACUCCUACAUUUUAAGUUUGCUUUUAGAAUAUUUCUCGUAAAUUUUCAUGUUGAAAAACCAAUCAUUUGUAGUUAAGUAGAUUGAUAAGAAUUCGUUUCUUGUGCUUGGUUUUUUAUCCUACUGUUGCACAUGGCCAGACAGCUGGUUGCACAUCAGAUUCAAGAGCUGUAAAUUUUGAGGCUGAGGAAUCUCAGCUGGGAUUUCAUGUGAUAACAUAUUAUCAGAUAGAUCCAGCAACUGCAAUGAAGUAAUGUUGCCAAUUUCCGCAGGAAGCUUGCCUUGAAAGUUGUUCUGAUACAAAAACAUUAUCUCCAAUAGCUCAAGCCUCCCAAGUUCAGCUGGAAUCUCCCCACCAAGAUUACCAACGGCCAAAUCAAGAUACUUCAGGUUGGUAAGAUUCCCAAAUUCCACUGGGAUUUCACCUUCAAAUUCAUUGUAUCCAAGAAUCAUAGUCUCCAUGGAUGAAAGUUGCCCAAGCUCUCGCGGUAUCUUGCCAGUGAGAUUAUUCCCAGAUAGAUUGAUAAGAAUUCGUUUCUUGUGCUUGGUUUUUUAUCCUACUGUUGUACAUGUAAUUGAUUCAUUUGUAAUCUUUGUUGCUUUCAAAGGUAGGCUUCAAUUGAGUUGAAACUUUAAAAAAUUUAUAAAAAAUGAACCGCAAAUAAAAGAUAGCAUCAUAUUGGGUGACAAAAUGUUCUCGAGGAUGAUCCUGAUUAAUGCUGUGUAUUUCGCAAUGUAAUUACUUGCUGAUCAAUUUAAUUGAAUUGAUUAACACAUUGGUUUGAGUUUUGAUACUGCUGCUCUGUUUUUGGGUUAUUUGAAGAUCGCAUUUUUGCAGGAACUGGUAAAUUGGACACGUUAACAAAAACUUCUCACGUAUUACUGAAAUAAUAACUGUUAUAUUUCAGCCCUUAUGCACAGAACACAAUGGUUGCAAGCAAAUCAACUCAUAACUUACACAAUGGUUGCAAGCAAAUCAAUUCAUAACUUGUAAAUAAAUAAACCCCAAAAAAUUGGGCAUUAAUUUCCAUUUUCCAGCAUAUAACAAUUUCUAGCAGCAAGUUUUAACAGCAGAUAACUUCCGACAACAACUCAUCCCAAAAUCAGCAACUCAUAACUCACAACACAAUAGCAUUUUGCUAAUUUCCAAUAGCAAGAUGCGUGAGAGAGACCCACGACGAGAGAAAGCCGAAGGAGAGAGCAGCGAGAUGCGCGAGAGGCCAGAUGAGAGAGACCCACGGUGAGAGAGAGAGCCACAGCCGAAGAGUGACCCACGCUCAAGAGAGAGAGCCACAGCCGAAUAGAGACCCACUCUUGAGAGAGAGAGAGAAAACCAAAGGAGAGAGCAAUCCCACGAUCCGUUUUGUGAGGCGAGUGUGUGAGGAGAGUGUGUUAGUUUUGAAGCUACAGUAUUUUCUUUUAGAGUUAGCACAAAACGAUGGUGCUAACUGCUAAGCGUGGUGCGUUUCUCAUUUUCCAUUCAUGGCCGUAUGCCAAAAGAAUAAAUAGACAGAAAGUAAAUUUACAGUCCUCACUUCCUCACAAUUGUUAACGUGAAGAUGCAUUACAACCGUGAACUGUCACUACUUUAGCCUUUUUUUUUUUUUCAAUUAUGGUGUGAUGGAGACAUUAAGGAUGAGCAUAAAAGUUAAAGAUGACUCAUUUUCUUUUUAAAGUGCUCUGCUGAAAGCCAAACUUCCUUUGGCUAAUUAAUUUAGAAGUAAAGCAGAGAAUAAAGUCUUAGAUGCCUUCUGAAAUUAGAAAUACAUUUUAUAUGCUUUAAUUAUGAUUAUUUGGUAGACUAAAGACCUAAAAGAUAUGUCAAAAGUAUAAAACAGAGCGAUUAAAGAAAAAAAGAAAAAAAAAAAACAGAGUAUUUGUGACGUAGAAUAACAAUUGGUAAAUAAAUCCUAAAUAUUUGAGUUGUUUAAAGCAAAUAUAACAGAGACGGUAAGAGAGAUGCAGAAACAGAAAACUAUUAGCCCUCUAUAUUCAUUUUCGAUGCUUUUCAAUCGAGAUUCUUUUAAUUCUUCUGGUGUCUGCAGCCCCGGCUCCUCUUAUAGAUCUCCAUCCCACAUCUGCACUACGAACAAGUUGAUUAAAGUUAAAUAAUGUUGGAGAUGUGGGGUGAGCCGUCAAUUUGGUAAAAAAUAUUAUGUAUAAUAUUGUUAAUAAUAUAAAAUAUAUAAUAAUAAUUACAAAGAAUCAUAAAUUAGAAAAAUUAAUUAUUUUACAAUCUAUUUCUUAAGUAAGAUAGAUCUCGUAAUAAGUUAAGUUAUAAUGUAAAAAAUAUUUUCAAUUUAUAAUCAUUUAAGAAGUCAUUUAACAAUAAAAUUUUUCUUUUUUUGAUCAAUUGGUCAUGCUACAGAGUAUCAUCUAUAUUCGUAGUGAUAUUAUUAUUACUCCGUAUUCUCAAAAAACCCGAUUUAACAUUUAGAAAAAGUUCCUACCUUUUAAAAAGAACAUGUAUGCAACAGCUACCCAUACUUUAUCUUACCACGACAAAACUAAUAGGGACUAAAUCAAAUUUCUCGAAUAAAGCAAAAUUUCUUAAAAUUAAUUUAAUAUACAAAUAUGAUGACUUUUUGCAAAAAUUAGUUUUGGAAAAUUAGUGACAGAAAAUAGUAACGAUUAUUAUUUAGAUGUGUAAAUAGCCUAAACAUGAUCCCUAGUACCAAUAUCCACGUGCAUCUUAACAUCUUUCGUCAUAUUCUUUCAUUCAUGGCCACUGGUUCAAGAUUUGAAUUUGAUCAUUAAAUCAUGUUCAAUAAUAUUAGAGAUUCCAACAAUUGAGCACCAACUUAAAUCCCAAUGCUAUGUGUCAUUAACAAAUGUUGUGUCAUUUAUAAUUAUUGAAUGAAUAAUUCGUUAAUUUAUUGAUAAACAAAAAUUUAUUAAUUUAAAGAGAGAUUUUUUUUUUUGGUUUUAAGAAGAGUUUUGCUGGUACAUGUACAUACUUAUAAAGAAAUAAACUUGUAAUUAUACUAUAUCUUUCUUUCUUUGUUUAUUUUGGUGGGAUAUUGUGAUAAAUCAUUGGAUUAAAAUGCAUUUAAAAAUAAAACUUGUUAAAAUCUAAUUUAUUUGGAAAACGCAUAUUAUUUGUCAGUCGUACUUCUCAACUUAGCAAGUUAUUUCUAACUUGUCAGUCUCUAUUGGUUCUCUAAAAGCUAAUAGUCUCGAAUCUCCCGGAUUUGAUAUCUUGCCAUUACUGUUGGCAUUAACAUGUUACCUGAGAAAUGAUAUUUUUUGUGGUGUUGAUAAAGAGGUUAAAUAUGAUUCAACAAUUUAAAAUAUGAAAACAUAUGGAAGACGGCCGCAAUUAAAUUGAUUGUAUGAAAAUAUUUCAAUGAAAUUUUAAAAAUUUGGUACUUGUUAUCUUAUCGAGAGUUUUUUUAAAUUAUAUUACUACUUGAACUUAACUGCUUUUGUAUUGAAUUCCUAGCGUUGCCAUUGCUUCUACUCAAAAGCCAUUUAAGUUUGUGUAAGCUACGUAUAGUUUGAACAACAAUUUACUCAUGAAUUGUUGUUCACAAUAGCAAGUCGGGGGUUUAAAUGGAGUACUUCUAAGCAUAAAACAUUGAUUAAAACAGAAUACACACAUACAUACCAGCAAAUUCAAAAUAGCAAAAGGAGUGCAAAAGUUCAAAUUUGUAGACAACAUUGCAACCAUGGCAUGUUUAUAGCAAAUCCUCGAAAUCUGCUAAAUAAAACAAUGCCCUGUCUCAUGAAUCAAUGCUGAAUUAAAAUUGAAACUGAAAGUCUGGCUGGCGUUGUUUCCCUCUCCAAUUUUGCCUACAUAAGUGAAAAUAAGAAUAAUAAAUGAAAAUCUGCUUUUACGGUUCUUAUUAGAUAGAUAAAAGGGGGAUCUUUCUUUGUUUCUCUGCUGCAAAGUGUGGCUAUCCCACUCUGUUUUGCCACCCAAGCUGAGUCUAUGUUGAGACAUAAUUUUGACAUCAGAAGCAAUCUCAAUUAGUUUGGCACUUUUAUGACCUCCUUGAAGGUUUUACGAUAAACAUAAAUCUACUGAGAAAGUGAGAAAAAAAAAGAAAAUGCAUAUAAAAAUAUGAGUUAUCAGAUAAGAUUAAACUUCACCCAAUUCAAUCCAUCAGAUUCCGUAAGGAUAUAACUGGAUUUCAUACCGCCACUCCAUAUCCUCGAAAGUCCGUAGUCCUUGUCUCAACUGUGUCUGGGGCCAGUGUAAGUCCAAUUUGCGCAAGCUCUUUAUGCACCACAGCUCUUCUGGAAGCUUUCUCAAGUAAGCACAUGGGUUGACAAUUAAGCUUUCAAGUUUGGGCAUUGCUCCAGCCCCCAUCGUCCACUCAUCUAGCCAAUACAUUGAUUUGAGGUGCAAAACCUUAAGUUCGGGAAAGCUACUCAAGCCAACACAAGCAAGCUUUCUUCCUAAAUACGAGUUCUGCUUCAGUUUCAGCACUCGAAGGCGUGGAAGAUUUUCCAGAAUUGGCAUGGGAUCCUCCAUUAACUCAGUAUUUGAUAAGCUCAGUUGGAUCAGACUUGGGGGAAAUUGGUAUUCAGACAGGACCAUCCGUGAGGGCUUGCUCUCAUUCACCAGCUUCAAGCAUUCAAGUUUGUGGAGUUCGCAAAGGCUUUUGGAAACCCCAGAUUGAUAGUAACUCAAAUCUCCAGAUAUCCGAAGAGUCUGAACACUAGGUAGUCUGCCCAAUAUAUCAGGAGUACAACUACUAGGGUUUAAAGCUGAUAUGAAAAUGAGAUUUUUCAGAGAGCUAGAAUAAUUUUUUGGAGGUGCGGGCAGAGUGAUAGAACCAAAGUUUAGAUGCAUGAGUUUUUGCAUCAUCCAAAUAUCCUCUGGUGACUGAUCUAUGUAGCUAGAUGGCAUUUCUAGUGUUUCAAGGUUUAAAAGGGUGCAUAGCAGUGAAGGAAGGCAUUUGAGCGAAGGGAUAUUCAAUUUCAAAUACUUCAAAAGAUAUAAAUUUUCUAAUCCGGGUGGAUAUUGGUCCAGGACUGCAGAACCCAAAUUCAAUACCCGAAGGUGUUUGAACUUUUUACAAAAAUUCUCGCAAUCUUUCGGAUUAAGAUGAUCGCUUGCCGAACUGUGAUUCAGAAAAGAUUGGAGAUACAUGUCAGAAUGUUCUAAAGAUAAAAACCCAGUCAGAUCUUCGGCAAUGACGCACCGUUUAACGUUUGCCACUGGCUCCUCUUCCCCGUCAUGCAUCAAGACAAAUUCCGUCUUCUUUGCCACAAAAUACAAUGAAGUAUAUACAAAACUUGGAACAUAACACGCUUUAAUUGUGCCUCCGGCGCUUCUCUUACUCACUUGAAUGAAGCCGCGACGGAUUAGUUCUUUCAUGUAAUGUUCGGCAGUUUCUUCACCGUUGUAUGGUAUGAAACCUUCAGCUACCCACAACUGAUAUAAUUGCUCCGUAGAUAUCUCAAUACUUGGAAGGAAGACACACAAAUAGAUGAAGCAGACUUUCAAGUGAAAAGGUAACUCCAUCACAGAAAAAAUUUGUCUCCAAACUGUCGGAAUCGCUUCGCCUUGAAGAUAAUUUUCUAAUGGCAUACUUCCAUAGUGUAGGAUGAAAAAUUGCCAGGCUUCAUGCUUUAAUCUGAUCAAUGGUCCUCCAAAGAGCACUGAAUCACGCCGAAUCUUCUCUCCGUUUUCCAUUUCUAACGACGCAAGGAGGUGUGGAUCACUGACCAACAUCAAUACUCUGCUUCCAUUCUGAUUAUCAGGAAGAACUUCUUCAAGAUCACUCCAUAUCUCACUGUCAUCGAAGACAUCAUCAAGCACAAUAAAGUACUUCCUGUUUGUUAGGUAAUCUCGAAGAAUAGAUUUCUUCAAUUGAUAAUCUUCCCCGAUAAUUACACUAACCCGAGAUGGAGGCAUCACAGACUUGAUUAUGUCAUCCAAUAUCUUGCCAAAAUCGUAGGUUAUAGAAACCCUGACCCAAGCAAGACAGUCAAAAUAGAACUUGACGUGAUCAUUAUUGUAAGUAUCUGCGGCAAAAACAGUCUUGUCGAAGCCACUGCUGUCGAGAAUUGCAACCACUGCAAGCCCAGAUGGUCCCUCAAUCAAUAGAUCAAACAACUCCUCUCUGCCCCUUUCAAAUUCACUGAUAUCAAGCCGAGGAUGUCCCGCACUCAAUAGGCGAAUGAUUUCGUUACUUUUUUCACUGAUAUCAAAACCAUUGUCGCCGGGUGGAAGUUGUUGCAUCCGAUUUCUAAUAUCAAUGAUUUCACUGUGGAGUCCAUCAAGAAGAGCCAUAUUAGUGCUGCUUUCACUUUCGUUUUCACUGUUUUGCUGCUGCAUGAUGUUGAUGAAGAAUGUGUCAAUGGCUUCCUGUGAGUCACGGACAAAGUUAUUGAUGUCCUCCAGAAUUUCAAAAAUAUCUGCUGUUUCAACGUUUUCUUCAUCGCUUUCUUCUAAGUCCAACAGUUGCAAAAAAGGCAAAGAUAUUUUGGAGUCAUCGAAAUCUUCUCUAAUGAGUUGAAACAAAUGCCGAGCCAUGUCAGCUUCAUAUUUUCCCAGCAGAGUAGUAGCAAUAAUUUCGGACUCCGUAAGAAGGUUUUGAAAAAGUGGAGUUAAAUUUGUUGAAUCUGGCAGCGGCAACGUGCCUUCUUCACCUGCUAACACCCUUCUCAACCUCUCACAAAAUAGUCGGAGGUGGACGUCCAGCAUAUCUCCUUCUCUCUGUAGCACCCAGAGGUAUUGUUUUUUGCUCCAAGAAAUAUUAAAAGGAUUGGUUCUAUCUAAAAGUGGUUACUGGUGUAAAAUUAAACGCCAUGGGAGAAUUUGAAAGGAAGAUGCCAAGGAACUGGCGAAGUGGCUAAAUUCCACAAAUACGGCAUUAUUGCUCAUUUUUAACUCAAAAAAUUGAUACGCGUUCAUUUUGCGAAAAGUCCAAGACGCUUGCCUUUUGAAAAGAAGAGGUAUCCAAUAGAUAUCCAACCUUUAUCUUAUUUUAAUUACUACCACGACAUGAUUGAUGGUGGUUAAAUCAAUUGUUUCUUUUUUAAUUUAAAGAAUUUUUCAUUAAAAAAUAUUUUAAUAUCAAAUUGCCUUCAAUAGCGUAACUGCCGCAAGCCCAGUAACAGGAUUAAUUAAUUUUUUUUGAAUUUUUGGGCAUGGAAAGAGUAGUAUUAGACUUCAGAAAGCUAAGGUUGUUAUGUUAAAGAAUUGAUAUUGACAUAAUUUUAUUUUGGCUUUCGGGGAAAAAAAUAUUUGCUGACAAGCAAGAAAAUAUUUUUGUAUUUUACAAUUUAUUAUACAUAUUUGAUCAUAUUAAAGUAAUUUUAAUAAUAAAUAGACACAUAAUAUUACAAUAAAUAAAGUAAAGUUUAAAUUAUUUUGAAUAUUAUAAAAAAAUAAUUUUAAUAUUAUUAAUAGGAAGACAUUUUGUUAAUUUUAAAAUCUUUUUAACCUAAAGGUUUAUUUAAAAUCUUUAGAAAUCUCCAUCCCACAUCUACCCUAUUAAACAAGUUGAUGGAAAUUGAACAAUUGCUUUUUAAAGUGGGACCCAUUGAGUUAUGUUCAUUACUGGUCAUUGUCUAUUCUUUCUAAGAGCCACUUGUUUUGAGCAUUAGCAAUCCUAUCUGGACUACUCCAAUUAUUGAUGUAACUCCAAUGGUUGCAUCGACAGUUGAAUAUAAGAGGAUGGUCCAUCGACAAUUUCUUUGUUUCUCCGUUGCAGCGUAUUAGUAUAAAUUUCUUUACCUAACAGUUCAUACAGUCUUCCUGUUAAUGAAUUCACUGAGGCAUUAUUGAUACAAUGUGCUUUUCGCUAAUUAAUUAUGAUUAUAUACGCUUUCAUAUAGCAAGUGGCAUUGUAGAUCUAAACUAAGUUGCUAUUUCAAUACGUUAAUUAAGUGAUUCUCCUCAUUGUCAUCAGCAUUAUACCCUCUAGGAAAAUAGCUCAAUUGUUUCUCUGCAUUGAUUUUCAUUGGUAAGUGAUUUCUUAUGAAAUUCUUUUGAGCUUUCCUUAUUAAAAAUGCUUGAGCUUUUAUCACCUAAUACGGAUAUCAAUUAACUUGUGAACGAUUUUGUAAUGAAACUAGGAGUUAAAUAAGAUUUUUACAUGAUGAUCAACUUGUUAAUUUUGUAUAUUUCAUAUUCAACAGGAUUUGGGCACGGAACGUUUGGAUUCUAAUAUUUAUAUAUUUAGUUUUAAUCAGUUUGACUUUCGUAAUCUUUCUCGCCUCAUCAUUAAGGGAUUAAGAAUUAGAGAAACAUUAGAAACAGGAAGAAAAUAACUUCAGAAAUAAGUAAGAGGGAAUCCAAUGAGAAAUAUGAUAAGAGAACGUCAAUUACUUGUCAUUUUCUAUUUUUUCUAUGAGAUAUUUAUUUUGAGCAUUAGUUAUAGCAAAUCCUUGAAAUCUACUAAACAAAACAAUGCCCUGUCUCAUGAAUCGAUGUUGAAUUACAGCUGAAAUUGAAAGUCUGGCACCAGUUAUAGCAAAUAUUGAAUUACAAUAUUUCCCUUGCCAAACCGUACCUGCAUGUGGCAACGUGCCUUCUUCACUUGCUAACACCCUUUUCAACCUCUCACAAAACAGUCGGAGGUGGAAUUCCAGCAUAUCUCCUUCUCUCCGCAGCACUCAGAGGUAUAGUUGAAAGAUUAAACACCAUGGAAGAAUUUGAAAGGAAAAUGCCAAGAAACUGUGUAAGUGGCUAAAUUCCACAAAUAUGACAUUAUUGCUCAUUUUUUAACUCAAAAAAAGGGUACGCGUUCAUUUAGAGAAAAGUCCAAGACGCGUGCUUUUUAAAAAGAACAGGUAUCCAACCUCUAUCUUAUUAAAUUACAACCAUGACAUAAUUGAUGGUGCUUAAAUCAAUUGUUUCUUUUUUAAUUUAAAGAAUUUUUCAUUAAAAAAAUAUUUUAAUAUCAAAUUGCCUUCAGUGGCGUAACUGCCUCAGGCCCAGUAACAGGACUAAUUAAAAAUUUUACAAUUUUUGGGCAUGGAAAUAGUAGUAUUAAACAUUAGAAAGGUAAGGUUGUUCUGUUAAAGAAUUGAUAUUGACAUAAUUUUAUUUUGGUUUUCGUGGAAAAAAAAUUUGUUGACAAGUAAGAAAAUAUUUUUAUUUUUAUAAAAUUUAUUAUGCAUAUUUAUCAUAUUAAAGUAAUUUUAAUAAUAAAUAGAAACAUAAUAUUACAAUAAAUAAAUCAAAGUUUAAAUUAUUUUGAAUAUUAUAAAAAAUAAUGUUAAUAUUAUUAAUAGGAAGACAUUUUGUUAAUUUUAAAAUCUUUUUAAUCCAAAGGUUUAUUUAAAAUCUCUAUAAUAAAUACAAAUAUAAGAUUAAAAUAAAAAUCAUAAUUUGAAAAUUUUAAUAUUAUUUUAAAUGUUAAAUAUACUUUAAUGUUAUUAGCCUACUACGUAAAUUUUAUUAUUUAUAUUAUAUUCGUAUUGAUUAAAAUUUUUUAAAGUCAAUUUUUUAGUUAGUACAUUCACGAGGUAUAAUAGUUAAAGAAAAAAUUUUGGUGCAACUGUUUUAAAAUUUCAGGGUAUAAAUGAUAAUUUUUUUAAAAAUUUUAAGUAGGUAUUAUUUUUCCGACAAUUUAUUUUAUUGAGGGAAACCCGAUGAGAAAUAUCAUCAGAGAACAUUAAUUUAACAUUCUUUACCUUUAUGAAAAAAGUGGAAACCAAGAACUAUUCAAUUUUUUUUUUUUUGUGUAAUUCAAAAAAUGCAUCCACCAAACAAGCUUAUCUUAAUUUUCCCACUUUAUUCAUUUUCGAUGCUUUUCAAAAGAGGUUCCUUUAAUCCAUCUAGCAUCUGCAGCCCCCACUAUUUUUACAAAUCUCCAUCCCACAUCUACACUAUCAAAAAAGUUGAUGGAAAUUGAACCCAUUAAUUAAGUUAUGUUCAUUACAGGUCAUUAUCUUUCUAUGAGCCACUUAUUUUGAGCAUUAGCGAUCUUAUAAGGAAUCAUGCCUUUUCCGGAUCGUUUUCUUUCAUUUCCUUAUUGACUUAUUGUAGUAGUUAAUUAAAUAAAGAACGAACAAGUGAACUUAAUUUGUCUAUUUCGAGGAAGAACAAGGUUUCCAAUACUAGAGGAACUUUGAAGAAAAUUAAUUGGAAGCCUUUAUUCAUCUUUGAAGAAAAUUACCACACUUUAAAUCCUGGAUUAAAAAAAAUUUAUUCAUCUUCGGACUAUGAAUUUAUAAAAUAAUAUUGCUAGGACUAAGAAAAAAAUAUUAUUUUAGAUACGUUAUUUAUUUAUUAUUGAAUGAAAAAUUUAUCAUGAUAAAUAAAAUUUCUUAAUUUAAAGAGAGAUUUUUUUUUUGGUUUUAAGAAGAGUUUUUUUGGUACAUGCACACACUAAUAAAGAAACACAAAAAGUGCUUCCUCAAGUCAAUAGUAUUUACUUUAAUCGCUAAGGUGCAUAAUAAUGUAGCUUAGUUAGGAAAUUUGUAAUUACAUUAUGGCUCCGUUUGGUAUAACUUUUUAAUUAGAACUUAUUUAAAGAGAAUUUAUAUUAGUAGAGUUUUUAUAAAUAGAGAUUUUUUUUAUAAAAAAAAUUAUAGUUAUUUAGUUAUCAAUGUCCAAAUUGAUGAAGUAUUGUUCUUUUUAUUAACAUGUGUUUGUUUUACUUAAUAAUAAAAGUUUAGUUUACAAUUACACCGGUGUCAAAUCAGCAGAGCAUCGGCAAGAGUUUUCGAUUGUUGCAAUUUGCAAUGCACGCGGUGAGAGAAAAUGAGAAUCUUGUUUAAUUGUCAAUAAUGACAAACCUAAUCCUUUCAUUAGGAGUAAAUUAAUAAUCGUUGGUUAUAAUUGAAUAUGUAUAAAGAAAGGAAAAUUAUAUUCAUAGAUUUGACUUAUUUUUUAUUUAACGUAACUAAUCAUUCAACCAUCUUCGUUUGCCUCUGGCCAAUGCCCUUGUAGAUUAGUUGAAGCGUUAAUUACAUAAUUCAGAUAAUUACAACGUCCUUUUCGCUAAUUAAUUAUGAUUAUGUACAUUUUCAUAUAGCAAGUGGCAUUGUAGAUCUAAACUACGUUGCUAUUUCAAUACGUUAAUUAAGUGAUUCUCGUCAUUGUCAUCAGCGUUAUAAACAGGAAUUAUGCAAACAGUACACAAUGCUGCAGCAAGGCGUGGUUGGCUAGAGUUUUGCAACCACCCUCGAGAUCAUGUGCUGCCAGUAGUAAAAGAAUUUUACGCCAAUUUGGUAAGCCUUGGUCAGCACAAUAUUUGGGGUAAGAAACUCACUUGUUCCAUUAGACUCUCGAGUUAUAAAUGUUUUUUAUAAUUUACCUGCUGAAAUUAAUUGUGAGUAUGCCAAGUUGCUUGACAAAUUGACCUCACAACAAUGGAACACAAUUUUCACGACACUUACAGUAGAGGGUGCAUCGUGGGCUAAUGAGGAGGGGCGUGUAAUUAACAGGAUAGAUUUAAAACUCAUUGCUAAGGUGUGGGUGAAAUUUCUGAAAUCUAGGCUUAUGCCAACCAUCCACACCAUUACUGUUUUACAGGAAAGGUUGGUGCUGUUACAUGCUAUUGUUAGAGGGCUUUCCAUAGAUGUGGGAAGUAUUAUCGAAAAAGAAAUUCGAGAUUGUACCAUGAAAAACCACAAGGUUGUUGCCUUGUUAUUUCCUUCACUCAUAACCAGCAUAUGUGUAGUAUCGGGUGUUCAUCUUGAUGCAAAGGAUAAAAUUUGUAAUUAUAUUAUGGCUCCAUUUGGUAUAACUUUUUAAUUCGAACUUAUUUAAGGAGAUUUUUAUUAGUAGAGCUUUUAUAAAUAGAGAUUUUACUAAAAAAAAAUUAUAGUUAUUUAGUUGUCAAUGUCCAAAUGGAUGAACUAUUGUUCUUUUUGUUAACAUGUGUUUGUUUUACUUAAUAAUAAAAGUUAAGUUCACAAUUACACCGGUGUCAAAUCAGCAGAGCAUUUUUGCAGGGGUAAAAUCUCAUUUAGUCCCUAUAUUUUAAGCUUAGUAUCCAUUUGGUCCCUAUAUUUUUAAAAAUACCUCAAAACAUCCCUACCGUUAAAGUAUUGAUACCCCUACCGUUAAAGUAUUGAUACCCCUACCGUUAUCUUUAAUUUAUUUUGGCUUACUUUUACAAUAUUACCCUUUUAUAAUAAUUUUUUUAGACAUGAAUAAAAAAUAAUAAUUAAAUUACCAAUUUAACCCAAAAAAAAUUAAAAAAAAAAUUAUAUUAAUUUUUUUUGCAAACACCAUUUGCACACUUGAUAGUUUGCAUACAAUUUUAGAUAAUUAAAUUUCAACACAAGACUGAGUUUUUCAUCAUUCAAACUUCUCAUGUCUAAACUUUAUUUAUUGAGGUGCUAAAAGAUAAAUAUAUUGGCAAUUGGGAAAUGAAGUCAAUGAUAAGUUUGAUACAACCGUUGAUUAAAUAUCAUUAAAAAAAAAAAAGUACCUACAACUAGAAGUUAAAAAAAAAUGUCACCAUAGCCCACGUAUAAAUCCAUUUUGUAGUGCGUCAAAACUUAUGAAUAUCCUCUUGAAGUACGUCGCUACACCUUAUGUUUCAUAUUGAAUUUUCACCAUUGCCCUUUUAUUCUUUAUAAGAAGAACGUUGGCAUAGUCAUGUAACUUUGCAUAAGAUUUUGUGUAGUCACUAUCAGCAAUUUUUAGAACCCUUUUUUUGGCCAUAUACAGCCUUUUCUUUGUAGUUGAACAAGAAAACCUCUUCCUCAAUUCAUCUGACAUGGAUUCACAACCGAUAUCAGGAUUAAAACUAAUAAAACCAUACAAUUUCUGAGCUAUCCAUCUACUAGUUACUUCAGGAUUCUUAAACAGCUCUUUGCACUUAUGUUCACCACCUUUUAAAGUUUUAAUCUGGAAUGUAACUUUGUCAACCAAUAAAGAUGCAUGGAUUCUCCAUGGACAUUCCUUUCCUUCUUUGUCCUUCCCAGCACACACGGCUGUAACUCUACAUUUGUCAUUCUUUUUCCUUUUCAAAACUCUUGACUCUUGAAUAGCAUAAUCCUUCAAUACAUUCUUAAACUCUUGAGCACAACUAAAAGUUUGCCCAACUUCCAAAACAAUAUCAUCAUCACCAUCGGGUUCUUGAACUUUUUUUUCUUAAAUCCCUUUUCAUCUUCAAUAUUAUAGCGUCAUCUUCUUCAUCACUUGUAAUAGAUACAUCUUCAUUAUCACUCUCACAAUCUGACAUGCCAUCAUCUCCAUCAAAUUCAUUAAUAUCAAACCCUAAAUCAACUUCAGGUUCACUAUCAGACUUAACAAUAUCACCAAUAUCUUCAUCAGACCAGUCAAUAGACUCAACACUGAUUGCAUCAUCACUUUCACCAUCUAAAAUACAAACAUUAACUGCAUUUGAGGCAAAAUGAUUAUCUUCAGGGCGAGUUUGAGCUAAAACGGGUGACAAGCUGGCCAAGGAUAACGCAUCCAUCUCCAAAUUAAUAGAAUUAAGACCCUUGGCUUGAAUUAAGUUAACCAAAUUCUGGAAGUCUUUAUCAUUAUUCAAUUCAAUCCCUUCAUUGGACCAUGGGACAAUGCCAGUAAGCUUAAAGCUCUCAUCAUAAUGCUUGUGCCUUCCAAAGACAUUAUUCAAGACAUCGUUGAUGAGGGAUACAAGAAUCAAGCAAUCAGGAUCAUAAGCAUCCUCCACAUCUUUGCCUAAAAAUCGAACUGAAAUGCUGAUUUGACUCAUUUUGAAUCUGCCAACAUAAAGAUGAACAAAAAAUAUCAGAAACUUAAAACUAUUACAUACGAAAUCAUAAAAUACAAAAUCGACAUUAUAGAACUUUAUAUGAUUAUGAUUUUUUUUUACAAAAAAAUACUCAAUCAAGUGAAGUUAAAAUAAUUUCUUUUCGAUUACAAAUCAAUUCCACUACCAAUAUUAAGCUACGAAACAACCAUGAAAGGGUUAAAAAAAAGAAAGAAAGAAAACAAAAACCGUUCAACUUUUAGUCUACUGCAAAACAAAAACCGUUCAACUUUUAGUCUACUUCAUAUGGAAUUUUAGUCUUGGGAAGAAAUACCCAUUCAAGUGGAAAAAAAAAUAAUUUCUUUUCAUUGAACACAUGGAAGAUUAAAAAAAUAAAUAAAUAAACAAGACCAAUGUGAGACGUACCAGAAUAGGCCAAUUUCCUUCGUUGUCGGUUUUGACAUCUACUGCAAGACUACGUUUCCAAUAGAAAAAAUUUUACAGCAAUAAAAUUGUUAUGAGUUUUAAAAAAGCAAGUCACUUAAGUUCUUAAAGCGAGGGUUUUAAAGAAUAUUAGGGUUAAAAUACGUUUUUGCGAUUAUGGAUCUAGGUUAUCGUAAUAAUUUUUUAAAAUUUUAAAUUUUACCAAGAAAAAUACAUUUUUACCCUCAUUAAUCUAGAAUUAACAGUAACGGAGGUGAUGCUAAGGGUGUUUUGAGGUAUUUUUAAAAAUACAAUGACUAAACAGACAUUAAUCUAACGCUUUUUCUCCCAUGUAAAUUCUUAAUGUCGUUUUUCCAUAGUAUAGGAUGUAAAAUUGCCAGGAUUCAUGCUUUAAUCUGAUCAAUGGUCCUCCAACGAGAACUGAGUCAGGAUGAAUCGUCUGUCCAUUUUCCAAUUCGAACGAGGAAAGGAAGGCUGGAUCAGUGACCGUUAUAAUUACUCUACUUCCAUUCUGAUUCUCAGGAAGUACUUCUUCAAGAUCAUCCAAUACGUCGUCACCCUCUUUGUAGUAAUCAUCAAGCACAAUAAAGUACUUCUUGUUUGUUAGGUAAUCUCGAAGAAUAGAUUUCUUCAAUUGAUAAUCUUCACCGAUAACUACACUAACCCGAGAUGGAGGCAUCACAGACUUGAUUAUGUCAUCCAAUAUCAUGCGAAAAUCGUAGGAUAUAGCAACCCUUGUUAGGAAAUUGAGCUUCCUCCCAAGAUCACUCCAAGCAAUUUAUCAAGCAACAAAUUAACAGAAAAAUUUAAUGGAGAAUACAUCAAUCACACAACACAAGAUUUACGUGGAAAACUCUAAAUCCGGAGAAAAACCACGGCCGUUGUCAAAAAGACAACCAGAGAAAAUAUUCACUAUAUGGAAAAUUAUUACAACCACACUCUCAAAAAUAAUUUUCUCUCACCCAAGCCCCAAAUACAUAAUCCUGAGAAAUAUCCCUUAACAAAGCAAACCCGUAAUACCCAUAUUACGGAGCCAAAUGCUCCUUCAAUAUAACUACAUGCUUAAGAACUUUUCUCUCUCUCAAUUUCUCACCAAAACUUGGAUUCCUUCUCUGGGAUUUGGAUUGCUUCUCUCAAUGGCCAACAGUUCAUGUCUAUUUUCUUUAGCAAAGCCGAAGCUCAUUGCUACUCAUUUCUCAUCAAAUGACAUUCCAAUUUAUAGCCAAACUAUCACACCAAAAAUCUAAUAAGUCGGCAACAACUUUCUUCCUUUUUUACAAAUUCAUCAUGCGGUUCAAAAUUGGCAUUUUGCUUGUCAAAGUCCAUCCACCCAUUUGAAUGCAAUCAAUGUGUUCCCAUUUCACUUUUCCUUUUUUUUUAAUCAAUUUCAACAAUCUCCACCUUGAUUAAAAAAAAAAUUCAUAACUACUGCUACAAAACACUGUCUUCACCAACAGUCAUAAUUCUUAACAUAGAGAAUUAUCAUACUCCACCAUAAAGAGUAUACCACUUAGAAACAACCAUUCUAAGAUUUUUCUCGGCACAUGUCAAAAUAUCUUGCUGAAAUUUAUGGUACAAUUCUCAUGCUUGGUUUCCCUAAGAAUUCUUCAGCCAUGACAUAACUUUUCCACUACACACCUUGCAUUUAUACCAAGCCAAUGCCCGCGUGCAAACUUGUGGACCCCGCUGAUCAUAGCAUGUUCUCUUUCAUGACAACUUGGAGAUUUACAUGCCAAAAGAACUAACCCAAUCUCCUAUCAAAAGGAAACUCACAAUCUACGAGAAUAUCAUUAUCUCCUUUACUGAUUCUGGAGUAAUUUGCCGAGCCCACUCCACCUUCUUGACAAUUUUCUUGAGGUGCCAAAAAUUGUCUCACACCUUCAAAUCUUUGUGCAUACCAGAUUGGAUACACCUUUGACUUGAAUUCUCCACAAGCCAAUAAAAUCAUUCUUCCAUUAAUUUUUUUUUUUAACAACAUCAAACUCCACCAAGUUUAAAAAACACCAGCUACUGACAUAUAUGCUUUACAUAAACAGUAUCGUAUACCCCAAGUACAAACCGUUGGCUCUGAUACCACUGUUAGGAAAUUGAGCUUCCUCCCAAGAUCACUCCAAGCAAUUUAUCAAGCAACAAAUUAACAGAAAAAUUUAAUGGAGAAUACAUCAAUCACACAACACAAGAUUUACGUGGAAAACUCUAAAUCCGGAGAAAAACCACGGCCGUUGUCAAAAAGACAACCAGAGAAAAAUAUUCACUAUAUGGAAAAUUAUUACAACCACACUCUCAAAAAUAAUUUUCUCUCACCCAAGCCCCAAAUACAUAAUCCUGAGAAAUAUCCCUUAACAAAGCAAACCCGUAAUACCCAUAUUACGGAGCCAAAUGCUCCUUCAAUAUAACUACAUGCUUAAGAACUUUUCUCUCUCUCAAUUUCUCACCAAAACUUGGAUUCCUUCUCUGGGAUUUGGAUUGCUUCUCUCAAUGGCCAACAUUUCAUGUCUAUUUUCUUUAGCAAAGCCGAAGCUCAUUGCUACUCAUUUCUCAUCAAAUGACAUUCCAAUUUAUAGCCAAACUAUCACACCAAAAAUCUAAUAAGUCGGCAACAACUUUCUUCCUUUUUGACAAAUUCAUCAUGCGGUUCAAAAUUGCCAUUUUGCUUGUCAAAGUCCAUCCACCCAUUUGAAUGCAAUCAAUGUGUUCCCAUUUCACUUUUCCUUUUUUUUUAAUCAAUUUCAACAACCCUGACCCAAGCAUGACAGUCAAAAUAGAACUUGACAUGAUUAUUGUUGUAAGUAUCAGCAGCAAAAGCAGUCUUAUCGAAGCUACUGCUGUCGAGAAUUGCAACCACUGAAAGCUGUGGUUGUCCCUCAAUCAAUAAAUCAAACAACUCCUCUCUGCCGUUUUCAAAUUCACUCUUAUCAAGCUGUGAUUGUCCCUCAAUCAAUAAGUAAGUGAAUUCGUUCCUUCGUUCUCUGAAAUCAAAACCAUUGCCUUCAGGUGGAAUUUGUUGCAACCGAUUUCUAAUAUCAAUGAUUUUACUGUGGAUUCCGACAAGAAGAGCAAUGCAAGUAGUGCUUUCACUUUCACUGCUUUGCUGCUGCGUGAUGUUGAUGAAGAAUGUGUCAAUAGCUUUCUCUGAUUCACGGACAAAGGAAUUGAUGUCUCUCAGAAGUUCCCAAAUGCCGAUAACGCGAAGGUAUUUCGUCUUCAUCGAAAUGUUCUCUAAUGAGUUGAAUCAAAACCCGAGCCAUUUCAGCUUCAUAGUUUCCCAGCAGAGUAGUGGCUAUAAUUUCGGACUCCGUAAGAAGGUUUUGAAAAAGUGGAGUUAAAUUUGUUGAAUCAGGCAAAGUUAACGUGCCUUCUUCACCUGCUAACACCAGUUUCAACCUCUCACAAAAUAGUGUGAGGUUAAUUUCCAUAUCUUUCCCUCUCUCAGUAGUACUCAGAGGUACGUAUUGUUAUUUGUUAGUGUUGAUGACGAAAGCUGAAUAACAAAACAACAGUGUACACAAUCAACAGAAGCCAAAGUAUGUUAAUUUGAGAUCAAAGGAUAUAAAUAAAGGAAAAGUUUUCGUCGAUUGAGAAUGGAUGGAUGCAAAGAAUGACUGAUAUUAAAUGAUUUCUAUAAAUGAGACAUGCAAAGAAUGAAAUUUAAAGGUAACCCCCUUUUUUUUUUUUUUAAAGUACUCUAUUGAAAGCCAAAGUUCCUUUGGCCAAUUAAUUUAGAAGUGAAGGAAAGAAUAAAGUUAGUCCUUGAUGUCUUUUGAAAUUAGAAAUACAUUUUGAAUGCUUUAAUAGAUGCAGAGCAAACUGGCUCGAUAUCUACCUAUUUUUAGUGCUAAAAUCAUUUAAUAGAAGUUGUAGCAUUAAAAAAAAAAAAAAAAAAAAACUGGCUUGAUAUCCAAUUUUGUUAUUGAAUAUGUCUCAUGUGAGAGUAAAAAAAAACUGGCUUGAUAUCCAAAAUUUAAAGGUAACUCCUUGAAUUUGAUUGAAAAAUUAUUGAGACGGACAAGGCUGGACCAUUGUUCGAGACUGAAACUACACAUCAGUCUUAGAAAAUUGUAAUUUUGUUGGCUUAUCAUGAUUUUGAUCGUCUCACAUUGAUUUUCCUAUGAUGUCUCUGUCGAGUGGCUAUGCUUACAUUUUUAGGUAUUUAAUUCUAAAAAUUAACUUAUUAAAUGGAGGGACCAAUUCUACCUAUAAAUCCAAGUGGCUUCCCUUUACUAACUCAUAUGAGAUACAACAAUAAUUUUCUUUGGACAAAACCACUGUUGGAGGGUUAUUUUCGUUCAACAUACAUGAGUUGUUCCACCACCAUAUUUUGAGGGUUUGUUUUGGAUAUGACUUGGGGGAGCUAAGGCUAAGAUUUCUAAGUAUCAACAUAAAAACCUUGCCGGAAGGACCAAUCCUACUUUAAAGUCUAAAUGACUAAUUCUUGAGGACACAACUCAACAGCCCAAUAUAAACUUUUGACGUCCCAUUUUAUUACUUUCCAGUGCUUUUACUUUUGCUGUCUAGAGCCCUACCAUGCUAUUAAGCAGAAAAUAUUUCAAGGCACUCUCGGUCCAGUAGAUAACUUUGGUAUUUAUCAUCUAUUUUCUUUCCAUUUUAUGCAUACCCCGAUCUUUACCUCUGAUUGGUUGUAGAUUCUUUUGUUGCUUUGGGGUUAGGGGGUGGUUUUCAUAACUAUUCAGUUGAUCAAUGCAGAAAAUCACCAUCAAGAAAUUAUAAAGGAUUGUUAGUUCUAUCUGACAAACAACAUUAAUAUGAAGGAUGAUGAUUGUUCUGUUCAAGAGUUUAUAAUGACAUAAUUCUACUUUGGUCUUUUAAAAAAAGUAAUUUAGAAACGAGGAGUAUGUGAGUGAUGAUUUUUACAAAAUAAAUUACAUGCGUAGUGAUGAUUUUGACACAUGAAAAUGAAAAAAGAAAUAUAACUUGUGAAUAAUAAUUGAAGUACCUGCUAUUGUUAUAUUGAGUAAUCAAGGACUUCAAUAUUCGGACGAUAUAAGCAACACAAUCAAAUAUUAGUUGGAAGGCAUAGCAAAAUUAGAAUGUAGAACAAACUGGGUAUUGAUAAAUGGAUGGUUUUGGAAGAAUUGAAAAUGAUGGCAUAAGUAAACCAAAGUUUAGAGAAAAGAGAAAGAGCAUUUGAACUUUACUUGUAAGAAAAGGCAAAUAUCUUGGUUCAAGAAAAGAUAAGAGAUAUCAAACUAGCAAUAGGAAAAAGGAGGAAGGUUAAGACAGCAUCUUAACAAAAGCUAAAGAAAAGAAAAACUUAGUUCAAGCAAAGAACAAUGUGCUAAUGUCGUGUAAUCUUGUUUAAUUUCUUUUUCUUCUCACAUUUUCCAGGGCUUAAAUAAUACAAUAUACAUUUUCAAGCAAAGAACAAUAUGCAAUUGCAGUACUUCUGAGCACACAACAACAAAUAAAUAAUACAAUAUACAUACCCACUAAAUUAAAAAAAAAAUAUUAUCCAAGUUUGUGGACUAUAGCCAUGGCGUCGUCGAAAUCUACUGACAGCUGAAACAAAGAAAGAAUGGAUGAAUGCUGGAUCACAGUUGAAAUUGAAGGUCUGGUAGGUGAUGUUUCCCUCUCUGAUUUUCCCUAAACAAAUACAAGAAAAUAAGAAUCACAAAUGAAAAUCUGCUAUUACACUGUUCUUACUUAUUAAAAUACAGAGGUUUCUUUGUUUCUCUGCAGCAAUGUCCAUGGCUAUUAGAAACAAGAACAAUUAGACCAGCAUUUGUAAGAAUCCUUUAAGGUAUUACUGCAGAUAUAAAUCGACUGAGGAAAUGGAAAAAUUGAAUACCAAAUUAGGCAAGUUAACUGAAGAUUGAGUUAAUCAUAGAAGAAUAAAACUCAUCCAAUUCAAUCCAUCAAAUUCCAUAAGGGUACAACUGGAUGUCAUACUGCUGCUCCAUAUCCUCAAGAGCCCGUAGAUUUUGCCUCAACUCUGGCUGAGGCCAAUGUAAGUCCAAUUUGCAAAAGCUCUUUAUGCACCAUAGCUCUUCAGGAAGCUUUCUCAAGUAAGCACAAGGGUUGACAAUUAUGCUUCCAAGUUUUGGCAUUGCUCCAGCCCCUAUCGUCCACUCCUCUAGCAAAUACAUUGAUUUCAGGUGCAAUACCUUGAGCUCCGGGAAACCACAAGAGCAAACACAAGCCAGUUUUCUUCCUGAAUAUGAGUUCUGGUUCAAUUUCAGCACUUGAAGGUGUGGAAGCUUGUCUAGUGUUAGCAUGGUAUCCUCCAAUAACUCAGUAUUUGAUAAGCUUAGAUGGAUCAGACUUGGAGAAGCUGGUAUUUAGACAGGGCCAUCCGAGAGAGCUACCACCUCUGGUUUCGUUCACCAGCUUCAAGCAUUCAAGUUUGUGUAGUUCGCAUAGGCUUUUGGAAACCCCAGAACGAUAAUAACUCAAAUCUCCAGAUACUAAGAGUUUGAAAAUGAGGUAGUCUGCCUGUUAAAGUAGCUCACUAUGUUGAACAAAUGAAGGAGAAAGCUAAGCUGGAGAAAAUACAGGGCAAGAGUAUUAGCUGUGCCAGCUCAACUGACAGCUCAGCAAAAUCAGUUAAAUUUUGUUACAAGCCCCCUGUGCAUUGUGCUGAAGAUUAGUUAGUUUAAUAAUGAUUAGUUUUAGAUUAGUUAAAAUGUAAUCAUGAUUAAGAUAUAUAUAUAUAUAUAUAUAGCUGCUGUACUGAUAUCAUGGAUUAAGUGUUGAGAAAUAAAAUUCAUUAAGCAUUUCCAGAACUCUUGAUUUUCUUUCUCAGUAGCCAAACAACUUCACUCUCAUUUUUUUUUUUCAACAAUGAGUUCUCAAACCACUCAGGUAUCAUUUUCAGACAUUCUUGGCCUUGUACUCACCAUCAAAAUGGGUUGGUUGAGAGAAAACAUAGGCAUAUUGUUGAAUUAGGUUUGACUCUGUUGGCUCAAGCUCAACUUCCUUUUAAAUUCUGGUGGGAUGCAUUCCAUACUGCUCUAUCAUCAAUAGAUUACCAUCUUCUGUUUUCAAACUUUCGACCCCAUAUGAGAAGAUAUUCAAGCACAAACCUGAUUAUGAUUUUCUCAAAUGUUUUGGUUGUAUUUGUUAUCCUUACUUGAGAGACUAUAACAAACAUAAGUUUGCCUAUCAUUCCAGUAACUGUAUAUUCAUUGGUUAUAGUCCUUCACAAAAGGGUUAUAAAUGCUUACAUUCUUCAGGUCAUGUCUAUGUGGCAUGACUUGUUAUCUUUGAUGAGUCAACCUUUCCUUAUGCUACUGAAUCUGUUUUUCAUAGUCACACAAAUUCUGAUUCUCAUUCUUCAAACUUAUUUACUCCACAGCAUGUCUAUUAUCUUUCUACUUUACCUGUCAUACCAGUAUUUCUAAGUAACAACACUGAUAAUCUAAACUCUACAAAACUAAAAUACCAGCUUUUUGGUGUUAGCAAUAGGAAACAACUUACCACAACCAUUAAUUAUCCAUAAUUUCAUUGUUUAUCCUCAGUUUUCUUCAUAAAUGUUACAGCAUUCUUCACGAGAAAGCGCAAGGGCAUUUCAAAAGUUCUGAAAUAAUACCUCAAUUCUAUUGCAAAAAUAAAUAAUCUCAAACAAGAACCAAUAAUCAUAUUUCGUUACUGUCAAACACAAUGCAUCUGAGCAAAACAUUGGAAGCCAACACCAGAAUACAUAUGAAUAAACAAUUAAAGAUAGAGAAAAAAGGCUUAAACCUUGGGGGAAAAAAGUGAAAAAAACAUGAAAGACAAAUUACACAUGUACAGUAAUCAUCGAACUUAUCAGUCACAGCUGCAUCCAUUACAUUGCUCCAACAACACAAUGGCAAACCACCAGUUUCAAAUUGAGGAUAGCUAUCGAGAAUGAGAAAGUGUCCAAAACGUCAUAAAUAGACAUGUUCCUAUUGUGCAUAAUUUACAUUAUAGGCAAAUAUUCUUAUACCAUCAAAGGCAACACAUGACACUAACAAUUGAUCCCCCCCCCCCCCCCCCCCAAACAACCAAAAAAAGGAAAAAGAAACAAUACAGAAAAGAUUGAAACAGAUAAGGCUACACUGAGCACAGGAUGCCAUGAAACAUAAUCCAGGAACCAAAUUAAUAAAAAAGGAGGCCAAACCAUUAUUUAACAAUCUGUUUUGUAUUUGGGAAAGUCUGAUAAAAUCUACUGAGGGAUAAUUAGAGAACCUCAACUAUUAAUCACACCUCAUAAAUGAACUAACAUUAACCAUCUACCAUCCCCACGUCACACAAACAUUCUCUAUACUUCUGAACCUAAUACUUCCAUCUUCAAUAGGGGGUUUUUUUUCUUUUUUUUGGGGGGGGGGGGAGUUAUCAAUUUUCUAAGCUUGCUUAGCUUCUGUGUAGGACUGAAAUGCUCAUUUCGAAUCACUAACAGUAAAAUUGGAAGCUCAUGAAAAAACAGUUUUAUCCCAAAAUUGCAUCUCGAUAUAAAUUCUCUUUUCAUUUCCUUCAACUUUCUAAUUAAGCUUAAAAAAUGUACCUUCAACCACAAAGGGGUUUAAAAUUUAAAAUAUAAAAAAUAAAUUCAGAUAAAAAUAAUUAAUUUAAUUAAAAAUAUAAAUAGAGUUACAGAGAAAGAGAAAAUAGAGAAAGACCUAAUGUUGAGUCCUUUGGCGCAUGUCUCUUCAUAGGUCCGAACCAUUUCUUCGGGCGUGGGUUACGGCCGAGAUUGGAUAAUGAUGGAGGAGGAGAAGAUUAGCGAUGACGACGCCGAUGAAAUGGAAGGGUUUACCAGAGGAGUGGAUGCGAAGAGUGCAGGGACGGCCGCAGAGAGAGAGCGGCGGAGAGCGGCGACGGACGGAUGGCGGUAUGGGCCAUUGCUUGCGCGUCGGUGAUUGUCUCGAGUGAGAGAGUGAAGGGUUUUGUUUAGGGUUUUGGGAAAUGAAAAAUGCAAAUGUUUGAUUUUGUUGCUAGAAACUUCUUCUGCUGCUGCCUUUUAUUGUCGCUAUAAUAAUAAUAAUUUGUUAAUCAAAUAUUUUCUUAAAAAAGAUAAAUUUCUACAACAAAAUUUAUAUUAAAUCAAAUUGUAAAAAUGUCUAAUAGGGUUAAUUUCUCCUUAAUAUUAUUAUUAGUAGAAGUAGAUUUUCAAAUUAGUCUUGAUAUAUAUCAGAGUUGUAUUAUAAAUGUAUAUGUAUCUGGAUUGCAAUUAUAUUUUAAAAAAAAUAAUUUUUUUAAUUAUUGCACAAUAAAUGUAGAAAGUGUCUAUAAAAUAAUAUUAUUGGAACUAUGAAAAGAUAUUAUUUUAGAGUAGUUAUUUAUUUAUUUUUGAAUAAAUAAUUUAUUAAUUUAUUGAUAAAUUAAAUAAAUAUUAAUUUAAACAGAGAAUUUUUUUUUUGUGGGUUUUUAAGAAGAGUUUUGUUGGUAUAUGUGCAAACUUAUAAAGAAAUACAAAAAAUGCUUCCUCAAGUCAAUAGUAUUUACUUUAAUUCAUAAUAAGAUAGUUUAAUCAAGAAACUUGUAAUUAUACUAUAUCUUUCUUUCUUUGUUCUGUUUGGUGGGAUAUUGUGAUAAAUCAUUGGAUUACAAUGCAUUUCUAAAUGAAAACUUGUUAAAACCUAAUUUAUUUGGGAACCACAUUUUAUUUGUCAGUCUUAUUUCUCAACUUAGCAAAUUAUUUCUAACUUAUCGGUCUCUAUUGGUUCUCUUAAGUACCUGUUUGGUAUAUCUUAUUUAAUGGCAAUAAGUACUUAUUUAAUCUCAUAAUUUUUUUCCCUCUCUGACAAUUGAGGUAGGGGGUCAAACUUGAAAGUAUCUUAAAAUCAGACAACAAUUUAACUAUUUUUUUUUUUUAGAUAACUGCUAAUAUGCUCUAUUAGACAAUGAUAAGUGAUUGCAUUUAUGCAUCCCCACCAAUAUUUAAGCAAUUUAAUUACAGAAACAUUUCUUGAGGAAAGAAACUCAUAUCACCACUAGGCUUUUAAUGAGGCUCAUUUUUAUGAAUCUGGAUAGCAUUAGAUAUCUCUCCGAAUAUUGGUGGGAGUAGAUCGCAGAUCUCUGGGCUAUACUACAAAGUGUAUGUACGUUGACUCUCAAUAAACACAAACGAUUCCCUGAUAUGAUUCAAAACAUCAGUGCAUGCAUCAUUUUAACGAGAGAGAAUAUUCCCAGAAAUGUACACGCAUGAGGAAUUUUUCCUAGAAGAUUGAUAUUUCUUUAACUAGCAAACCAUACAAGUCCGGGGCUUAAAUGGAGUACUUGUAAGCAUAAAACAUUAAUCAAAACACAGUAUAGACACACACACACACACACCCCUACAUACAUACCAGCAAAUUCGAAAUAGAAAAAGAAGUGCAGCUAUUCAAGUUUGUAGACAAUAUUUCAACCAUGGCAUAUUAAAGCAAAUCCUUGAAAUCAGCUAAACAAAACAAUGCCCUGUCUCAUGAAUCGAUGCUCAAUUAAAAUUGAAAUUGAAAGUCCGGCUGGUGUUGUUUCCCUCUCCAGUUUUGCCUACAUAAGUAAAGGGAAAUGAGAAUCAUAAAUGAAAAUCUGCUUUGACAGUUCUUAUUAGAUAGAUAUAAAUGGAUCUUUCUUUGUUUCUCUGCUGUAAUUUGUGGCUACCCCACUCUGUUUUGCCAGUCAAGCUGAGUCUACGUUAAGGCAUAAUUUUGACAUCAGAAGCAACCUCAAUUAGUUUGGCAUUUUCAUGACCUCCUUGAAGGUUUUACGAUAAACAUAAAUCCACUGAGAAAGUGGGAAAAAAAGAAAAUUCAUAUAAAAGUAUGAGUUAUCAGAUAAGAUUAAAACUCACCCAAUUCAAUCCAUCAGAUUCCGUAAGGAUAUAACUGGAUGUCAUACCGCCACUCCAUAUUCUUGAAAGUCCGUAGUGUUUGUCUCAACUCUGUCUGGGGCCAAUGUAAGUCCAAUUUGCGCAAGCUCUUUAUGCACCACAGCUCUUCUGGAAGCUUUCUCAAGUAAGCACAUGGGUUGACAAUUAAGCUUUCAAGUUUCGGCAUUGCUCCAGCCCCCAUCGUCCACUCAUCUAGCCAAUACAUUGAUUUCAGGUGCAAAACCUUAAGUUCGGGAAAGCUACUCAAGCCAACACAAGCAAGCUUUCUUCCUAAAUACGAGUUCUGCUUCAGUUUCAGCACUCGAAGGCGUGGAAGAUUUUCCAGAAUUGGCAUGGGAUCCUCCAUUAGCUCAGUAUUUGAUAAGCUCAGUUGGAUCAGACUUGGGGGAAAUUGGUAUUCAGACUGGACCAUCCGUGAGGGCUUGCUCUCAUUCACCAGCUUCAAGCAUUCAAGUUUGUGGAGUUCGCAAAGGCUUUUGGAAACCCCAGAUUGAUAGUAACUCAAAUCUCCAGAUAUCCGAAGAGUCUGAACACUUGGUAGUCUGCCCAAUAUAUCAGGAGUACAACUACUAGGGUUUAAAGCUGAUAUGAAAAUGAGUUUUUUCAGAGAGCUAGAAUAAUUUUUUGGAGGUGCGGGCAGAGUGAUAGAACCAAAGUUUAGAUGCAUGAGUUUUUGCAUCAUCCAAAUAUCCUCUGGUGACUGAUCUAUGUAGCUAGAUGGCAUUUCUAGUGUUUCAAGGUUUAAAAGGGUGCAUAGCAGUGAAGGAAGGCAUUUGAGCGAAGGGAUAUUCAAUUUCAAAUACUUCAAAAGAUAUAAAUUUUCUAAUGCGGGUGGAUAUUGGUCCAGGACUGCAGAACCCAUGUUCAAUACCCGAAGGUAUUUGAACCUUUUAAAAAAAUUCUCGCAAUCUUUCGGAUUAAGAUGAUUGCUUUCUGAACUGUGAUUCAGAAAUGAUUGGAGAUACAUGUCAGACUGUUGUAAAAAAAAGAACUCAAGCAGAUCUUCCAAAAUGAAGCACCGUUUAGCAUUUUCAAUUGAUUCCCCUAUCCAUGCAGGCAUUCGGACAAAUCUCGUCUUCUCUGCCACCAAACCCAAUGAAGUAAAUACAAAACUUGGAACAUAACACGCUUUAAUUGUGCCUCCGGCUCUUCUCGUACUCACUUUAAUGAAGCCGCGAUGGAUUAGUUCUUUCAAGUAAUGUUCGGCAGUUUCUUCACCGUUGUAUGGUAUGAAACCUUCAGCUACCCACAACUGAUAUAAUUGCCUCGUGGAUAUCUCGAUGCCUGGAGGGAAGACACACAAAUAGAUGCAGCAGACUUUCAAGUGAAAAGGUAACUCCAUCACAGAGAAAAUUUGUCUCCAUACUGUCGGAAUCGCUUCGCUUUGAAGAUAAUUUUCUAAUGGCAUACUUCCAUAGUGUAGGAUGAAAAAUUGCCAGGCCUCAUGCUUUAGUCUGAUCAAUGGUCCUCCAACGAGCACUGAACCAUGCCGAAUCUUCUCUCCAUUUUCCAUUUCCAACGACUCAAGGAGGUCUGGAUCAGCGGCCAAUAUUAAUACUCUGCUUCCAUUCUCAUUAUCAGGGAGAACUUCUUCGAGAUCAUCCCAUAUCUCACGGUCAUUGAAGACGUCAUCAAGCACAAUAAAGUACUUCUUGUUUGUUAGGUAAUCUCGAAGAAUAGAUUUCUUCAAUUGAUAAUCUUCACCGAUAAUUACACUAACCCGAGCUGGAGGCAUCACAGACUUGAUUAUGCCAUCCAAUAUCUUGCCAAAAUCAUAACGUAGAGAAACCCUGACCCAAGCAUGACAGUCAAAAUAGAACUUGACAUGAUUACUGUUAUAAGUAUGUGCAGCAAAAGCAGUCUUAUCGAAGCCACUGCUGUCGAGAAUUGCAACCACUGAAAGCCCAGAUGGUCCCUCAAUCAAUAGAUCAAAAAACUUCUCUCUGCCCCUUUCAAAUUCACUGAUAUCGAGCCGAGGUUGUCCCUCACUCAAUAGGCGAAUGAUUUCGUUACGUUUUUCACUGAUAUCAAAACCAUUGUCGCCGGGUGGAAGUUGUUGCGUCCGAUUUCUAAUAUCAAUGAUUUCACUGAUAUCAAAACCAUUAGUGCUGCUUUCACUUUCGUUUUCACUGUUUUGCUGCUGCAUAAUGUUGAUGAAGAAUGUGUCAAUGGCUUCCUCAGAUUCAUGGACAAAGUGAUUGAUGUCCUUAAGAAUUUCCAGAAUGUCUGAUCUUUUAACGUCUUCUUCAUCACUUUCUUCUAAGUCCAACAGUUGCAAUAAAGGCAAAGACAUAUUGGAUUCAGCGAAUUCUUGUCUGAAUAGUUGAGACAAAAUCCGAGCCAUGUCAGCUUCAUAGUUUCCCGACAGAGUAGUAGUAAUAAUUUCAGACUCCGUAAGAAGGUUUUGAAAAAGCGGGGCUAAAUUUGUUGAAUCAGUCAACGUUAACGUGCCUUCUUCACCUGCUAACACCCUUUUCAACCUCUCACAAAAUAGUCGGAGGUGGACGUCCAGCAUAUCUCCUUCUCUCUGUAGCACCCAGAGGUAUUGUUUUUUGCUCCAAGAAAUAUUAAAAGGAUUGGUUCUAUCUCAAAGUGGUUACUGGUGUAAAAUUAAACGCCAUGGGAGAAUUUGAAGGGAAGAUGCCAAGGAACUGGCGAUGUGGCUAAAUUACACAAAUACGGCAUUAUUGCUCAUUUUUAACUCAAAAAAUUGAUACCAAGACGCUUGCCUUUUGAAAAGAAGAGGUAUCCAACCUUUAUCUUAUUUAAUUACUACCAUGACAUGAUUGAUGGUGCUUAAAUCAAUUGUUUCUUUAUUAAUUUAAAGAAUUUUUCAUUAAAAAAAUUAUUUUAAUAUCAAAUACCCUUCAAUGGCAUAACUGCCGCAGGCCCAGAAACAGGAUUAAUUAAAAUUUUUUGAAUUUUUGGGCAAGGAAAGAUUUGAAAUUCUAGUUAUGCAACCCAAGAGGGAGUGAAUUAGAAUUCUAUAAAUUAUUUAAUUUAUAAAGAAAACCUUAAUGCAAAUAUAAACCAAAUUCAAAGCAAUAACAAAUAAGGUGAUCACAAUAUAAAAAGAUAAGGGAAGAGAGAUUCAAACACAUAGAUUUUUACUUGGUUCGGCCAACCUCGCCUACGUCCGCGCCUCCAAGCUUUCCGAGCUUAAAGAUUCCACUAAGCAAGCCUCCAAGGCUUCAAAUGCUUACACUUGACUUCCAAGGUGUCAAUAACCUUUACAACAAGAGAUUAUCCCAAUCUCUUUAACCCAAGUGUAUCCCAACACUUACAAUCACUCAAAACAAAAGAUUACAAAUUUGUUUUGACUCUCACAAUAUUUAAGAUUACACAAUGAUGCCCAAUAUGUCAAUAGAUGAAGCAAGAAUGUGUUCAAAGCUCUAUGAAGAUUGUAUUCUCGAGUAUAAGCUCAAUAGUCGUGUUGUGAUCAAUCUUGUUUGAAUUUGAAUGAGCUUAUUUAUAUUUGGAGCUGAAAAACUAGCCAUUACAAACUGUCGGCCCGAAAACGGUUCGCUGUUAACCAUUAACGGUUAACCGUUUAGGCUGGUCAAAAGUUACCGUUGGGCCAAAUUUCAAAUAAACGGUUUGCCGUUUAGGAUUACCCCUUCGCCGUUAAAUUCUAGAGACCUGCAAGAUGAAUAUCAGUUAUCCGUUUACAUUAAACGGUUAAAGAUUUGCAUGAAGUGACUUCUCUGGAUAUUAUCGGUUAACCGUUUGUAAUAAAUGGUUCGCCGUAUGUUUCCAGUAACCUGCAAAACAAUUUAGCCUUAUCCGAUUUUGUUAAACGGUGCCAGAAGAGUACAACCUUCAAUUCUGGAUUUUAUCGGUUAACCGUUUAAAUAAACGGUUCACCGUUAAAUUCCAGUAGCCUUCCCAGCUUUUUGUGUUUUCCAUUUUUCUUAAUCGGUUAGAGCUUAGGCAAUAUGUUGCUCUCUGGUUUUAAUCGGUUAACCGUUUGAAAGAAAACGAUUCACCGUUUAUUUCCAGAAUCACAUUUUAAACCAGAUUUUGCAGAAAGUCAUUUUCUAAUUUGAAAGUCCAUCUUUUAUGAAUAUGAUUGGAAUGAUUAUAAGGCUUUCAUUUAUUAAGGAAUAGCUCCAACAUUUUAAUCAAAAACCAUUUAAAGUUUGUUAUCAUCAAAAUCAAUAUUAUUAACAUAUUCAUGUUAACAAUAGUAGUAUUAAACAUCAGAAAGCUAAGGUUGUUCUGUUAAUGAAUUGAUAUUGACAUAAUUUUAUUUUGGUUUCCGGGGAAAAAAAAACAUUUGUUGACAAGCAAGAAAAUAUUUUUAAAUUUUACAAUUUAUUAUACAUAUUUUAUCAUAUUACAAUAAUUUUAAUAAUAAAUAGAAACAUAAUAUUACAAUAAAUAAGUUAAAGUUUAAAUUAUUUUAAAUAUUAUAAAAAAUAAUUUUAAUAUUAUUAAUAGGAAGACAUUUUGUUAAUUUUAAAACCUUUUUAACCCAAAGGUUUAUUUAAAAGCUUUAUAAUAAACAUAAAUAUAAGAUUAAAAUAAAUAUCAUAAUUUGAAAUUUUUAGUAUUAUUUUAAAUAUUAAAAAUACUUUAAUAUUAUUAGCCUACUACAUUGAUUUUAUUAUUUAUAUUAUAUUCAUAUUGAUUAAAACUUUUUAAAGUCAAUUUUUUAGUCAGUAUAUUCAAGAGGUAUCAUAGUUAAAGAAAAGAUUUUGGUGUUAUUUUUUGAAAAUUUUAAGGUUUAAAUGAUAAUUUUUUAAAAUUUUAAGGAUGUAGGUAUUAUUUUUCCGACAAUUUAUUUUAUUUUUGAGGAAUUCGAUGAGAAAUAUCAUGAGAGAAGGUUAAUUUUACAUUCUUUACCUUUAUGAAAAAAGUGGAAACCAAGAAGUAUUCAAUUUUGUAUUUUUUGUUUGUAAUUCAAAAAAUGCAUCCACCAAACAAUCUUAUCUUGAUUUUUUCACUUUAUUCAUUUUCGAUCCUUUAAUCCAUCUAGUAUCUGCAGCCCCCGCCAUUUUUACAAAUCUCCAUCCGACAUCUACCCUAUCAAACAAAGUUGAUGGAAAUUGAACAAUUGCUUUUUGAAGUGGACCCAAUAAGUGGACAUUUUAUUAAUAUUAAACAAAGUUGACGGAAAUUGAACAAUUGCUUUCUAUGAGCCACUUAUUUUUAACAUUAGCGAUCUUAUCUGGACUACUCCAAUUAUUGAUGUAACUCCAAUGGUUGCAUCAACAGUUGAAUGUAAGAUAGUGUUAGCUCUUCUUUGAGAAUAUAGAGUGAUCUUUCUUUGUUUCUCUGUUGCGACGUGCUACUAUAAAUUUCUUUACCUUGCAGUUUAUAUAGUCUUGCUGUUAAUGAAUUCGCGGAGGCAUUAUUGAUCCAAUCUCAGUGAAGUAAUUGUGGGUGGAAAAUGAAUAAAGGGUAAGAGAACGUAGCUCAAGUGCUGAAUUGGCUAUUAAAGAAGAGUGUCACUUGAUCACAAUCACAUUGAUGCACAACUCACUCGAGGCAAAUUUCAUCUAUAUAUGUACUGCAAAUUCAGCCAAACCAUACAUGCAGGAACAAAACUAAAAUGUAGUUCUAAUCAAAACUGUAAUUAAAGCUACAAAAGGCUUGCUCAAUCCAAAAACUUAAAAGGAAGAUUUUACUCAAGUUUGUCCCCAAAAGACAGCUGAAUUGAAAAAUAUUGACUAUUGAAUCAAUGCUCAAUUACAUUUGAAAUGGAAAGCUUGGCUGCAGUUACGAUGUUUUUCCCUCUGAUUUUCUUCCAAAACAAAUUCAUUUGUAAACAAUAACGGAAGUAGCAAUAAUUUAUUCAUCAAAGAAAAUAUCCAAGUUUUCAACUAACAAAUCCUUUUGUCUAAACUAAAAAAACUUAUAUUUUUAAAAUCUAUCUACAAAAUGUUGGAAAUAAAGAGUGAUCUAUCAACUCGGUAAAUAAACUCAUACAUAAUGUUUACAAUAAUGAUAAAUUACAUAAUAAUUAUUAUAAAGAAUCAUAAAUUAGAAAAAUAUUUUAAGAUCAAAUUGCCUUCAAUGCUGAAUUACAUUUGAAAUGGAAAGCAUGGCUGCAGUUACGAUGUUUCCCCCUCUGAUUUCCUCCAAAACAAAUUCAGUUGUAAACAAUAACGGAAAUAACAAUAAUUUAUUCAUUACUCAAAUUUUUUCAACUAACAAAUCCUCUUGUCUAAACUAAAAAAACUCAUAUCUCUAAAAUCUAUCUGCAAAAUGUUGGAAAUGAGGGGUGAUCUGUCAAUUCGGUAAAUAAACUCGUGCAUAAUGUUAACAAUAAUGAUAAAUUACAUAAUAAUUAUUAUAUAGAAUCAUAAAUAAGAAAUAUUAAUCAUUUCACAAUCUAUUACGUAAGUAAGAUAAAUUUCAUAAUAAGUUAAGUUAUAAUGUAAUAAAUAUUUUCAAUAUGCUAAGAUAGGAUUGGUCCUAUCUCAAAGUAGUUAGUGGUGUAAAACUGAUGGUUGUCGAAGCCAGCAAAAAUAAAUACCUACUCUAAAUAAAUUGUGUAUAGUGAUUGAGCAGGGUCGUGUCCACAGAGAUCGGUAAUUAUUUAAAUCAUUUUAAAAUGUAAAAUGCAAAAUGGGGGAAUUGUUGACAAUAAUAAAAAUCAAAUUAAAAUAACAAGAAUGUAAAUUAAAAUUGUAAUUCAAAUUGGGGAAAAAGUAGUAUUAGACUUCAGAAAGCUAAGGUUGUUAUGUUAAAGAAUUCAUAUUGACAUAAUUUUAUUUUGGCUUUCGGGGAAAAAAAUAUUUGUUGACAAGCAAGAAAAUAUUUUUGUAUUUUACAAUUUAUUAUACAUAUUUGAUCAUAUUAAAGUAAUUUUAAUAAUAAAUAGACACAUAAUAUUACAAUAAAUAAAGUAAAGUUUAAAUUAUUUUGAAUAUUAUAAAAAAUAAUUUUACAUUUGAAAUGGAAAGAGUGGUUUUAAACACCAGAAAGCAAAGAUUAUUCUGUUAGACAAUUGUUAUUGACAUAAAAAAUAAUUUGGUUUUCAAGGAAAAAAAACAUAUUUGUUGACAAGCAUGAAAUUUUUUUUUUGUAUUUUACAAUCUGUUAUUACAUAUUUUAUCAUAUUAAAGUAAUUUUAAUAAUAAAUGUAUAUGUAUCUAGAUUGUAACUAUAUUUUAAAAAAUAUAAUUUUUUUAAUUAUUGCACAGAAAAUGUAGAAAAAUGUCUAUGAAAUAAUAUUAUUAGGACUAAGAAAAAAUAUUAUUUUAGAUAAGUUAUAUAUUUAUUAUUGAAUGAAUAAUUUAUUAAUUUAUUGAUAAAUAAAUAUUUAUUAAUUUAAAGAGAGAUUUUUUUUGGUUUUAGUAAUAGUUUGUUUGUUACAUGUACACACUUAUAAAGAAACACAAAAAGUGCUUGCUCAAGUCAAUAGUAUUUGCUUUAAUCGCUACUGUUCAUAAUAAUGUAGCUAAGUUAGGAAAUUUGUAAUUAUACUAUGGUUCUGUUUUGUAACGCCCAAAUUUCUAUUAUUUUAUUUUAUUUUUAAUGGAAUUUAUAAAUGGCGUUACUGCCCUUAUAAAAAGGGUUAUUCAUGGGAUAAUUUUUAGGAAAUGGUUAUUUUUCCAAAUUCAAUAGGGUUUCUUAAGACUCCCUAUAAAUUAAUAUUUUUUUUCCCUUCGAUACUCGAAGUCCACGACGAUUCUUCUUCUUCUCUGCUGCUCAUUAUGCUCCUACCCAAACCCUAGGAUUCAAACUUUUGCUUAGGAGAGAAUCAAAGCGAUUGGUGUUGGAGGUGAUUGAGGCUCUUAGAGGCUUAGAGGUCUGUUAAUUCAAAUUCUUUUGUCGAGAUAAGUAAUUUCAUUCCUAAUAUACUGGAUAUGUAUAAGUAUUUUGAUGUUAUUAUAAGAGUUUUUAUACUUCUUAGAAGAUUAAUAGAUUUUCAUACCAAAAUCAGUUUAUGAAAAUGUUUUCAAAUCUGAAUUCUUUUGAUAAAAUAUUUUAUAAAUGCGUUUUAAUAUGUAAAUUAUUUUAUGACAUGACUGCCUUUUAUAAUUUUGUCUAUGAAAUAUUUUUGCAAGCCUAAAUUGUUGCUAUAGACUUUCAUGAAUCUAAUACGAAUGUUUUGUGCCUAUGUAUGAUUUUAAUUAUUUAUGACUGUACGGGGGCCACCUCUUGAGACUAUAUGGGGGCCACCUCUUGAGGGCCAAAGCGCCGCAAAGUGCCACAUAUAGUGCAAAGUGCCACGUAUAAGUCAUUAUGUUUUGGCUCAUUGUCCGUAGUUAUUCUGAUUCUAAUUCUGAUUGUAUUAUACGAUAUAUUUGUUCUGGACUAGUACUAGGUUUAUGUUCUAAGUGUGCACACGAUAUUCUGAUUCUGUUUCUGGUCAGGUCACCGAGACUAUAGGUGAUACUAUGUGACAUGAGCUAACUAUCUGCUUUCUGUAUACACUUUAUACGAUUUGCUUUCAUAAUUGAUUAUUCUUUUGAUACUCUGAAUUACCAUGAAUUUAUGUUAUAUAAUUGAAAUAUGUUGUUUUAUGAAGUUUAUGAGUUAUAAUAUAUGUUUUUGAAUAAAAGAAGGCUUGCAAUAUUUUUGAUAUCGAUAGGCCUAGUGUAUUAGGAAUGAUUUUACCUACCGAGUUGACAGCCCACCCCUCGUUAUUACUUUUUGCAGAUUAAGUUCCUUUUAAGAGGUAUGCGUAGCUUUGGAGUUAGAGAUUUCGUUUCCGUUUGCUAUUUGAAUAAGAAGAGGAAUAGACUCAUGUUUCUUUUUAGUUUAUUUCUGUUAUGAACUUGUAAUUUGGAGUUUGAGACUUUUGUUAUUGUUAUGUUUUGGAAGAGAUUAUUUAGUGUUAGACGUAUUAAUUUGUGGAUUUAUUUGAAUAAGAAUUUGAGGUAUUUGAGUUUGGAAUUUAUAAGUAAGGAUUACGAUUUGUAAGUAACCUCCUUCUUCAUGUGCUCCGCACGUGUUAGAUUUGGGGUGUCAUAUGUUUCGUAUAACUUUUGAAGUAGAGCUUAUUUAAAUAGAGUAUUCGUCAAUAAAGCUUCUAUAAAUAAAGAUUUUACUAAAAAAAAUUUAGUUGUUUGGUUGUCAAUGUCCAAAUUGACGAACUUUUGUUCCUUUGCUAACAUGUAUUUGUUUUAUUUAAUAAUAGAAGUUUGGUUUACAAUUACACCACCUUCAAAUCAGCUGAGCAUUUUUGCAACCGGUCACAUUAUACAUUAUACUAAUAGCAUCGGCAAGAGUUUUCGAUUGUUGCAACUUGCAAUGGACGCGAUGGGAGAAAAUGAGAAUCUUGUUUAAUUGCAAUAUUGACAAACCUAAUCCUUUCGUAGGGAGUAAUUUAAUAAUCGCUUGUUAUAAUUGAAUAUGUAUAAAGAAAGGAAAAUUCUAUUCAUAGAUUUCGACUUAUUUUUUGUUUAAAGUAAUUAAUCAUUCAACCAUCUUCAUUUGCCUCUGGCCAAUGCCCUUGUAGAUUAGUUGAACCGUUAAUUACUUAAUUCAGAUAAUUACAGUGUCCUUUUCGCUAAUUAAUUAUGAUUAUAUACGCUUUCAUAUAGCAAGUGGCUUUGUAGAUCUAAACCAAGUUGCUAUUUCAAAACGUUAAUUAAGUGAUUCUCCUCAUUGUCAUCAGCGUUAUACGCUCUAGGAAAAUAGCUCAAUUGUUUCCCUGCAUUGAUUUUCAUUGGUACGUGAUUUCUUAUGAAAUUCUUUUGAGCUUUCCUUAUUAAAAAUGCUUGAGCUUUUAUCACCCAAUACGGAUAUCAAUUAACUUGUGAACGAUUUUGUAAUGAAACUAGGAGUUAAAUAAGAUUUUUACAUGAUGAAUUUUUAUUUUUUUAAUUUUUUGAUGUAGUCAAUUUGCUAAUUUUAUGUAUUUCAUAUUCAACGGAAUUUGGGCACGGAAAGUUUGGAUUCUAAUAUUUAUAUGUUUAGCUUUAAUCAGUUUGACUUUCGUAAUCUUUUUCCCCUCAUCAUUAAGGGAUUCAGAAUUAGAGAAACGUUAGGAAGAGGAAGAAAAUAAUUUCGGAAAUAAGUAAGAGGGAAAAAAUUAUCAAAUUAGGAAUGAUUUUUUGUAGAGUAUGUUGCGUUUACUAAAAUGAAAUCGAAAUGAGCUGGAAUCAGAAUGGAUAAAAAUGCGAAUGUGCUGGAAUAAGAAUAAGUAAUGAGAAUCAGAAUAAGUUGUUUACUUGAACUGUAAGAAUCGAAAUCGAAAUGAGCUGGAUUGCAAUUACUUUGUCCUACAAUUAGAAUCAAAAUGAGUUAGAUUGUAACAAAUUACUAAAAGGUACUUAAUGAAUUAUUGUCAUAAUUAUUAUUUUAUAUUUUAAUUAUAGUGAUUAUUUAUUCUAAAUUAUUAUUAUUAAUUAUUUUCAAUAAUAUAUUAAUAUGUUAAUUAAUUUUAAAAAUUAUUAAUUAAUUUAUUAUAAUAAUAUACUAAUUAAUUAUAAUAAUUAUAUUAAUAAUUAUUAUAAAAAUAUAUUAAUUAUUAAUAAUGAAAUUACUUAUUUAAUUAUAAUAAUAUAUUAAUUAUUGUGAUUAUUUAUUCAAAAAUUAUAAUUAUUAAUAAUUAUUGUUAAUAAUGUAUCAAUAUAUUUUAUAUUAUGAAAUUGUGAUGUAUUGUAGACAAAUAAGGGAAUUUGGUACAAUAAAUUCUUAAUAUCUUAGUACAAAGUAUGGUACAAUGAUAUUUUAACUUAUUGUAGACAGAUUAAAUUUCGACACACUUAAUCCAUAAUAAAAUUAGUGGAAAAUAAUGAUAAUUUAUACAAUUAAUCUUUUGAGCAAUAAAAAAAUAAAAGAAAAAGAAGUUACUAAAUUAUGUUUACUGUUAAGAGUGAAUCCACAAUCCUAAAUAAUUUAUUUCCAUCGUUUCACUUAAAUUAAAUAGUGUGAAUUUAAAUUCUAAUUUUUUGAUAAAUUAAAAAGAAAUAAAAAAUUAAAAUUUUUCUCUAUGGAUCGACCUCGGAUUGAUCAAUUUAUUUCAUAACAACACACUUUUAUACUUGAGAGUUAUAAAUAACUUUGAAGUUGUGUUAAGUUUUUGACGCUCUUACGGGGGAAAAAUAUUUAUUUUAUUUUAUGUAUGGGUCAAACUUGAAAGUAUAUUUUAAGAUAGCUGCUAAUAUGCUCUAUUAGACAAUGAUAACGUAGUUGUUUGUGGUGUUCAUAAUGAGUUUAAUUAUGAUUCAACAAUUUAAAAUAUGAAAACAUAUGGAAGAUGGCCGUAAUUAAAUUGAUUGCAUGAAAAUAUUUCAAUGAAAUUUUAAAAAUUUGGUACUUAUUAUCUUAUCAAAAGUUUUUUAAAUUAUAUUACUACUUCAACUUAACUCCUCCUGGAUUGAUUGUAUUGAAUUUCCAGCACCGCCAUUGCUUCUACUUGAAAGCCAUUUAAGUUUGUGUAAGCUACCUAUAGUUUGAAUAACAAUUUACUCAUGAAUUGCUGUUCAUGAUAACAAUUUGAUUGAAAGUGCGGCUGCACUAAUUGUUCUCGUACGACCCCAGAAUGCUGUUAAAUCAGUUGUAUUGGAAAUUAAUCAACUGGUUACAACUCUACACCCCAUCAAUAUUUAAGCAGUCCACAGAACAUUAAUUGUGUUUUGAAAUUUUAAUGAGUCUCACGUGUUUUUCACGUGAUAUGCAGUAAAAACAAAAUUAAAAAAAUGAAAACAUUCAGCCCCAAAGCCAAAAUCCCCAACUCCUUCCAAAUUGGUUCCGCAGCCCCCAAAUCCCUUAAACCCAAAGCACUCUAAAACGACUCUCCUCAGCCAAAAAGAAAAAGGUCACCUCACCUCUCCUCUUCUUCUUCCAUGGCGAUCAACGGCGGCACAAGCACGGGCUGAUCUCCUUCGUCAGUAACGAUCAACGGCGGUACAAGCAUGGACAGAUCUUUUUUUUGGCAAUGAUGAACAGCGGCACAAGCAGAGUCGUCCUCAGGUACGGAUUUGAUGUUGGUUGUGUUGUCAAGUAGCGAUUCAUGUUUGGAAGAGAAUCCGCUCACAAGGACCUGGAGCACUUAAUCGAAGAUCUUAAGCGAGGAAUUCGCUUCCUCCUCAUUCCUAAUCGGUGCCUGAUUCAUCAGUAUGAUUAAGGAUGAAAAUUGAGAAAGAAGGACGCAUUAGGUUUGAGACAUUGGUUGAAAAACGCUACCCCGGUGGCCACGCUGGAAACAUAUGUUCCGUGGCUUCUUGCGUUGUCUGUGAGGAAUAUGUACUGCUGUAGAAGAUAAUUAUGAAUCAAUGGUAAUUGGCGUGUUGGUUUUGGUGCCGAUUUCCUCUUAUUUUCCAGAAAAGGCUUGUAAUUUGUUCACCUCAAGAUUCAAUUUUGUUAUUGAAAAUGGAUGGCUGUAAAGACCUAUUGGCCUUUCAUUAUAUUAAUGUUUUUGACAGUAAGUUUGUAAUAGUUAGUGCAGGGAACUUAUUGAUUCUUGAUUAUAUAUAACGGUGGCCCUUAUUACUUUAAAAAAAAAAAAAAAAUUGAUGAUGGGUUUCGUUUUGUAUAAGUGUUUGGAGUGUUGGAAAAUUAACAUUGUAUAUUUUAGAUAGUUGAGUUCCAUAGUAAUAAAAAGCUACGGAUUUGUUUUCUUUUUAUUGAAAUGAAAACAUUUUUCACUUGUAUAAUAGAAAAUAUACUAUAUCUUUAAUACUUUUGUCAAAUUUAUUAUUUAAAAUUUAUAUUUACUACAUAUUAUUAAUUUUUGUUUCAUAGUCAUAGCUUUUUUUCCACAGUAGCUGUAGCUUAAAAGAUACAGCACCUCAAUUCCAAACGCACUCUAAUUAAAAAUUUUAGAAUUUUUGGGCAUGGAAUUGAAAAGAGUAGUAUUAAACAUCAGAAAGCUAAGGUUGUUCUGUUAAAGAAUUGAUAUUCACAUGAUUUUAUUUUGGUUUUUGGGGAAAAAAAAAAUUGUUGACAAGCAAGAAAUUAUUUUUAUAUUUUACAAUUUAUUAUACAUAUUUUAUCGUAUUAAAGUAAUUUUAAUAAUAAAUAGAAGCAUAAUAUUAAAUAAAGUUUAAAUUAUUUUGAAUAUUAUAAAAAAUAAUUUUAAUAUUAUUAAUAGGAAGACAUUUUGUUAAUUUUAAAAUCUUUUUAACCCAAAGGUUUAUUUAAAAUGUUUAUUAUAAAUAAAGAUAUAAAAUUAAAUAUCAUAGUGUAAAAUUUUUAAUAUUAUUUUAAGUAUUAAAAAUAUUUUAAUGUUAUUAGUCUACUACAUAGAUCAUAUUACUUAUAUUAUAUUUGCAAUGAUUAAAAAAUUUUAAAAUCAAUUUUCUAGUUACUAUAUUCGCGAAAUAUUAUGGUUAAAGAAAAGACCUUGGUGUUACUUUUUACAAAUUUGAGUGCCUGCAUGAUAAUUUUUUCAAAAUUUAAGAAUGUAUGUGUCCUUUUCUCCAAUAAUUUAUUUCACUUUUGAGGGGAAUCCAAUGAGAAAUAUGAUAAGAGAAUGUCAAUUACUUGUCAUUUUCUAUUUUUUCUGUAAGCUAUUUAUUUUGAGCACUGGUGAUCUUGUCUUGACUACUCCAAUUAUUGAUGGAACUCCAAUGGCUGCAUCCACAGUUGAAUAUAUGAUAGUGUUAGCUCUUAUUUGAGAAUUCAGAGGGAUCUUUCUAUGUUUAUCAAUUGCAAUGUGCUAGUAUAAAUUUCUUUACCUUACAGUUUAUAUAGUCUUGCUGUUAAAGAACUCACUGAGGCAUUAUUGAUUCAAUUUCAGUGGAGCAAUCGCGCGUAGAGGAUAAAUAAAGGAUAACAGAACAGAGCUGAAGUGCUAAAUUGGCUAUUAAAGAAGGGUGUCACAUGAUCACAAUCACAUUGAUGCACAACUCUCUGGAGGCAAAUUUUGUCUGUAUGUUCUCUAAAUUCAGCCAAACCAUACAUGCAUGAACAAAAAUUAAACCGUAGUUCUCACCACAACAGUAAUUGAAGCUACAAAAGCCAGCAAAUCUGAACAAAAACUUAAAAGAAAGAUCUUAUUCAAAUUUGUCCCCAAAAGAGUGCUGAGAUGGAAAAUAUUGACUAAUGAAUGGGUCAAUGCUGGAUUACAUUUCAAAUGGAAAGCUUGGCAGCAGUUACAAUGUUUCUCCCUCAGCUUUUCCUCCAAAACAAAUUCAGUUGUAAACAAUAACCGAAGUAGAGAUAAUUCAUUCAUCAAAGAAAAUACCCAAGUUUUCAACUAACAAAUCCUUUUGUCUAAACUAAAAAACUCAUAUCUCUAAAAUUUAUUUGCAAAAUGUUGGAAAUGAGGAGUGAUCCGUUAUCUCCGUAAAUAAACUCAUGCAUAAUGUUAACAAUAAUGAUACAUUACAUAAUAAUUAUUAUAAAGAAAUAUAAAUUGGAAACGCUAAUCAUUCUACAAUCUAAUAAAUAAGUAAGAUAAAUCUCGUAAUAAGUUAAGUUAUAAUGUAUAAAUGUUUUUAAUAUAUAAUUAUUUAAGAAGUCAUUUAAUAAUAAAAUAUUUAUUCUAUUCAGUUGAUCAUAUAGCGUUAUCGAAACUCUUGACGAUAUUAUUAUUACACUUUUCUCAAAAAAACAUGAUUAACAUUUAGAGAAAAGUCAUGCCUUUUAGAUAGAAUAUGUACAUAAGCUAUCCAUAUUUUAUCUUACCAUGAAAAAAUUGAUGGUGAUUAAAUCUACUUUUAAAAUAGAUUUAAUGCACAAAUAUGAUGAUUUUUGGCAAAAAUUAGUUUCGGAAGAUACAAUGGUAGAAAAUAGUGAUGAUUAUUGUUUAAAUGUGUAAAUAGCCUAGGCAUAGCCCGUAAUACCAAUAUCCAUUUACCUUCAUUUAGAUUAUCACAUCUCAUGAUAUUUUUUCAUUCACGACCAUUGUUCGAGAUUUGAACUUGAUCAUAAAUUAAGCUGCAACGGAGUUACUUAUGUUUCUAAGCUUUUCAAUCGCGAUUCCUCCAUGCCUUUCUUGGAUACCAUUUUACUGACCUUGUAAUUGGUGUGUAUAAGGAGUCAUGCCCUUUCAGGAUCGUUUUCUUUUUUUUUUUUCCUGAUUGUAGUGUCAAAUAAAUAAAGAACGAACAAUUGAACUUAGUCUAUUUCGAGGAAAACCAAGGCCUGCAAUAUUAGAUGAACUUUGAACAAAAUUAAUCUACUAUUCUACAUCCCCACCAAAAUUUAAACAGUCGACAUUGUGGAAAGAAACACAUUUCGCCACUAGGCUUUUAGUGAGGCUAAUUUCUCUGAAUUUGGACAGAGUAGGUCCUCCAACGAGAACUGAAUCAGGACGAAUCGGCUCUCCAUUUUCUAAUUCGAACGAGCAAAGGAAGCCUGAAUCUGUGACCGUUAUCAAUACUCUGCUUCUAUUCUGAUUCUCAGGAAGUACUUCUUCAAGAUCAUCCAAUACAUCGUCACCCUCUUUGUACUAAUCAUCAAGCACAAUAAAGUACUUCUUGUUUGUUAGGUAAUCUCGAAGAAUAGAUUUCUUCAAUUGAUAAUCUUCACCGAUAAUUACACUAACCCGAGAUGGAGGCAUCACAGACUUGAUUAUGUCAUCCAAUACCAUGCGAAAAUCGUAGGAUAUAGAAACCCUGACCCAAGCAUGACAGUCAAAAUAGAACUUGACGUGAUUAUUGUUGUAAGUAUCAGCAGUAAAAGCAGUCUUAUCGAAGCUAUUGAUGUCUUUCAGAAGCUCCCAAAUGUCUGUUCUUUUAACAUUUUCUAAGUGCAAGAGCUGCCGAUAACGCGAAGGUAUUUCAUCUUCAUCGAAUUGUUCUCUAAUGAGUUGAAUUAAAACUCGAGCCAUGUCAGCUUCAUAGUUUCCCAGCAGAGUAGUGGCUAUAAUUUCGGACUCCGUAAGAAGGUUUUGAAAAAGUGGAGUUAAAUUUGUUGAAUCAGGCAAAGUUAACGUGCCUUCUUCACCUGCUAACACCAGUUUCAACCUCUCACAAAAUAGUGUGAGGUUAAUUUCCAUAUCUUUCCCUCUCUCAGUAGUACUCAGAGGUACGUAUUGUUAUUUGUUAGUGUUGAUGACGAAAGCUGAAUAAUCAAAACAACAGUGUACACAAUCAACAGAAGGCGAAGUAUGUUAAGUUGAGAUCAAAGGAUAUAAAUGAAGGAAAAGUUUAAGUACUCCGUUGAAAGCCAAAGUUGCUUUGGCCAAUUAAUUUAUAAGUGAAGGAAAGAAUAAAGUUAGUCCUCGAUGUCUUUUGAAAUUAGAAAUACAUUUUGAAUGCUUUAAUAGAUGCAGAGCAAGCUGGCUCGAUGUCUAACUAUUUUAAGAGCUAAAAUCAUUUAUUAGAAGUUGUGGCAUUGAAAAAAACUGGCUUGAUAUCCAAUUUUGUUAUUUAAUGUCUCACGUGAGAGUAAAUAACUGUUGUGUUACUGGCAGAUGAUUGAGACGGACAAGUUUGGAACAUUGUUCGAGACUGAAACUACACAUCAGUCUUAGAAAAUUGUAAUUUUGUUGAAAAAUUAUAGAUUGAAAAAUUAUUGAGACGGACAAGUUUGGACCAUUGUUCGAGACUGAAACUACACAUCAGUCUUAUAAAAUUGUAAUUUUGUUGACUUAUCAUGAUUUUGAUUGCCUCCCAUUGAUUUUCCUAUGAUGUCUCUGUAGAGUGGCUAUGCUUACAUUUUUAGGUAUUUAAUUCUAAAAAUUAACUUAUUAGAUGGAAGGAUCAAUUCUACCUGUAAAUCUAAGUGGCUUCCCUUUACUAACUCAUAUAAGACACAACAAUAAUUUUCUUCGAAAAAAACCACCAUCGGAGGGCUAUUUUCGUUCAACAUACAUGAGUUGUUCCGCCACCAUAUUUUGAGGGUUUGCUUCUAAUACAACUUGGGGAAGCUAGGGGUAAGAUUUCCAAGUAUCAACAUAAAAACCUUGCCGAUUGGAUAGAAGGACCAAUCUUACUUAUAAGUCUAAAUGACUAAUUUUUGAGGACACAACUCAACAGACCAAUAUAAACUUUUGGCGUCCCAUUUUAUUACUUUUCAGUGCUUUACUUUUGCUGUCUAUAGCCCUACUAUUCUAUUAAGCAGAAAAUAUUAUCUAUUUUCUUUCCAUUUUAUGUAUACCCCGAUCUUUACCUCUGAUUGGUUGUAGAUUCUUCUGUCGCUUUGGGGUUAGGGGAUGGUUUUCAUCAAGAAAUGAUAAAGGAUUGUUAGUUGUGUGACAAACAGCAUUAAUAUGAAGGAUGAUGAUUGUUCUUUUCAAGAGUUUAUAAUGACAUAAUUCUGCUUUGGUCUUUUAAAAAAAAGUAAUUUAGAAAUGAGGAGUAUGUGAGUGAUGAUUUUUACAAAUAAAUUGCAUGCGUAGUGAUGAUUUUGACACAUGAAAAUGUAAAAAGAAAUAUAACUUGUGAAUAAUAAUCGAAGUACCCUGCUAUUGUUAUAUUGAGUAAUCAAGGACUUCGAUAUUCGGACGAUACAAGCAACACAAUCAAAUAUUAGUUGGAAGGCAUAGCAAAAUUAGAAUGUAGAACAAACUGGGUAUUGAUAAAUGGAUGGUUUUGGAAGAAUUGAAAAUGAUGGCAAAAAAAAAACAAAGUUAAGAGAAAAGAGAAAGAGCAUUUGAACUUUACUUGUAAGUAAAGGCAAAUAUCUUGGUUCAAGAAAAGAUAAGAGAUAUCAAACUAGCAAUAGGAAAAAGGAGGAAGGUUAAGACAGCAUCUUAACAAAAGCUAAAGAAAAGAAAAACUUAGUUCAAGCAAAGAACAAUGUGCUAAUGUAGUGUAAUCUUGUUUAAUUUCUUUUUCUUCUCACAUUUUCCAGGGCUUAAAUAAUACAAUGUACAUUUUCAAGCAAAGAACAACAAAUAAAUAAUACAAUAUACAUACCCAGUAAAUUAAAAAAAAUAUAUUAUUCAAGUUUGUGGACAAUACUGUAGCCAUUGCGUCGUCGAAAUCUACUGACAGCUGAAACAAAGAAAGAAUGGAUGAACGCUGGAUCACAGUUGAAAUUGAAGGUCUGGUAGGUGAUGUUUCCCUCUCUGAUUUUACCUAAACAAAUACAAGAAAAUAAGAAUCACGAAUGAAAAUCUGUUAUUACACUGUUCUUACUUAUUAAAAUACAGAGGUUUCUUUGUUUCUCUGCAGCAAUGUCCAUGGCUAUUAGAAACAAGAACAAUUAGACCAGCAUUUGCAAGAAUCUUUUAAGGUAUUACUGCAGAUAUAAAUCGACUGAGGAAAUGGAAAAAUUGAAUACCAAAUUAGGCAAGUUAACUGAAGAUUCAGUUAUCAUAGAAGAAUAAAACUCAUCCAAUUCAAUCCAUCAAAUUUCAUUAAGCAUUUCCAGAACUCUUGAUUUUCUUUCUCAGUAGCCAAACAACUUCAAUCUCAUUUUUUUUUUUCAACAAUGAGUUCUCAAACCACUCUGGUAUCAUUUUAAGACAUUCUCGGCCUUGUACUCACCAUCAAAAUGGAUUGGUUGAGAGAAAACAUAGGCAUAUUGUUGAAUUAGGUUUGACUCUGUUGGCUCAAGCUCAACUUCCUUUUAAAUUCUGGUGGGAUGCAUUCCAUACUGCCCUAUAUCACAUCAAUAGAUUACCAUCUUCUGCUUUCAAACUUUCGACCCCAUGUGAGAAGAUAUCCAAGCACAAACCUGAUUAUGAUUUUCUCAAAUGUUUUGGUUGUAUUUGUUAUCCUUACUUGAGAGACUAUAACAAACAUAAGUUUGCCUAUCAUUCCAGUAAGUGUAUAUUCAUUGGUUAUAGUCCUUCACAAAAGGAUUAUAAAUGCUUACAUUCUUCAGGUCAAGUCUAUGUGGCAUGACAUGGUAUCUUUGAUGAGUCAACCUUUCCUUAUGCUACUGAAUCUGUUUUUCAUAGUCACACAAAUUCUGAUUCUCAUUCUUCAAAUUUAUUUACUCCACAGCAUGUCUAUUAUCUUUCUACUUUACCUGUCAUACCAGUAUUUCUAAAUAACAACACUGAUAAUCUAAACUCUACAAAACUAAAAUGCCAGCUGUUUGGUGUUAGCGAUAAGAAACAACUUACCACAACCAUUAAUUAUCCAUAAUUUCAUUGUUUAUCCUCAGUUUUCUUCAUAAAUGUUACAGCGUUCUUCACAACAAAGUGCAAGGGCAUCUCAAAAGUUCUGAAAUAAUACCUCAAUUCUAUUGCAAAAAUAAAUAAUCUCAAACAAGAACCAAUAAUCAUAUUUCGUUACUGUCAAACACAAUGCAUCUGAGCAAAACAUUGGAAGCCAACACCAGAAUACAUAUGAAUAAACAAUUAAAGAUAGAGAAAAAAGGCUUAAACCUUGGGGGAAAAAAGUGAAAAAACAUGAAAGACAAAUUACACAUGUGCAGUAACCAUCGAACUUAUCAGUGACAGCUGCAUCCAUUACAUUGCUCCAACAACACAAUGGCAAACCACCAGUUUCAAAUUGAGGAUAGCUAUUGAGAAUGAGAAAGUGUCCAAAACGCCAUAAAUAGACAUGUUCCUAUUAUGCAUAAUUUACAUUAUAGGCAAAUAUUCUUAUACCAUCAAAAGCAAAACAUGACACUAUAACAAUUGACUCCCCCCCCCCCCCCCCCCCCCCCGCACACAAAAAAAAAGGAAGAAACAAUACCGAAAAGAUUGAAACAGGUAAGGCUACACUGAGCACAGGAUGCCAUGAAACAUAAUCCAGGAACCAAAUUAAUAAAGAAGGAAGGCAAACCAUUAUUUAACAAUCUGUUUUGUAUUAGGGAAAGUCCGAUAAAAUCUACUUAGGGAUAAUUAGAGAACCUCAACUAUUAAUCACACCUCAUAAAUGAACUAACAUUAACCAUGUACCAUCCCCACAUCAGACAAACAUUCUCUAUACUUCUGAACCUAAUACUUCCAUCUUCAAUUGGGGUUUUUUUCUUUUGUGGGGGGGGGGAUAAGCUAUCGUUUUUCUAAGCUUGCUUACCUUCUGUGUGGGACUGAAAUACUGAUUUCGAAUCAUUAACAGUAAAAUUGGAAGCUCAUGAAAAAACAAUUUUAUCUUUUAACAAAAGUUAAAAUUACAUCUCCAUAUAAAUUCUCUUUUCAUUUCCUUCAAUUUUCUAAUUAAGCUUAAAAAAAUGUACCUUCAACCACAAAGGGGUUUAAAAUUUAAAAUAUAUAAAAAAAUAAAUUCAGAUAACAAUAAUUAAUUUAAUUAAAAAUAUAAAUAGAGAUUACAGAGAAAGAAAAAAUAGAGAAAGACCUGAUGUUGAGAGCAUCGACGGCCGGCAGUGACCGGCGGAAGAUGGCGAGAGAUGGCGGCGUGGGCCAUUGCUUGCGCAUCAGUGAGUGUCUCGAGUGAGAGAGUGAAGGUAGGGAUGGCAAUGGGGAGGGAGGGAGGGUCCAAUCUCUCUGUACCCAUCUCCCAAUUUGUCCCCGUCCCUCCCCGUCCCCAUUUGCUUAGAAUCUGUCCCCUACUCGAAUAAUAAUUCUCGAAUAAUAACAUAAAAUGCUCGAGGUUCUCGAUUUAUGAAUAAUUAAUAUAUUUUUUAUUUUAAAUUUUAAAUUAACUAUAUUAAAAUAAAAAAUUUAAAUAAAAAUAAAAUUUGAAAUAUAUUUUAUAUUAAUAUUGAUCCAUUAUAAAAAUUACAUACAAAAUAUAAAUUAUCAAAAUAAUUAUCUUUAUCAAUCUUCAUAAUCCUACAAUAAAAAGAAAAAAAAUUUACUUUUAUAUUGAUAAUAAAAUAAAUGUAGAUAAUUAAUUAAUAUUUUUAAUAAAAUAAAAUUAAAAUAAAAUAAAAUUUUUAGGCUAAUAUAAUCUACCCGACUUUUUUAAUGUGUUAAAUAAAAAUUUAAGACUUUAAUUAGUUAAUUAGGCCUAAAAGCUUAAUAAUAUAAAUAUUUUGAUAUUUAUUAUUUUUACUAAUAUUUAUAAUUUUAUAAUAUAUUCAAUUUUUAUUAUUUAUUUACUAGUAAUUUUAAAAAAUAAAAAUAAAAUUAAAAAAUAAAAUGGGGGAAAUGGGGAGGGGAUGGGGAUUCCACCUCAUCCCCGUCCCUUCCUUGUAGGGAUGGCAAAAGUUCGGGUCGGGUCGGGUCUGGGGCUGCCUGGAACUGACCCGGAUUUCACACAUAGCUGCCCGGACCCGGACCGUGCCCGGAUUUUUUCUAUGCGGGCCGGGUAUAUGGCUGGCACUAUCCGGGCACAGGUUUUUUUUGGGUUUUCUCUACCCACAUUUUCAAAACUGGCUAAAAAAAAAUUGAUAGAAAAGGCUAAAUAAGUAAACAAAAUUGCAAUUGGGCCUGGAAAUUCAUAACUUAUCCCUGAAUUAUAUAUAUAUAUAUAUAACUUCUAAUUCUUUGUUGAUACAAGUUUUUUCUAAUUCAUUAUAAAAUCACAUUAUAUAUAUUAUUUCCUCAUCAGAUAAUAAGUGACAAUUGCUCACCAGUUUAUUAACAUCUCUACGAAACCGUCUUUUAUGGCAUUAUUAUUAUUAUUGUUGUGGCUGAAACCAUGUAGUAUGUGAUUGAAGAAAUUGCAUUAAAUGUUGGAGUGGAGGUGAUGUAGGUGAGAAAGGAUUCCCUGGAGACUGUUAAACAAGACACAAGGCAUUUCCGGAAGAAAACAGAAGACAACUGGAUAAGACAAAACGGACAAAAGGGUAAGAGAGGUGGGUGGGAAAUUAAGAUAGGCAAUUUGUCCAGCAGAAACAUAAUAAUACCUCGUGGUCGUGGGUCGUGGCUGUGUUGGUGAAGUUGCAGCUGAACAAGAACAGUUGAUGCUGUCGCGUGGUGGCUGCCGUUGAGAAGAUGACCAAACGAUGAAGAGCUCUGUGACGGGAUGGUUGUGCUUUGCGAGGAGAAAUAGAGUUGACUGAGGAAGGUAAGAGGUUCGUGGAGGGAAAGGUGCGGACAACACUGCAUCAGUGCCGGUGGGUGGUGGAGAGACGGAGAGAGGUGCCGCCGAUUUGGAGAUUUCAGGGUGGGUGCUGACUGCUGCAGUGCUGCGUUGUUCUGCAAGUUGCAAUCGCGAUUUAGGGUUCAGUACCAGUUUUGGGGGCAAUUGGGCAAAGUAAAUUUUAUUUUCGCUUUUAUAUUUUCUUUUUUUUUACUUAAUAAAAAACCGGGCAUUGAAAAUCAAUGUCCGGAUCCGCUUUUUCCAUUCAUGUGGUCCGGGUAAAACCCGAACCGCACACGCCGGGUCUGGGCCGGAUCCGGUCCGGGUGGGUUUUUCUGCCACCUCUACUUCCUCGAAUAAGAAAUUUGGUAAAAAAAAUUUCCCGUCCCUUCCUCGAAUAAAAAAUCGGGUAUAAAAUUAUCUCUGUAUCCUCCCCGAAUGAGAAAAAUCCCCGAAGAUACCCAUACCUGUGGGGAUUUUUACCAUCCUUGAGUGAAGGGUUUUGUUUAGGGUUUUGGGAAAUGAAAAAUG
RNAcentral lists this long non-coding RNA (110436 nucleotides) under Citrus maxima (pomelo). RNAcentral describes it as "long non-coding RNA (CMAX_LNC001223)". Lineage: Eukaryota; Viridiplantae; Streptophyta; Magnoliopsida; Sapindales; Rutaceae. The record is from RNAcentral.